RNAcentral lists this long non-coding RNA (136029 nucleotides) under Setaria italica (foxtail millet). RNAcentral's name for it is "long non-coding RNA (SITA_LNC004356)". The record is from RNAcentral. Lineage: Eukaryota; Viridiplantae; Streptophyta; Magnoliopsida; Poales; Poaceae.
AGAAAGUUGAAGCACGGUUAAAUUGGGAAAAUCCAUGAAGAACUCUGGAAAUGGACCAGCAGCUGCAUCAAAGUUUCCUUGGAGGUUGAUCACAACAAGAGAAUGGAGUCUCGAGAGCGCUUUAUGAAUAGGACCACUCAGGGAACAAUCAGCCAAACUAAGUACCUGAAGUUGAGGAACAUAUGCAGCAAGAGAUGUGCCCCACUCUUCUCCACUAUUAGACAAAUCCACCGAGUCAAGGUAGAGCUCUCUUAAGUUGCUGAGGUUUGCCACAAAGGUAUCAAAACUUGAUUCCCAUAAAUUGUUAUAAUAAUCAUAAUAGUUUGGACCAUAAAAACCGAGAGAAUAAUCAAUAUUGUAUGUUGAAAGAUCCAAUGAGAGAAGGUUCACUAGUUUACUGAUGCUAGGAGGUAUCUGACCAUAUAAUCCUGAAUUGGAAAGGUUUAGGUGGGUUAAAAAAGUGAACCUCUCAAAACCAGCAGAUUGGAUGUUGUCUCCACCGAUGUCAUUCAUGCUAAGGUCGAGUCGCCAAAGUGAUAUGAGGCUGAAGAGUGCAGGGUCCAAGCCAUGACUUGACAAGCAACGGUUGUUGAGGUCGAGAAUGGUGACAUGGCCAGACGAAGGGUCACAGCCAACACCCUCCCAGAGACAACAGUCGGUACCAUUUCGCCAUGAUGAAAGCCUGGUAGUGGAUCUGCUGAAGGAGAAGGACUUCUUCAGCUGGAGGAGCGCCUUAGCUUGGUUUGGAUGGCACAAAAAUGAGACAGGGAGGUGAGUGAGGUUACCACCAUCAGCGCGGUGGGCAAUGGAGGUGGAGAGUAGUGUGUGGAGCUGAGCAAGAAAGAGCAGUAACACCCAGCCGAUGGAAGCCAUAGCAACUUAGUAUGAGCCGACGAUAGGCUUACAAAGAGGCACAAGGCAGAUACAUAAUGGAUUGUCUAGUCUAGUAAUGCGCGACAGAUUGUUAUGCAGCUUCCAGCAGCUGUCAAGUCUUUGUCCAUUAAUAAAUUAAUUAAUUUACGAGUACCAUGGCUAAGCUGUACGCAAUUGCGACACCUGAGGAGACUUGACUGUACCAUGGGCUAGCUGUACGCAAUUGCUACACCUGAGGAGACUUGACUAGCCUUUCGUCAAAUGCUGUUGGUAUCAUCCACUGCUACAACAGUGACCGGUAAUUGGAAGUCUCACUAUAGCAAGACUUCCAAGUCAACUAAGCCGGCCGCUACAUUCUGAGGAAGGUGGAAUUGAAGAUCAAAUCAAGUCGGGCGUUGGGAAGAAUUAGUCCGCACUCCGCUGAUAACAACAUCGAAUAUACUGAUCUGAUGUGCUUCAUUUUUUUUUGGGUUGGAGUGGAGCGGCAUCAAGAUCCUACUGCUGUGGAAAACACUGAAUUGACUCGUUUUAUCUCCCACAAAACGUGGCUGAAGAUGAUAGUGGUGCUUCAAGAAACAGCGAGAUGGAGCAAGUAAAAAUGCAGUUGAGCCGCAGCUAAAACUUGUCGAGGUUACCACGAUGCUCGUGAAUCAUAGUAUUCCAGCCGCGGUAGUUCUCGUCUUGUCGAAGGAGAUGUUGCAGUGUUCACGUCUAGAGCUCAUCCAAUCCAUGGCGUUCCUCUGGCCGAGUCGUCGAUACGAAGGAGACGUCGCGUCACAUGCGUGUUCCUCAUGUCACCUUUGCCUACGACCAAUAAGACGAUGACACCAGAACCUUUUUAUUUUUUCCCCUAAUCAGCAGCUUUCAAAGCGGGCGCCUGCGGACAGCACUGUCCGCGUCAGAUUUGGCACACAUUAGCCGCAGUUGCACUCGUCCACGUCCGGUCCUCCCCCACCCCACCCCACCACCACCACCACCACUGAUUGCCGAAGCUCCCUACACUACAGGGUAAGGAACAGCUAAGAUCUGAGCAAGUAAAGUCGGGAUAUUUAAUUAUUUGCCAUUCUUAUAACGAAUUCCUACAUAUCUGUCAUUGAAGAAAGAAUUAGUCUAUACUUUUACCAUUUUUGCUGAUGUGGUGAGCCACAUCCUCGUGCUAGCAUGAAUUGAGCAUGGCAAUGACCAUAGUGCCCCUGCCUCCCUCACGUUAGCCAUCCCCUUCCCUCUAUCCUACCACUAAUGGAUGGGGACUCACAUGUCAGGGUCAUCUUCAACCUAUUGCCGCAUGGUCUUCCGCUGUUGUGCGGCUCCUCUACGGUACAUCACGGGGGAGGAUACCACGACUUGGAGGUGUCGGGUGGACUACAUUUUCACUCAGAAGGACCUUAAUCUAGGACAGCGUCGUUGGUUGGAGUUGAUCAAGGACUAUGAUCUGGAAAUUCACUAUGAUCCUGGUAAAGCAAAUUUGGUUGUAGAUGCCUUGAGUUGGAAGGGUCAUGCUAACAUAGCUUUGGCAUUUCAGCUGCCUGAAGAGUUGAUGAAGGAGUUUGAGAAACUUAACUUGGGGAUAGUUGCCCAUACUGAAGGAGUGACUAUGGAAAGAAAUACGGAAUGGACAGCUUGAGGAUGUUGAGAUCAAGGAGAUCAAGGAACUUAUGAAGGAAGGGAAGGCUCCAGAAUUCAUAGAGGAUGAUCAAGUGACUAUAUGGCUCAGAAAGAGGAUUUGUGUACCGAAUGUGGGAGAUCUCAGAGACACCAUCUUGAGGAAAGCUUGUGAUUCAGCCUACUCAAUUCGUCCUGGGAGAACCAAGAUGUAUCAAGACCUCAAGAAGAAGUAUUGGUGGUAUGGGAUGAAGAAGGAUGUAGCUGCACAUGUGGCCCUAUGUGAUAGAUGCUAGAGAGUUAAGGCUGAACACCAAAGACCAGCUCGAUUGCUUCAACCAUUAAAGGUUCCUGAAUGGAAGUGGGAGGAAAUCAAUAUAGAUUUCAUUGUUUGUUUGCCCCGCACCUAAGAUGGAUAUGAUUCAAUAUGUUUUAUAGUGGGUCAAUUGACCAAGGUAGCUCACUUCAUCCGAGUGAGAACCACCUAUGCUGGGUCCAAGAUGGCAAAGCUGUAUAUAUCAAGGAUUGUGUGUUUGCAUGGUGUACCCAAGAAGAUAGUGUCUGAUAGAGGUACUUAGUUCACAUCCUGUUUCUAGUAGAAGCUGCAUGAAUCCAUGGGUACAAAGCUAAAUUUCAGCUCAUCUUAUCAUUCUUAGACAGAUGGACAGAUUGAUAGGACAAAUUAGAUUCUAGAGGAUAUGUUGAGAGCCUGCGCUCUAAAACAUGGAGGUAUUUGGGAUAAAAGUUUGCCUUAUGCUGAGUUCUCUUAUAACAACAACUACCAAGCCAGUCUCAAGAUGUCACCCUUUGAGGCUCUAUAUGGAAGGAAGUGCAGAACCCCUCUGUAUUGGAGUGAGACAGGAGAGAGUCAAUUAUUUGGGCCAGAGAUUAUCCAAGAAGCUGAAAGGCAAGUUCAGAUAAUUAGAGAGAAUAUGAGGACAGCUCAGUCCAGGUAGAAGAGUUAUGCUGAUACUAAAAGGAGAGAAUUGAUCUUUUAGGAAGGUGAUUAUGUGUAUCUUAAAGUGUCACCCAUUAGAGGCUUACGCAAAUUUAAGGUUAAAGGGAAGUUGCCACCUCACUUUAUUGGACCCUUCAAAAUUCUAAAGAGAAUGGGGAAGUAGCUUAUUGGUUGGUGUUACCCAAUCAGCUCUCAGAUGUGCAUGAUGUGUUUCAUAUCUCUCAGCUAAAGAAGUGUCUCAGAGUUCCAGAGGAAUAGAUACCGAUGGAGGAUUUAAAUGUAAAGGAUGAUCUCACCUACACUGAAUACCCUAUAAAAAUCUUGGAUACUCUAGCACGUGUUACCAGGAAUAGAGUGAUCAAGAUGUGUAAGGUACAAUGGAGCUACCAUGCAGAGGAUGAGGCAACAUGGGAAAGAGAGGAUGAACUGAAGGAGGAAUUUCCCCAGCUCUUUGCUAAUCCAUCCGAAUCUCGAGGACGAGAUUCUUCUUAAGAGGGUAGGAUUUGUAACACCCUAAUUUUCAACUUUUGCAAUUUAAUAAAAUUUGUUAGAAAUUAGGUGCAUGUGUCUAAGGAUUUUAAGGUUGCAGUUAAAUUUUCUUAGGCAAUUAAAUCUUUUUCAAAAUAAAGUAAUGAAUCAUAGGAGUUUAUUAUUGCAUUCGUGCUGGUGCAUUAUUUUUGGUUGCUUGAAUUCAAAUUUGUGUUUGAAUUCAGUUUUGAAUUUAUGUUUGUUUUCCCUUCAAACAAUAGGAAACCCUUUUCGUUUUCCCUCCUUUUCUUCUCUCUCUUUCGGCCCGUCUCCUUUUUCCGGCCCAACUCAGCCCGGCGCCCCACUCCUCCUCCGCCUGUCGCAUGCCACAGCCCAGCAGCAGCCCAACUCCCAUGUCGGUUCGUUCCGCCUCGGCCCAACACCACGCGCCCGCCGCCACCCGAUGACAGGCGGGGCCCGCCUGUCAUCUCCUUCCUUCGGUCGCCCACGCCGCAACCGACUCGGGGUCGAUCCCGAAUCCUCUGUGCUCACCUCCACUUGGCCCGCACGCCAAGGUGCCUCCUUCCAGGCCUAUAAAAGCACCGCCACAUCUCCUGCACCUCGCACCAAACCCUAGCUCCAAGCCACAGCGCUAACGCUGCAACCCUAGCUAGCCGCCCGCUGUCGUCGAUUUGUGCCGCCGCCGCCUUUCCGUCGCCAAGAAUACCCCCAGGAGCUUUGCCGCAAGGUGAGGAAGCCCCUGGUGCGGGUCUCGUGCGCUCCCAUGCCUCUCUCCGGGCGCACGAGCUCGUUGGAGUUGGGCAAGCUCGGCCGGGCCACCUCGUUGAGCCUCCGGCCACCACUAGCACCCAAUCCUCCUCCUCAACACCCUAGAUUGACUCUUCGUGUUAAAAACCAUGCCCAGAAACUCAAUUCCGAGCAAAGUUCAGCGUGUCGCUGCUCGUCGUCAUCGCGCGCUGCUCGCGUCCGCCGCCCACGCGCCGUCCAUGUCCUCUCGGCAGCCGCUAGCUGUACGAUCUGCUUUGGACAGCUCAGAUCCGAUCUAACCCGAGUCAAACCAACACGUACUAGUCAACCCCCAUGCCGCACCGUUCAUUUUGCUAAAUAGUCCCUAGGUUUUAGGGGUUUUGCACCCAAGGUCCAGAGUAGUUCAAAGAUCUUUAGAUCUCGGUCCUUUUUCUUCUGUUCUAGCCCUUGAUCUUUUGCAAAAUAGUGCCCACAAUCCUAGACUCUCUCUUUUGUGCGUUAAACCUUUAGUUUAUACGCAUAUUUAUGUUUUAGCCCUCGGUUUCUUCGAGCUUAACCCCUAAAAGUUUUAAAUCUUUGCCAGCAAGCCCUUGCACCUUGUUUAGUGCACAUCUUUAGCGUUUUAGGUCCAUUUUAAGUGCUUCCUACGUCUAUGAGUUCAUCUUUACGCAUAGAUUAGUUUUAUGAUCUUGUUUCUCUCUGUUGUUACUGAUUGAUGUAAUAUUUUCUUAUUUUAUUCCUUUGCUUGCUUGUACGUGAUCGUGUGAUGCAUUAGAAGGACUGUAGCUCGAGGGAUUCAGAGGUCAAGACUUUGAAGACUACGAGCAGCUGGAGCAAAUCCAAGAAGGCAAGUCAUGCCCUUGAUCACAACUUGAAGCUAUGAAACUUUUUAAUUUCCUAUUUAAUAACAUUUAUGCCAUGCACUUUAAGUUACAAACAUGAUGUGUCCUAAUUAAGGAGGAGUGACUAGUUUUAUUCCCAAUACCUCGAUCAACCCGGGCUUACAUAAUGUUGGGUAGUAUAUGCUUAGUUGCUCAACUUGGGUAUGGUGGUAUUAAUGAACUCAAUGGUUAAACUUGUUUUAUUUAUGAUAUGCCUAUCAUUAACACAAAAUCACCAUACUUAAUUAGAACAUGGAGAACCAACUGGGCAAACAGUACAACCACAAGAACUAAAUGGCUCUGGUCUUGACUAAUUAAUUAGAGAUUUUAGUCUGGGGUAAUCUUACCGAAAGGGCAAGAUGGGCGGCGGCAAAUGGGGUAUAACCCGGUCCACUUGGGAAGUGAGCUUUGCCCUAACAUUAUGCCCACUGGCGAGGUUUAUACUCUGCUACUGAUCCGGAAACCUUAGCGGGUUACCACUUACUAGGGGCUCUUUGUGAAGAUCUCGUAGCGUCCCUAUGCAAUCGCACCUCGGUAGUGUGGUAUUGUGCAUAGCCUGCACAACAUGGUUGGGUAUAAAGUUCUUUUGAACUUUUACGCGACUUGUGGGUAAAGAUGUGCAAGCUCUAUAGAGUGUAAAACUGACCGAUCAGUCAUGCUCACGGUCAAGAGCGGCCUGGACCCUCACAUGAUUAAAUUAUCGGAAGUUGAAUUAAAUUGUUAUUAUUUAUUUCUGUUAUCUUUAUUUAUGUUCACAUUGAAUGUGGGUGGUAUAAACUUACCGUUUAGUAAAUGCUAAUAAAACUUGACCAGCCAAGUAAAUGCUAAUAAAACUUGACCAGCCAAUUAAAAUGCUUGACUUGCUAAUCAAUCUUAACCUAUCAUUGAAUGGCCAUACACUACACAUUCCUCACGCUUGCUAAGUACCAACCAUAAGUGUACUUACCCUUGCUAAAAUCGCUGCUCAGAACAAGUCAACGCUGUGGAUGUCUUUCAAGAUUGGGAGGAGUACUAGGCGCGUACGUGUUUCUCCAGUCAUCUGCCUGUGGAGUCGCCGUUUUCGUUGAAGAUCCACUGCGACAAUAAUACUCUUUUUGCCAUUCGGUUUAAAAGACUAUCGAUCAUGUAAUAAUUAUAUACUCUCUCUACAUUAUGGCAUUAUCUUUGUUACUCACUAAAGUCAUCGCAUAUGUGUAAUUUGAUUCUGAUGUACAUGUGAUUCAUGCAUCUGGUUUUGCCUUUAAAAUAGAGAUACAUGGCCUUUUAUAUUGUUUCUGGACAUGCUGAGAUAUCUGGUGUCCCUAAGAUAGGAUGCCCAGUUGGGUGGAACGGAAGAGAAUCCGUUGUUGGAAUAUCCCAAGAAAGAAGCUGAUGCGUUUGGCAUUGGGAUCUGCCCUAAAAGCCUAUUGAAACUAAGAUCAAGCACUAGUAGUGAUUUACUAAAAGGGAGAACAUCCGAAGCAAGUUGCAUGCCCGUAAGCACGUUAUGCGAAAGAUUCAAAUAAUAAAGGCUACUACUGCUCCAUGUCUCCCAGAUCCGAUUUGGUAUAUCCCCACUGAUUUUAUUAGAUGAAAGAUCCAAAUAUUGUAUAUUUUUAAGACACAUCAAAGAUGUUGGGAAUCGAAUUAUAUUGCAAGACGCGAGCCCUAAAUAGUAAAGUCUGGCCAAAUAGGUAGCCAAAGGAUUAUUACCAUCUGCAUCCGUGACAUGCAACUCAUUGUAGGAAAGAUACAAACUGGUGAGAUCAGUUGAUCUCCAAAAAUGGGAGAGGUCCACGGAACCUAUCAACUUGUUUCGAGCUAACAUCUAUAAGUACCAAACUUGUUAGUUGAAAGAAGGCCUUGGGAAUAAAACCUGACAGAACAUUGUUGCUCAAGCGCACUUUCGCCAACCGUGAUUCUGCCUCGUCAAAGCCAUAUAUGGGGCCAGAAAGUUGGUUGUAAGAAAGAUCCAGGACACUUAAUGCAGGAAGACUGAAAAUAGAUGGUGGAAUCUCUCGUGCAAAGACAAUAGAAAACAUUAAGUUAGAAAGUGUCUCCUCUUCUAGAAAUAUCUGAAUUCAGAAAAUGAUGGCUCCUAUUUUGUUCAGAACAUGAUAAGUUAUGCCACUGAUACUGUACCAUCGAAAAAGCUCCCAAGUCUAGUUAUUUUAUCCUUAGAAAGUUGCAUGACAUAGACUCUAAAGCGAACACUUUAUGUGGUUACACUUAAAGAUUGCUUUGUUUCACCACUCAGUCCAACUGCAGAACGUGCGGCUAGCGGCUUUCACCGAGGAGCAAACUGGAGGGCAAGAGGAGAAAAUCACCAGAAUCAAGUAAGCUGGGGUAGCAAAUCGCCCAUUUGUUCCUGUUUUGUUGGCGUGCUGUUUAUGGGUAGUGUUGUUUAUUUUUAGGUGUAUGCAAAAUGUAUUCUUGAUGAAAUAUGUUGCAUCACAUAUUCUCGAAUAAAAAAGUGAAAACAUUGGUGCUCUGUUGAAUUUCAAUUAUAUUGCUGGAAUUCCUUCCUCCAUUUUUUUUCUUUUUCCUUUUCUUGAUUUUCAAUUAUGUUUGAUGGAAUUUCUUUGAUUCAAAUUUGACUAUAAUUUAUUGAGCUUCAUGCACCAAUCAGUUGCACCUAAAGUCUUAACCCGAUUGGGAAGGACGACAGUUCUAUUAUACUUCAACAUGAUUAACACUCGAAUUCCAAGGAAAACCACUUCAAAUCCCAACAGCCAAGUGGAGCCACAUCACAUUUCGAAGGGGAGAAUGGAGCAUCUGAUUAGAGAAAAGAUACUUCCAAAAUUUGAUUUCUCUGACUUAGAUCAAUCCGUUGACUGUAUUAAGGGAAAAUUUGCAAAACAAAUUAAAAAGGAUGGAGCUAAGCACAGUUCAGGAUUAUUAGAAAUAAUUCAAACUCAUAUAUACGGUCCAUUUAAUGUAAGAUCAGUGGAUGGUUAUAAUUAUUUCAUUACCUUCACUGCUGAUUUCUCCCGCUAUGGAUACAUCUAUCCCAUACUUGAAAAGUCUGAAGCACUUGAUAAGUUUAAAAUCUUUAAAGAUGAAGUAGAAAAUCAGCAUGACUUAAAGAUCAAAGUGGUAAGAUCAGACAGGGAAGGGGAGUAUUAUGGGAAACACUCCACAUAUGGACAAAUUCUGGGACCCUUUGCCAGAUUUAUCCAAGAUAAUGGUAUAGCGGCUCAGUAUUCCACUCCUGGUGAGCCUCAGCAAAAUGGUGUUGCUGAGAGAAGAAAUCGCACUCUUAUGAACAUGAUGGAUAGUAUGCUCAGUAACUCUACGCUGCCAGUGAGUUUGUGGAUGAAAGCUUUAAAGACUGCCGCGCACAUUAAUAAUCGUGUUCCUAGUAAGUCAGUUCCUAAGACUCCUUAUGAGCUUUAGACUGGUAGGAAGCCUAGUAUGAAUUAUUUACAUAUAUGGGGCUGUGCAGCUAAAGCAAAGAUUUUUAAUCCACAACUUGGGAAAUUAGAUCUAAGACUGAAAGUUGUUAUUUUAUUGGAUAUCUAGAAAAGUCAAAGGGGUACCGCUUUUAUUGUUCUAAGCGUACCACUAAGUGUGUGGAGACAAGGCAUGCUGUUUUCUUAGAGGAAACUCGAUGCACUGAGGCUAGGAAAAUUCAUCUUAAGGAGAUUCGGACUUAUGAGCCAUUACCCAUAAGAUAGAAUUAUUAUGCUUCUAUGCCAUAUACCAUAGUUACAUCUCAGGUGGUAGAACUUCCAGUAGAAAAUGUGGGAGUAACACCUACCUUAAGUGAUAAUGUAGAUGCACAUGUGAUACGUGAGCAUCAAGAUGAAGAUGUGGUAGAACCUGCUGGUGGAUUGCAAGGGGAGGCAACUGAUGAGCCCGAGGUGAUUCAGCAGGAACCGGCUCAAGUAGAAGCACCACAAGAAGUAACACCACAACAUCUGAGAAGGUCAACAUGUGAGAGGAAGUCCACCCGUUCCGAUGAGUAUGUGUACAUAAGUGAAGAAGGGCACAACAUGGGGAAGGUGGACGGUCCAAACUCAUUUAAGGAGUCCAUAAGAAGUGAACACUUGCAUAAGUGGAGCGAGGCCAUGGAAGAAGAGUUGAAGUCCAUGGAAGCAAAUAGAGUAUGGGACUUAGUAGAAAUUGCUGAAGGAGCCAAAACAGUAGGCUGUAAAUGGGUCUACAAAAUGAAAUAUGACUCUAAAGGUUAGAUUGAAAGGUUCAAAGCAAGACUCGUGGCUAAGGGCUUCACUCAAGUAGAAGGAGUCGAUUAUAAUGAAACCUUCUCGGCUAUCUCAAAGAAAGAUUCAUUUAGAAUCGUUAUGGUUUUAGUAGCUCAUUAUGAUCUUGAGCUACAUCAGAUGGACAUUAAGACUGUGUUCCUUAAUGGUGACUUGCAUGAGAAUGUAUACAUGAAGCAACCUGAAGGUUUCGUCGUGCUAGGCAAGGAACAUUUGGGAUGCAAACUAUGAAAAUCCAUUUAUGGAUUGAAACAAGCAUGCAGACAAUGAUACCUUAAGUUUGAUGAAGUAAUUAAGAGAAUUGGCUUCAUUGAAAAUAAGAAAGACAACUGCAUAUAUGUUAAGACUAAGGGGAGCUCUAUAAUGAUCCUAGUGCUUUAUGUGCAUGACAUCCUAUUAGGAAGCAGCGAUAAGAACUUGCUGCAUGAGACAAAGGGCUUUCUCUCAUCGAACUUUGAUAUGAAGCACCUCGGUGAUGCCGCUUAUGUCUUAGGCAUUGAGAUUCACCGAGACAGGUCCAAGGGUGUACUAGAACUCUCUCAAAGAGCUUACAUAGAGAAGGUCCUUGAAAGAUAUAAUAUGCAGCAAUGUUCAGGCACAACUGCUCUAGUUAUCAAGGACGAUAAGUUUGGGUCAUCCCAAAGUCCUAGGAAUCAAUUAGAAAUUGAUCAAAUAAGAACGAUUCCUUAUGGUUCAGCUGUCGGAAGUAUAAUGUAUGCAAAAGUGUGUACACGCCCUAACUUGGCCUUUAUAAGCGGGAUGCUUGGAAGCUAUCAGUCUAAUCCAGGAAUAGGCCAUUGGAAAGGAGUUAAGAAAGCUUUGUGUUACAUGCAAGCACUAAGAAUUACAUGCUAAUGUACAGGAGAACUGAGAAAUUAGAGAUAAUCAGCUAUUCAAAUGCUAAUUUUGAGGGUUGUGUUGGCACAAAGAGAUCCACAUUAGGUUAUGUCUUCACACUUGCAAAUGGGGCUAUAUCGUGGAAAAGCUCCAAACAAACAUUAAAAGCUGCAUCGAUGAUGCAAGCUGAGUUUGUGGCAUGUUAUGAAGCUGUGGGACAAGCUGUAUGGCUUAAGAGUUUCAUCCUAGGAUUAAGACUGGUAGACAACAUAAGUAGGCCACUAAAAUUAUACUACGAUAAUAAGUCAAUAAUUUUCUAUUCGAAUAACAACAAGUCAAGUGAUGCUGCAAAGCACAUUGAAAUUAAGUAUCUUGAUGUGAAAGAUAGAAUCCAAGAUAAUACCAUUGAGUUAGAGCAUAUAAGUACUAAGAAAAUGCUUGCGGAUCCAUUAACAAAGGCUUACCUCCCAUUAUAUUCAUUGAACAUGUUGCCGGUAUGGGAUUAUCGGAUAGCCUGUGAUCUUGGAGGGUCAUAAGACAACCGCCUCCCAUCAUGAUAGGUAGUUUUAUACAUUGUGGAUAACUGUGUCACAGUGGGAUUUUAAUCAUCAUUGUCACACAUUGUCUCCCUACAUAAUUCUGCUUUAAGAAUGGCAUAAGUUAUAGGCCUUUAGACCAAAGGGGAGAACGUUUGGAAAAAUAAUGUGGUGGUCAAAAGGCCGAGAGGAAAACGGGAAGGAUAAGAUUGAUGCCUCCCGAUCACAGUGGCGCUGGAGUUGGCCAAAGGCCAUCACCGCACCACCGUCGCUGUCCAUGGACAGACGAGGUGGAGACCUGAAGGGAGAUGUGAUCUACUCCGAGCUAGUACACCUAUGACAUCCGUCAUCCCGGCCUCGUCGAAGACCCUAAUGGCCAGAUCAUCACAAGCCGUGGCAGCUGGUUGUACUCUAACAUCUUCAUUGAGUGGUGUUCACGUUCUAGAUGUGCAAAGAUCCUGUUUUAGUUAAGAUUAAGUAAUGUAGAUUCCUACAGAGUUAAUGAAGCCAACCUCUCGAUUCCAGUAGCAAGGAUGUUGUCUGAUGGCAUAUCUUCAUCUUGUGCCCCACUAACAUCAUUCAUGCUAAGGUGAAGGCUAUUAGGCGGUGUAUAGCCGUAUAUAGCCGAUUUAUAGCUUUUCAUGUAUACUGAUUGUAUUCCUUGUAUACCAAACCAUAUUGGCUAUAUAAUAGAGGUCACCCCCCUCAUUAGGGUGCAUGGUGUUUUCCCAAACUCUAUCUCUCUACAUGGUAUCAUGAGACCAGGAUCAAUCUGACUGGGACUUUCCUUCCGCUCCACCUCUUCCCGACGCGCCUAACACUAGGUGCACCUCCUGUGCAGUGGCACUUCUCCCCUGCACCGGCGCCUCUCCCCACCUCCCUUCCUCCCAUGGCCAACGAUUCCUCUGCCAAGUCCUCCCUGUCCGGUGGCGGCCUUCUGUCCACUGGUGGCCCCAGGCUGGCGCCUGGCGAUGGCUCCCUGCCCAUCUCUGGUGACACCACCACCCCACUAGACCUGAACCAUUGGGCGGCUCAGGCGCCCUCCCUGCUGCUAGUGACGGCCCUGCACUGCCCCCGUGGCGGCAGUCUUCUCCUCCACCAGGCGCCGCCGGCCAUCAUCCACCGUUACGCCAUGAUCUCUGUCAAGGCUCACGUCCCCAUGACGUGGACGAUGAAAACCUUUGGCUACUCCAAGUGGGCUUUAUUCUUCAAAUCCAUGUGUGGAAAGUUCGGCCUCAAGUCACACAUCGACAGCACCGUGGUGUCCCAUCCUGACGAUUCCGAUUGGGAUCAAGCGGAUUGCUGCAUCCUCUUCUAGAUCUUUGGCUUUGUCUACAACUCCAUCGUGGACCUCGCCAUGGAGGACCACGAGUAGACCGCCAGGGCCCUCUAGCUCACCAUUGAAGGCCUCUUCCGCGCCAACAGGCAAUUUCGGGCGAUCUUCCUUAGCUACGACUUUCACUCCAUGACCCAGAGGGACAUUGGUCACCCCGUUCAGGACUCCCAGUUGGUCCUGAAUCUUCUCCAUGGCCUCAACCCGCACUACUCCAACACCACUGACGACAUCACCAACUCCCCCGCCAGCUUCCCGUCCUUCGCCCAGGCUUGUGACAUGCUCGCCUUGAAGGAGCUUCGCCUCGCCAACUUGCUGCUUACGUGCUGCUCUACGUCGAUGACAUCAUCCUCACCGCCUCAUCUUCGAUGCUCCUCCAGCACAUCAUGGCUAGUUUUCACUCUGAGUUUGCCAUGACGGAUCUUGGUGAUCUUCAUCACUUUCUCAGCAUCUCCAUCACGCGCUCCACUGACGGCCUGUUCCUAUCCUAGUGACAGUACACCCUGGACCUCCUCCAGCAUGCCAGCAUGGCUAAGUGUCACUCUACGGCGAGUCCUGUUGACACUCAUGCCAAGCUCUCGGCGACCGACAGCAACAAGCUCAAGGAUGGCUCUGAGUACAGGAGUCUUGCAGGGGCUCUCCAGUACCUCACCUUGACUCGACUUGACCUGGUAUAUGUAGUUCAGCAGGUGUGCCUCUUCAUGCACGAUCCCUGCGAGCCUCAUCUCACACUGAUCAAGCACAUCCUGCGCUAUGUGAAGGGCACCCUGUCCUCCGAGCUUCACAUCGGCACCGGCCAUGUCCAGUCCCUGACAGCCUACUCCGAUGCGGAUUGGGCUGGCUGCCCGGACUCUUGAUGCUCGACCUCCAGCUUCUGAGUCUAUCUUGGGGAUAACUUGGUGUCUUGGUUCUCCAAGCACCAGAGCAUAGUGUCUCGGUCCAGUGCUGAGGCUGAAUACCGGGUUGUGGCUCACGCUGUUGUAGAGUGUUGCUAACUUCGACAACUUCUUCAGGAGCUAUGUCCCCCUCGCUUUGGCCACUGUUGUCUACUGUGACAAUGUGAGUGUUGUCUAUAUGACAGCCAAUCCGGUUCAUCAUCGAUGCAGAAGCAUAUCAAGAUUGACAUCCACUUCGUCCGGGAGAAGGUUGCUUUAGGAUAGGUCCGAGUGCUUCACGUGCCUUCGUCCCAUCAGUUCAUGGACAUCAUGACAAAAGGCCUUCCAGUUCAGCUGUUCACUGACUUUAGGUCCAGUCUUUGCAUCCGGGAACCUCCCGCUGCGACUGCGGGUGGGUAUUAGGCAAUGUAUAGCUGUAUAUAGCUGAUUUAUAGCUUUCCAUGUAUACUAAUUGUAUUCCUUGUAUACCAAACCAGAUUGGCUAUAUGAUAGAGGUCACGUCCCUCAUUAGGGUGUGUGGUGUUUUCCUAAACUCUAUCUCUCUACAAAAGCGACAAAGGGUUGUCAAGCUGAAGACUGCAGGGUCCAAGCCAUUAUUGGACAAGCCACGAUUGUUGAGGUCAAGUACGGUGACAUUACUGGAGGCGUCGUUGCAGCCAACACCUUCCUAGAGACAGCACUCGGUACCAUCUCACCAUGAUGAAAGCCUUGUGGUCGAUUCAUGGAAGGAGAAUGACUUCUUCAGCUGGAGGAGCACCUUAGCUUGGUCUGGAUGGCACAAAAAGGGAAGAUGAGUGAGGUUGCCACCAUCAGCAUGGUGAGGUGGCAGGGAGUGUGAGGAGCUGUGCAAGACAGAGCAGUAACGCCCAGCCGGUGGAAGCCAUGGUCCAAUGGAGGUAUGAGCUGACAAGCGUCAAAAUGGCACAGAUAUAUAAUGGUAGUCUAGUCUAGUAAUGGGUGACAGAAUUGUUGUACAUCUUGUGAAGCGGUAGUUUCACACAAGGCUUCUUCCAUGAGCUUAAGUGAUGGUCGCAAUUCAGAAUCUCCAAGUCUCUGCCCCUGUAAACACGCCAAUCAAGUAAGGGUAAGAUACAGACGUACACUAGCAAUGGAUCAUGACAGUAAGUUAUGGAAGAGACUUGUUACAACUUAUGAGACUUUCCAUAGUUGCUGUCGGUAUUGUUCAGCACCACUGGACAUAAUUGCGACCUGGGAAGUGGAGCUCCAACUAUCAAGGCUUCCAUUUCAGAAAGAAAAAAAAGGACUUCCAAGUCAAGUAAAGUGGCUACGAACCGAGGAAGGUGGAGCUGAAGCACAAAUCAACUGGAUAAACAGUAAAAAGAAAGUAGAGUAAAAUUCACAAAACAUACCUCAAGCUUGUAGUUUUCUAAUACCAGAAAAACUCAAGUUUUCCGAAAUUCGCUGUUAAAAAAUGAAAAAAAGAAAACGAAGAGCAACGCUUUAUCUUUCAGCAUGCAAAAACUGGUAGCAGGUUAGGAUAUAAAUGAGGCAUGCAUCAGCAAUGCUAGAGCGAGGAUGCAGAACAAACAUUUAACGGUUUUCCAAAGUUGCAACGACGAUUGAAUUUAUCUUGUCCCUGGCGCAAUAUAACAGCACGAGCAUCCCAUGUUACAACAUUUGAAGCAUAACAGAGCCAACAUCCAAACAUUCAACAUUCAGUUAACACCAACCGUUCUGACUACAGCACAACCAGGUUGCAGUCUUGAACAACCAUAACACUAACCAGUUCAGAACCAAAUUAUCAGUCCCGCAUUUUCACUGGUAGCAGAGCAGCAGCACUUGCUUCAGUUUUUGAAGCUGCCAUGAUCCACUUCGUCCCAUCGUCAGAUGGUGCCAUCCUCACCAGCUCCAAGGAUAGUGCUAGAAAAGGAAGACAACGUCACAUUUUUAAUCAACCCAAUGCAAAAACAGAAAAAGAAAUUAAGCAAGAACAUUACACGCAAUUGAGAAUUUCUCCAUCAGUAAAAAAGAAAACUAGAAUAGGCAAUACACCAAGAGGAGCAUUAGAGUGAAGUACCUUCCAUCAAAAGACACUGCAGUCUGCCUUAUUGGUGAUCUGUAUUGCUGAUUAUAUAGCCUGAAAAUGAUACAGUAUUUGCAUCCAGAAGCAUAAGAGUUACUAAUACGCAGCACCAAUAAAAGUGGAGGACAAGAAUAACUGAAAUUCUUGCAUUAAAAAUUACCGGGCAAUUAGGACAGGAGGGCUUGACUGUACUUCCCACACAUAGAUUUUGCCUUCACGAUUUCCUGUUUGAAGCGGAGGAUGAUUAAUCAGCAAACGUUUCUAUGAAAAUCCAGUCAUAUAUUUUAAGUGUGAACAUUUUGCCAUGCCAAAACCUCUUUAUAACUUCUGGUGUGUGAAAUUUACAAAUCAAUAACUUAAAUAUAACUUUUAUGUCAGAAAACAGCCCAGAUCAUAGAUAUUACCUAUUGCCAACUGAUUGAAGUGAAAAUCGCACGAAAAUUUUAUAAACCAGAUGUCACACUCUGGCACAGGGUACUUCUGAAGAAUAUCGAUGCUUCCCUAUAUGAGGAAAGAGAAAGUCAUAUUACUUCAGAGGAAUGGGCAGUCAACGACUAGAAAUCAAAGAAACCGCUGGAAGUUAAAUUCAAGAAAAGUUAAAUUGUAUCACCUCCCUAGGACUUUGUUCUUUUGUUUUUGGUUCCCAAAGCACAAUUUCAUUCUCAACACUCUGCAAAUCCAAGCUAGCAUAGAUCAGAUUCCUCAUUAUACAGGAACCAAAACUGGCACUGGGAAAGAAAAGGUUGAAAGACUGAACCCAUGCACAGUACAAGAAUACAGGAUCCAGAUACAGUGGUAUUUUGAAGCAUCAAAAGAAUGACGACUGUACUACUACUAUAGCAGCAAUUUGUAUCCAUUUAAGGGAAGGAAUUUCACCUUUGACAGGAUGAAGUCACCAAGCCAUCUUGUACAAUCAACAUAGUUAGAGUGUACUGCAGCAAUCAACACCUGCAAGGAAAGAAACAGGUUGGUUUGAUGGCAUGAGGAUUAACCACCAACAGUAGUUUGCAAAGGAAUAGAUCUAAGAUUAUUAUAGAUGCUAAACAUACCGGAAACUGGACAUAUUUUGUUGGAAACUUUGAUGGAAGGUCAGUCCAGGAAUAUGAUUUGUCAACAUAUUGCCAAAAUUCUGUGACAACAUUGGGAAACUCUAUCAAUGAUAUGCAGCAUGCAAAUGUAAACAUGAUGCUACUUUGAAGUAGUUUUCCAACCUUUCAUUGACCAGAUUUUCACAGUGUUGUCCAUGCCACAACUUGCAAAACGCUCAAUAUCACUAGGGUGGAAGUCCUUCUGCCAAAAUAAUGUAUUUUGAUCAGUACAUUUAUGCCUAACGUAAUGGAAGUACAAAAGCCAUAGUAGUCACCACUCACCAGGACUAUAUUUAUCCCUGAUGUAAUGCUCAAUAACAAACAGUAACAUCAGAAGCUGAAAGAGUGGUAGCUUCAGGGCACUUUGAGCAAGUAAUAUUCUGAAACAAUACCAUAAGAGGAGGCAGGAGCUACUUACAACACUCAACACUUCAUUGCGAUGACCUCCAGCUCCAGCAAAUACCAAGAUGCAGAUCCCUGUAUGGACAUUCCAUAGCCUAACAGAUUCAUCCUAUUCAAUAAUGUCAUAUGAAACAGUGUCAGAACAAUUAUAAGAAAGUACAUUCAGCCUAAGAACAGGUUAUCUGCUAACCUUGCUUGCAGAGAAAUGAUGAGCGAAGGCUUCAACGCUUGAGUCCUUAUCUCAUUUAUUGAGUCACCAUGGCCAACAAAGCUCUGUAGAAUUCCAUAAACAGAAAUAACAAAUAAACACGUGCACAGUCUAAUUCAUAGGAUAGGAUAGUAUUUAUUGGCAUGCCCAGUCUCCUGACUAUAUGUAUAACGCCAAAAUAGAUACACUAGGUUGAACGUGUCUUGACUAUGACGGACAUGCUGAAGUAUCCAAAAACCAGAAUCUUCUGUGAGCAAAAGUUACAGUUUGCUAGUGGUAUUAAUGCAUAGCAAACAGACAAUUCCAUAAUCAAACCAAAUUCAAAUGACCUUCUGGAUCGGAUAUCAUAGAUGGUAUCUGUCAGGUAAGCAACUGAAGUACUGAUUUAUGCAAAUGAAGCUUCAUUCAAGUUUGACGUAGGAACAAAGACAAGGCUAGGGGUACUAUACCUUAGCUAACUUCUCCGUAGCACAGUUGAUGAGCCGAAUGAUCCCAUUGCUUCCUGCUGCUCAAUGACUCCUUUCUUGGUGACCAGUGUGGCAUCCAAGGUAUCAAUCAGCUCUUCCUUCUCCUUGAGCAAGGUGUUCUUCUCCUCUAUCACCCUGUCCCUAGCCUUCAGUGCCUCCUCCAUCCGAACAACUCUUGCCUCCAGCGUGGCAAUCCUCAGCGAGUCCCUCUCGUCGUAGUUGUCCAGUGCAGUGUCCACCUUGUGCUGCAAGCGACGGUUCGUCUGGUCCAGGUCAGUCAAAUAGUGCUCAAGUCCCAUUAUCUUGCCCUCAAGCAUGGCGUCGGUACCGAUGCAGUUGUCCCAACCCUUGCGAAGUACCUCCACCUCUCUGUCAUUCCAGAACAGUGCCAAAUCCUGAGCGUGAAUGCAGUGGGAGGCCACGUAAAACUUCUCGUUGGGCUCUGCAUAAACAUCCUCAUAGUACUGACGGGCUAAACUCUCGAAGUCCCUCAGCCCACGGCAAGCCCUGGUUAGGCAGCGGUAGGGAGUCUGAGCCAACCUGUCAAGGAGCUGCGCAUGCACCUCACGCACGGCCCUUCUGGCGGCAGUCCGGUGAGCCUUUGACACUAACAACUCAAACCUUGGUAGAAGAAUAAGCAAAGUCUAGUUAGAAAUAGCGGUAGUCAACAGCACUGUCCAUAGCCAGUGAACAUGGAUUAUAGCUAUAGCUUUAUACACCCUGCAAAGGAUGUACAACUGUACCCACACGGAUGGAGUCUAAACGGUGGAGAUCCGUCAAAACCCCACCUAACAGCCGGAGCCCUAGUAGGUAGAUAGCUCUCUCCUAUUUCCUCAAGUUUGGUCAGAGUAGGCCAAUACCUCGAACUCAUUACACGAUCCUCCAAUCCACCUACAGGCUGAGCAGUAUCCACCACUAGUCUCGGACCGAACCCUUCCCAUAAUGUAAGCGAGUGGUAUGUACGUAAAAUAGCUGUUGUGACUAGUGGUAAACUAACUCAGUGUUUAAGCGGCUGAGAGCGAGCACUCUACUCCAUAAGUAUGUGCCAAAGUACCUGCAACGUACAAGUACGCCACCUGCUCUUUAGUAACAAACAAGGUACCCGCUGUAACACCUAGUGUUAAUGACAACUUAAGUAUGACAUUAAGAAGCUAAUGGUGAAGUUGGAUUAAAGGAAGGUAAUUUGAGCCAAAAAUCAAAUUUGAGCCGAAUUCGACCAAAUUUGGAAUUUGGAGUUUCAAAUUUGGAUAAAUUUGGCAAAAAUAUGAAAUAGAGUCUUGAGAGUAUUCAGAACUCAAAGGAAUGAAUCUUGAAGUCUAAAUCAAGUCAUAAAGCUCUCAUAAAUACAAUCGAAGAGGGAGUCAGCAAAGUCACUAUUCGUCGUCCGAAAACGCGCAACUCUGAAAUUAAUAUUGAGUACACAACUUUGGAGCCAAUUCCUGGAGAAUUUCUCCUGUAAGUGAGCAGAUAUUUUUGGACAUUAGUGAAAUAUGGACUAUGGAGAAGGUAAAUGAAAUGUUGUUGUCCAGAGAAAGUGGAAGAUUUGAAUUUAAAAUGAAGCCCAAAAUCAGCAAAUCAGUAGAUUUCAGCCUUCUCGCCAAGAAAAAUCUUAAGUCUGAAAACAGCAUUGACUAGCCAUGUUUGGAGUGAAUUUUAGAAAAAUCUAGUGUAAAAGAUAUAUGAGUUCAUGUGCAAAAUAGAAUCUUUGUUAGUUGUAGAACAAGUAUGGGCAAGGGUCAAGCUGCAUGGAACAAGUUUGCCUAAUUUAAAUCAAGCUCAAAGAGGUAUAAAUGGCCUUGCACCGUACCUGACGAAACUGAAUCAUUGAGGUUCAGUUACAGAAGCUUCUGGUCGAACUUCAAGCUUCAAAAUUUCAGUGUUAGGGUGCUCAUUUCGGUUGGAGGUCAAUCUAUCAAAUGAAGUACUUGGGCUACUCUACAAGUUUGCUUAAGGAACAUUUGGACCUUCGGAUUUGAAAUUGGUCGAUGGGGAAGUCUGAAUUUUGGAGAAGAAGAAGAAGAAAGAGGGAAACAGGCGAGCAGGAACAGAGCCGUGCUGCCGCCGGCACCUCUGCCCGCCGGCCAGCGCAACAAUCCAAAUCGCGCCACGCACGCCUUCAAGUCGUCGAUGUGGCCGUCAUGCACGCGGUAGAAGUUCGUAUUUGUACCGCUCCCAUCCUCAUCCGUUCACCCUGCCGCCAUUCUUUUCACCGUCACAAAGCAGAGCUCGGGUGACCGGCACUGCCGCCGGCCGAUUCCACCGCACCGCCGCUCUAAUCCUCGAUCCCUUCCACCUGAAGCUCCCCUAGCCCCUCGCCGACACCCUACACCGCCCCGUCCACCAGUUUUCCCGCCGGCGAGCCACACCCGCCGCAUCUCCUAUCCGCCCGCCGCCGCUACUGCCCCUCCAGUGAGCCCUCCGCGCCGCCCCUUCUCCACUCUUGUGCUCGGGUUUAGAGGCUCCUUAGGUCGUGAAGACGCCGUAGGACGCAUCCGCCGGCCGCUUGCGCCGCCGCCAGACCUAGAAUCCGGCCGGCCUUCGGCCAUGGCCGCCGCCGCCCGUGCAGGGCCCGGCUUAGGCCGCCUCCGGGUGAGCUAGCGCCACCUGCAGGUGCGCUGGGGCCUAGGGGUGCUCCCCGGCCUGGCCCCGCCGUCGGCAGGCCACCGGCCGUUGAGCCGCCGGAGCCACCCGCGGGGCACCCUGUUUUGGGUCGGGCAGGGGAGGCCUGGCCAGGUUGGCCCCACGCAUCGGUGAGGAUAGGGUAGGGGGGCGGUAGCAAUAGGAUUCCAGGGGGUUUUUCCGAUAAGGUUGGAAUUUUUGGAUUUAAAAAUAAAUUUAAAUAACUGCCAACCCAUUUAAUUCACUGUAAAUUGUAUAGGUACCCAAAAAUAGUGAAAUAAAUUUCUUUAGGUUUAUUUUAAUCUCCUUUACACAUUAAAAUUGUUAAAACAUAUUUAUAGAAACCUUUUGAGUAUUUAUUUAGUGCCUUUAAUUAAAGUUGUUAAAUAAAUACUUAAUAAUUCCAAAAUACAUAAAAUAUGAAAUAAUGCUUUUAUAAUUACAAAUUAACCAUAAUCUAUAGUAAUUAGGAGUUUAAGAUUAGAAAUUAAUUAUGAUGAUUUUCAAAAAUAAAAACAAAAGGCUUACGUUUUUAAAUAAAAGAUAAAGAUUAAGUAGUUAUUUAAUGCUUUUCCUUAAAAUAUUUAAAUAAAUGCUUAAGCUUUAUAAAUAAAUAAAAUUCUGAAUAAUGUUUUGAUUAAUUCCAAACAAAUGUUAAUCUAUAGUUUUACAUUUUCUUUUACAUUAGAAAUUAUUUCAAAUGAUUUUCAAAAAUAAAAAGAAAAGUCUAAAAUGGGUUUAAAUAAGGGAGUUUAAAUCGCGAGUUACACGUUAUGGGUAGAGUUUUGUUGGCUUGCAACUUUAUCAUGAAGUUAAGUUGUCUAAGUCACUGUUGGCUUGCAACUUUAUCAUGAAAGAAGUUGUAGAGUCCUGUGCUUAAAAAGUUGCAUCUCUGACUCAUGCAUACGCUUUAUCGUAGAUACUGAAGCUCCAGAAGCGGAAUUUCUAGAAAUUUCUGAAGAACCUUCGGAAUUUGAGGAGAUCGUUGAGUUGAUCCCUUGUGAAGCCAGUCCGUCGAGCAACGCUAACAUUUUUACAGAUCAAGGCAAGCCCCGGUGCAUCUAUGCCUAUCUAUUUUGGAGUUAUUAUUUCAUGUGUCCAACUAUUGGUUAUUUCUUUAUGAAUGCAUUAAGUCUAGGAGUUGAUUGAAACCUUACUUUUAUGCACAAUCCAACCUUGUUAUUAAGGACAUCUUUGCCACUUGUCAAUAAUUAGUAAGUAUCCCAUGCUUAGCAAAGCAUAGUCGCGCUACCUCUACCAUUCCUGAGAACCUAUGGUACUCAGCAGCCUAAGGUAACAUUGUCAUACAUAUGUAUAUCAAAGAAAUGACCGGUUUUGGAAGAUAGUGGACGGAAGCUUGGAUGGAAUCAAGAAAGGAGUCUUGAGUUCCGUAGUUCUGUCUACUCGAUUAAUUUGAUUAAGGACCGAUCGUUGUUUUAACCCAUGAUCAAGUGAUAUUACCUGGUUGCUUACUGCUAUAUGGGAACCAGCAAGCCCGGUAGGUUAGUUGGCUCUCUGAUCGGAAAUAUUUCGUACCCGUGCUUGGCGUGCAGUGGAAGGGCAGGGCGUAGCCGGAAACUCAUAGUGGAGAUCGCUAGACGUGGGGUUCCAUGUGGGGGUGCGGCCCUGGGUUCAAGUAGUCAUAUUUCCGAUCGUUGGGUACAUCUAAUCGAAAGGUCGUUAUGUGCAACCCGGACAGUUGUACAUGGCUGGUGGUCAGGUAUCUCCUUGUAACGACCCUGGUCAAAUCAUUCGAGUUAAUCUUAAUCUGAAGCCCAAAUUCCUCUGUCUCAGCUCUUCCCGAGCAGGAGUGCUCCACUCCAGUUCCCGGUCCCGGCCCCUGAAGACCCCAACCAACCCCGUCGGUUCCUUCUGAGUUCCCUAAGGCAGUGCUCCUUUCAAUCUUGGAGCUGUGGGACAACCGAGACUGACCGGUGGACCCGCAAAUCUUUUCCCGGAUUUCCCGAGGCAAACGCACUCGAGCGGCCUGCACCGCUUCAGAGCUCCCCCGCCGCAUGGCUCAACUUCUCCGACGCCCGCCGCUUCGCCCAGUCGCCGACCGCGACAGGAUGGAUUCCCGCGCCCUCCUCCCCAAUCGCAGCGGAAGCCCCUCUGCAACCCUUUCUGCAGCGCCUCGUCUCACUCGCGCCCUCGGACACGUGUGUUGAUUCAUACGAAGGGUGGUAUGGUUCGAUUCCAACGAGCCUAUCAUCACGGUUGUUCGCCCACGUCUAUUAUACGUGCGCAGAUUCCACAUCUCGAGUAUGCGAAGGGUUAUACGGUUCCAUUCAAAGGGGACCUAUUUCCAUGGUUGUUGCGCUAUCCAUGCAGCCUUAAACACAUGGGUGCCGUUUCUAUAGUGAACGGUAAUGCUUGGGGACGCUUUCGUGGGUGCUGGCACGAAAGGUUCAUGUGGUUGUGUUUUCUGCAGGUACACUAACCGCGUUCGCUUAGGAGACACUACUAGAACCCGACUAGAUAUUAUAGGGAGAGACGUACUGGUUGCCUUGACACCGGCACUGACUGCGUAAGACCAAAGUUUUGGCAGUUGUUUUGGUUGAGAGGAUGAAGUAGGCCAUGCAUGCGACAUGAACUAAAAUCUUUGAACCCACCUCUCUAAAACAACCUUGCCUUGGUUAAAGCCCUUCUUCGGUUUAAGGAUUUCUAGCUUCCUUUCUAGCUUGUGCUUUGGUCAAAUCCGAGUACUUUUUCUGCCUGACCUGUUCUUCUUCUUAGAGUUUCUAUCUCACGUCAGUUCAGUUUUUGGUUCCAGAUGGCUGCCCUCGGACACGUGUUGUACAGCGCUGACGGCAUGUCCCACUCUACGUCCCUACACUUUGAGGGUUUUCCUGCUAUUCUGUGGGACACCUUAAGGUGGUUUGGGUAUCAGUCCCCGCCUUUGUACAUGGGAUGGAUGUACCAGGAGCACGGAGUACAGAGGUGCAACAUGCAGGUGGUGAUACCUCCACCCCCUGUGCAGCCCGAGUGGUCCCAGCUCGAAGUCUUGACUUGCGGGCACGCUCUGGAGGAUACAUGGGAGUCAGCUGCUCUGCUGAUCCUCACCCACUUCUGUUGACUACACCCGCUUGAGGUCACUUUGGACCCAAUCGGCUUGUUCCCCGCUAGGGAUCGGCUAGACCCGGCGUGGCUUGAUCACGUCAACAACAUGGAAGUGUUGGCAGCCUCUCAUGCGCUGGUCACCAUCUCUACCACCACCAGAUGCAUGUCAGCCUUGUAUCAGCUGAUUGAGCUUCAAGGCCGAGCGAUGGCUGUCUUAGCUCGGAUAGCCAUAGACACCCAAGGGCUUUUCAACGCCGCUAAAAGAGACUUGGUGGGACAGUCGCAUCAGCUUAUCCAAAGAGGCAUACAGAUCCAUGACAUGCAAGACAGAAUCUCCAAGCUCGAGGGAGAAGUGACGGACCUGGUGGAUGGCAUGAUCGAGCUUGCCGAAGAAAAGAUGGAGGUCGAGAUGGAGCUAGCAGUUGCUAAUGCUCAUUUGGACGAGCAUCACGCCGAGCUUGAUGCUAUACAUGCCCUUGAGAUGCAGCUGGAUGAACAAGAAGAUCCUGAGGAGGUCAUGGGAGCGUCCAGCAUGGACAUUGAGGAUGGCGACGCCCCUUCUCCGACUCAUAGUGUUCCCUCAUAGGUUGAGAGCUGUAGGAAUCUAAUCUUUUGUUAUACUCAUUGGCAACCUAUGUUUUGGAUAGUGAUGUAAUAGGUUAGCCUUGAGUUGAGUAUUCCUCCUGUGUUUUGGGGAACAACAAUGCAAUGACCUCAGUGAAAUCAGAUCUUAACUUGACCUUUGACUCUUUUUGCGACACGCUUGGAUGCCAGGUUGUGUGAGUUUUGUCCUGUGACCACACACCCAUCUUCUGUGGGUCUGUCCAAAGCUUGGCCGACCCUGAGUCGCAAGGUCGGAUGCGCUCGACCCCUCGAGGCAGUUCUCCGCCUCGCCCGACCCCUUGCUGUGCAGUUUGCUUCGCCCGACCACUGGUUUCACUGUUUCGCUUAGCCCGACCCGGGCACUAAAGGUCGGAUAUAGUGGAACUCCUCGGAUGUGGUUAUGGUUCGCCUGAAGUUGUGUGCAGAACUAAGAUAGUUGCUAACUAAGAUGGCAAGAGGAAGUGUGUAUCUCUUUAAUAAGGACAUGUUAUUGUGUUGCAGUAUCGGCAAGAGUCGCAUUUGAGGAUUUAACUUAUACGUUCCCACAUAAUGGGAAUACUUCUGAGGAUAUGGAAUUAAUGGAACGUUGACUCUUGCAGAUGGCGCAUCGCACCCGAUCUAGCUCUAUGCCCAGCGGUAGUGAGCAGAGGCAGGAUCUUCCUCCGCCUCCGCCCCCACCUUCGCUGGAAGCCCUCCUAGCGGCUCAAACUGAGCUGCUAAGGCACAUUGUACACGGACAACAACAGCAGCCUCGUGGAGGGAGAGCCCAUCAACAACCCCAAGUUGCUCGUUAUGAGGACUUCUUGAGCACGCAACCCCCUUUGUUCCAGAAGACAUAAGACCCGCUCGACGCCGAUGCCUGGAUUCGUGCCAUCGAAUCCAAGUUCUCCCUCCUCACCGCCCAUUGCUCGGAGGAGAAGAAGGCUCGGUUCGCCGCGCAACAACUGCGUGGUUCUACCCUCCUUUGGUGGGAUCACUACCACGCCAUGCAGCCGGUCGACCACGUCGUCAGCUGGGAGAAGUUUAAGACGGUGUUCAGGGGCCAUCAUAUCCCUGAAGGUCUCCUGGAGCGUAAGCUCAACGAGUUCCUGGCCCUUACCCAGGGAAAUCGAGAUGUCCUGCUGUGGCGGAACCACCUCGGAUUAGCUUGAUUAAGCAGGGUUAAGCCGCCUAACAUGCGACACUCCUGCCUAAACCGAGUUAAUACGAAGUGCCGUCGGAUUUCAUCCGAUUUAACCACUUAAACAGAAUCGAGUUCAGCAAACCCACACGAAGGUGAGCGGUUACAGAGAAUACAACAAGUCCACUGAGUUGAACAAGUUUUACCCAUUUGGUUCGGCCAUAAAAUCCAACAUCAGAGUUUUACAAGUUUUCAAGGAAACAACAGAGAAAACACUAGCGGAAGACUUCGUCGGGGUCGGACAUCCUUGGUGAGGCCAACCGGGACAUCACUAGCUCCUUCCCUCGCCGUCCGAGGAAGGAUCCCACUCGACCGUCCAGCCUGGCGGGAGCUGGGGCGGCCAAGCACCAACCAGAGAGGGGUCGGAAGCAGCAACUUCACCUGAAAACAGGAGCCACAACAAGGCUGAGCUACUAAGCUCAACAAGACUUAACCGAUAGGAGGAAGGGCUACUCCUCCUUCUAGACAUGCAAGGCUGUUUGGCUGAGGGGGUUGUUUGCCAAAAGCACUAAGUAACCCUAUUUUCAAGUUUUAGCUCCGGUUCUAGGUUCAUUUACCAAUCUAGGUUGUGCCACCUAUACUAAGCAUUCAUAGAAUCAAACAAGAUGUAUAGAUACAACAACAAACAUUGCCAUCAUCAGAUUCCUCAUUUACUCAGGGUGACAUAGCGAUCAAGCAAUCUCAAACUAUGAAAGGCAGACGAAUCGAUUCAAGUUCUUUAACCAUGCAUGGUGAACCUAGCCUCACGACAUCCGCGCACCCGGAGGUCGCUUCCUGUGUCGGCCUUCCCCAUCAAUCCCCUAACCCGUGUCGGGCCCAUUUCCUUUGGUGCAAGGUUCCACAGACCCGGCCUCUGCCAUUCUGUGACCACGCUUGCCACCACGUGCGACAACCAGCAGGGGAAACUCCGUUCCAAGAACAAUGGGGCGAUCGCUCACGUAUAGGUUCAAUCCGGUACUAGGCUUCCUCAUCCCAUACUAAGUAUGAGGCUAGUACUUUCAAACACUUGAUCACGAACACCACCACUGUCGGGCCUUAGCAAGUUUUCAUAGACAGACGUGGCAACCAUCUGACCACCAAAAAGUUACCAAAACCCUGCCCCGUCCAUCGUCCUUAUAGUUAUAACAGGACAGUAAACAUGCAACUCCUACAACUCGCGAGAGAUAGGAAAUCACUCGACUUUUACCGUCUCCUAGUUAAGCAAUGCAGCUACUCGGUCCAACAGCUAGUGCUCAGAUCACUGGGAUAACUAAGUCAUGCAUCUAGGGUUUCACACAACUCCUAUACGUAAAUGCACAAGCAUGUUACAGAAGGCAUGCGCAAGUCUGGUAAAACACAUAGGACUUUCAUGCAACCGGGGCUUGCCUUCAAGCAAGGAGGACGGAAACUGCUCGACUUCGGGGGCGACUUCGGCUUCGGAGGACAGGAGCUCGGCUACAGCUUCUUCUUCUGGCGCCGGGUGAAGCUCGUAGAAGCCGUCGGCGAGGUGCAGCUCUACACGAAUGCAAUGCAGGGGUUAGCAUAGACAGUUACUUCAACAGCAACACUGGCUCGCCUGAGCCCAGAAACUCGCGACAAAGAGCAGGAGGUUAAGGCGGUUCGAGAGCUGAUGAUGAUCAAGGGGUAAGGGUAGGAAGGAACUAGUGGUCUGAUCCUUGAACUAGAGGAUGUGAUAAACUGGGGGUCCUUAGACGCAAGCGUUGAAGGGUUCCCAAGUUUUACACAUACACCCUCGAGUUGAAGAAAAAGAUCACAGCCAAGCCCUCGGGCGAGACGGACAAGGGUCGGCGGAACAGACAGGGUCGGGCGAGACGGAACCGGGGUCGGGCGGAUAGGAGGGGUCGGGCGAGGCGGACUGGGGUCGGCAACUCACCUUCUUCCUGAAAGGAAAGCUUGGGGUCGGAACGAAGCGGACUUGGGCGGAGGGACUACGGUUUGAUCAGAAGCUAAGACCGGCGAUGCUCCGGCGGCGGCGCUGCUUCUUGCGGAUCACAAGAGAGCUUUUACGCAGCACGGAGGAGCAAGCUGCUGGGUGACUUGGAGAAGAACUGAGGGAGAACUGAGAGAAGAACUCCUCAAGAACUGGGUGGGUGGCGCUAGGAGCUUGAGCAGGGAGCUAGAGGAGGCUGAAGGCAACGAGAGCGGAGGGAACUCCAGCGACGGGGGCAUUCCUUUUAUAGCUGCUGGAGCAGAGGAAAGGAAACGGCACGGAGAGAGAGAAGGAGAGCGGCGCGAAGGCCGGGGAGAGGCAAUGGAGUGCUCUGCUGGGGCGGCGAUUAAGCAAAGAGGGCGGUGGUGCAGAACUCCGGGGGUGACGCCAGCAAUCAUGGCGUUCUGCCGUCAGGGCGGCGUAGGAGCGGGUAGACUGGUGGUUGAGAUUUGGCGGAAAGCGGGCGUCAUCGUGCGGAAGAUGUGAUAGAAGUGACCGGCUUAACGGCGCUAGAAUCGAGGGUGCUCGGGUGAGAAGGCAGGCGGACGCGGGCGCGUGGGAGAGUGCGGAACAACAGAUUGUCGGGCGGCUUCUGACAGAGCGGGGGAAAGGAACUGUCGCGGCCGCGGUCGGGGUUGGCGGUGGAGGAAUCAUCGUGUAGCGGCGACCAGGCGGCGCAACUGUGGCUGAAGGGACGGAAAAGACGGGCGACAUCGGGCUCUGGGGCUGGGAUCUGGUGGCGUGAUGAUGGGCGCGGGAGGCGAGGUUCUGCAGAAAGGGGUGCAGAGGGCUUCCGCUGCCAUUGGGGAAAGGGGGCACGGGAACCCACUCGGUCGCUGGCCAGAGACAAAACUGAGCGGCAGGCGUCGGAGAAGACGAGCCACGCGGCAGGAAGACUCUGAAGCAGCCAAGCAACUCGAGUGCGGCUGUCGCGGGGGAUCUGGAAAAGAUCUCGCGGGUCCACCAGUGGAUAGAUCGGACGGGUGAGGAAGAUUAACAGAAUCCGACGGUGGGCUGAGCUCGCCGGGGUCAGGAGAGGAGCGAAGCCGGAAGGGGUCGGAUCUCAGGGGUCGGGACCGGCGGGAAACUGAGCACUUAGGUGCGGUCAAGCAAGACAGCUGACUAAGGUUAAGGGCUGUGAUCAAGACUAACUGGAAGGCUUAGGGGUCGGUCGUUACAGCCUACCCCUCUUAAAAAGAAUCUCGUCCCGAGAUUUAGAGAUCAAGGGGGUGUGUUGUCCUUACCUCCUUAAGAGGAUAGAAAACCUGGGAAACGCUUGCUCAGAUAUUUGUCCGUUUCCCAUGUUGCUUCAUCCUCGGUGUGGUUUCUCCAGAGGAUCUUGUACAUCUUUACCACUUGGCGUCGGGUGUGCCUUUCCUUUUGGUCAAGAACUCGAUCUGGGUACUCGGCGUAGGUCAGGUCGGGCUCUACCUGAAGCUGUUCUUGCUCUAAGAUCUCUGCUAGAACUCGGACACAUUUCUUCAGUUGAGACACAUGGAAAACAUCAUGUAUUGCCGACAGCUGCUCUGGGAGUUGGAUCCGGUAAGCAACGGGUCCACAUAUCUCCACAAUCUCAUAAGGGCCAAUAUAGCGGGGAGCUAACUUGCCUUUUAUUCCAAACCGCUGCACUCCUUUGGUCGGGGAGACUCGAAGGUACACAUGAUCACCAAGGUCAAAUUGCAGGGGUCUUCUCCGCUGGUCGGAGUAACUCUUUUGUCGAGAUUGGGCGGCCUUGAGAUUUGCUUUAAUUACCUUCACUUGCUCUUCGGCUUCUGCCACUAAAUCAGGGCCAUAGACCUGUCUUUCUCCUGGUUGGGACCAGUUCAGGGGUGUCCUGCAUCUUCGGCCAUACAGAGCUUCAAACGGUGCCAUUUUCAAACUGGCUUGGUAGCUGUUAUUGUAGGAGAAUUCUGCUAAGGGCAGACACUUGUCCCAGUUCUUAUCAUAGUGGAUAACACAAGCUCUUAACAUGUCUUCAAGAAUCUGGUUGACUCUCUCAGUUUGGCCAUCGGUUUGAGGAUGAUAUGUUGAGCUUCGGAUGAGCUUGGUGCCCAUAGAUGCUUGUAGCUGCUCCCAAAAACAUGCCACAAACUGAACUCCUCGAUCAGAGACGAUAGUCUUGGGUACACUAUGUAGGGAAACUAUACGGUCGAGGUACAACUCUGCAUACUGCUUGACUGUGUAGGUGGCGCGAAUAGGAAGGAAAUGUGUUGUCUUGGUCAGACGGUCCACUAUAACCCAGAUGGAAUCAUAUCUUUGUGUUGUAAGGGGUAACCCAACUAUGAAGUCCAUGCUGAUGUCUUCCCAUUUCCAAGAGGGAAUAGGUAGCGGCUGCAAGGUUCCUGCUACCUUCAAAUGACUGGCCUUGACACGUUGACAGGUGUCACAUUCUGAAACAUAACGAGCUAUCUCUGGUUUCAUUCCAUUCCACCAAAAGGUUUGACGAAGAUCAUGGUACAUCUUAUUGCUGCCAGGAUGGAUCGAGAACUUGGAGAGAUGAGCUUCAUCUAGGAUUUGCUUCCUUAACUCGGGGUCGGCGGGCACUACUAGCCGGUUUCCAUAAUACACACCUCCUGUUUUGUCCUGAUGGAAAUGGUUAUAUCCCUCAUCCUUUACUGAGAUCUUACCGAUGAUCCAUUGUACUUCUGUAUCUCUUACCUGUGCUGACCGAACUUGGUCUUCCAAAACUGAGUCAAGGAUGAUGUGACCAAGGGUUCCUUGAGGAAUAAUCUCCAGACUUAGUUUUCCCAUCUCAUGACACAGAGUCUUGGUGAAGGCUGUUGACAACAAGCAGUUGCAAUGGGGUUUGCGGCUGAGGGCAUCAGCUACCACAUUGGCUUUGCCAGGAUGAUAGUGUACUUCCAAUUCAUAAUCCUUUAUCAACUCCAGCCAUCUUCUCUGACGCAUGUUGAGGUCGGCUUGAGUGAAGAUGUACUUGAGGCUCUUGUGGUCGGUGUAGAUGUUGCAGUGAGUUCCCAUUAGGUAGUGCCUCCAUAUCUUCAAGGCAUGUAUCACUGCUACCAACUCAAGGUCAUGUGUCGGGUAGCUUAGCUCAUCAGGUCGUAACGCACGUGAGGCAUAGGCAAUGACUCGGCUGUCUUGCAUAAGAACACAUCCGAGUCCAGUGCCAGAGGCGUCACAGUAUACGUGUAACGACCGACCCCUAAUCUUUCCCAGUUAGGCUUGAUCUCAGCCCUUAACCUCAGUCAGUUGCUCUGUUGACCGCACUUAAGUGCUCAGUCUUCCGCCAGUUCCGACCCCUGAGGUCCGACCCCUACCGUUCGUUCCUUUUUCCCGACCCUGGCGAGUUCAGCCCUCCGUCGGAUCCUGCUAAUCUUCCUCACCCGUCCGAUCUUUUCCCCCGGUGGACCCGUGAGAUCUUUUCCAGAUCCCCCGCACCAGCCGCACUCGAGUUGCAUGGCCGCCUCAGAGCUUUCCUGCCGCGUGGCUCGUCUUCUCCGAUGCCACCGCUCAGUUUUGUCUCUGGCAAGCGACCAAGUGGGUUCCCGCGCCCUUUUCCCCAAUAGCAGUGGAAGCCCUCUGCACCCCUUUCUGCAGAUCCUCGCUCCCCGCGCCCAUCAUCACGAUACCAGAUCUCGGCCCUGGAGACCGAUGUCGCCCAUCUUUUCCGUCCUUUCCAGCAACAGUUGCGCCGCCCGGUCGUCGCUACACGACGAUUCCCCAACCGCCAACCCCGACCGCGGCCGCGACAGUUCCUUUCCCCGCCCUGUCAGACGCCGCCCGACAAUCUGUUGUUCCGCGCUCUCCCCCGCGCCGCGUCCGCUUGUUCUCCCACCUGUGCGCCCUUGAUUCUAGUGCCGUUUAACCGGUCGCUUCUAUCACUUCUUCCGCACGACGACGCCCGCUCUCCGCCAAAUCCCAACCACCGGUCUACCCGCGCCUACGCUGCCCUGACGGAGUAGCGCAAUGAUCGCUGGCGUCACCCCCGGAGUUCUGCAGCACCGUCCGGUUUGCUCAAUCGCCGCCACGGCAGAGCACUCCAUUGCUUCUCCCCGGCCUUCGCGCCGCUCCCCUUCUCUCUCUCCGCGACGUUUCCGUUCCUCUGCUCCAGCAGCUAUAAAAGGAAGGCCCCUGUCACCGGAGUUCCCUCCGCCUUUGUUGCCCUUAGUUUCCUCUAGCUCCCUGCUCAAGCUCCUAGCGCCAUCCGCCCAGUCUUGAAAAGUUCAUCUCCCUAUUCCUUCUCAGUUCAUCCAAGUCACCAACAGCGUGCUCCCUUGUGCUGCGUAAGAGCUCUCUUGUGAUCCGCAAGCAGCACCACCGCCGGAGUAUCGCCGGCCUUAGUCCCUGCUCAAAGCUUUAGUUCCGCGCCCAAGUCUGCCUCUUCCCGACCCCAAGCUUUCCUUUCAGGAAGAAGGUGAGUGCCGACCCUAAGUCCGCUUCGCCCAACCCCUCCUAUCCGCCCGACCCCAGUUCCGUCUCGUCCGACCCUGUCUGUUCGCCGACCCUUGUCCGCCUCGCCCGAGGGUCUGGCUGUGAUCUUUUCUUCAACUCGAGGGUGUAAGUGUAAAACGUGGGAACCCUUCAGCGCUUCCGUCUGAGGAUCCCAGUUAUCACAUCCUCUAGUUCAAGGAUCAGACCACUAGUCUCCUUCCUAUCCUUACCUGUUGAUCAUCAUCAGCUCUCUCAAACAGCCUCCACCUCCUGCUCUUUGUCGCAAGUUUCUGGGCGCAGGAGAGCCAGUGUUGCUGUCGACUUAAACGUUAAGCUAACCCUUGCAUUGCAUUCGUGUAGAGUUGCAUCUCGCUGACGGCUUCUACGAGCUGCACCCGGCGCCCGAAGAAGAAGCUGUAGCCGAGUUCCUGCCCGCUGAAGUCGAAGCCGCCCCCGAAGUUGAGCAGUUCCAGCCUUCUUUGUUUGCAGGCAAGCACCGGUUGCAUGAAAAUCCUACGUGUUUUUGCCAGACUUGCACAUGCCUUCCGAAUAGCAUGUUUGUGCAUUUACGUUUAGGAGUUGUGUGAAACCCUAGAUGCAUGACUUAGUAACCCUUGAUAUGAGCACUAGCUGUUGGACCGAGUAGCUGCAUUGCUUAAAUAGGAAACGGUAAAAGCCGAGUGAUCUCCUGUCACUCGCGAGUUGUAGGAGUUGCAUGUGUUACUCUCCUGUUACAACUAUAAGGACGAUGGACGGGGCAGGGUUUGGUAACUCUUUGGUGGUCGGAUGGUUGCCCCGUCUGUCUAUGAAAACUUGCUAAGGCCCGACAGUGGUGGUGUUCGUGAUCAAGUGUUUGAAAGUACUAGCCUCAUACUUAGUAUGGGAUGAGGAAGCCUAGUACCUGAUUGAACCUAGACGUGAGCGGUCGCCCCAUUGUUCUUGGAACGGAGUUUCCCCUGCUGGUUGUCGCACGUGGUGGCAAAGCGUGGUCACAUAACGGCAGAGACCGGGUCUGUGGAACCUUGCACCAAAGGAAAUGGGCCCGACACGGGUUAGGGGAUUGAUGGGGAAGGUCGACACGUGAAGCGACCUCCGGGUGCGCGGAUGUCGUGAGGCUAGGUUCACCAUGCAUGGUUAAAGAACUCGAAUCGAUUCGUCUGCCUCUCACAGUUUGAGAUUUCUUGAUCGCUAUGUCACCCUGAGUAAAUGAGGAAUCUGAUGAUGGCAAUGUUGUUGUUUUUAUCUACACCCUUGUUUGGCUUGAUGGUUGCUUAGAAUAGGUUGCACAACCUAGACUGGUAAGUAAAUCUAGAACCGGAGCUAAAACUUGAAAAUAGGUUACUUAGUGCUUUUGGCGAAACAAACCCCUCAGCCAAGAAGCCUUGCAUGUCUAGUUGGGAGAGUAGUUGACUCCUCCCCGGUUAAGUCUUGUUGAGCUUAGUAGCUCAGCCUUGUUGUGGCUCCUGUUUUCAGGUGAAGUUGCAGUUCCCGACCCCUCCCUUGUUGGCGCUUGGCCGCCCCAGCUUCCGCCAGGCUGGACGGUCGAGUGGGACCCCUCCUCGGACGGCGAGGAGAGGACUCAGUGAUGUUCUGACUGGCCUCGCCCAGACGUCCGACCCCGACGAAGUCUUCCGCUAGCGUUUCCCUGUUGUUUUCUUGAAAACUUGUAAAGCUCUGAUGUUGGAUUUUAUGGUCGAAUUAAGUGGGUAAAACUUGUUCAACUCAGUGGACUCGUUGUAUUCUCUGUAACCGCUCACCUUCGUGUGGGUUUGCUGAACUCGAUCCUGUUUAAGUGGUCAAAUCGGAUGAAGUCCGACGGCGCUUCGUGUUAGCUCGAGUUAAUCAAGAGUGUCGCAUGUUAGGCGGCUAAACUCUGAUUAAUCAAGCUGAUCCGAGGUGGUUCCACCACAGCUUGGUACCAGAGCCGAGUUUAGCAUAUCAGAGAACCCGAUGAGCCCGAAACACUUCUUUGAAAUUAAAAGUUGCAAGGACCUUUCGAAAAUCUCGUACCAACGUUAAGGAUGACUUAGUGCGAGAGGCCCUAGGGGAUUUUGGGGUUGUUUUAGGUGACUAAUAAGUAUCUGGUUAUGUUGCUAACCCCUCCAGCACUUCGCCACGUCUAUUAUACGUGUGCCGAGUUCCGCAUCACGAGCAUGCGAGGGUUGAUAGGGAGUUCCAUUCAAGGGACCCUAUCUUCGCGGUUGUUUUCGCCCACAUCUAUUAUACGUGCGCAGGUUCCGUAUGUGAUCCAUACGAAGGUUGAUAUGGUUCGAUUCCAACGAACCUAUUGGCACGGUUGUUUCGCCACAUUUGUCAUACGUGUGCCGAUGCCGCAUCACAAGUAUGCGAAGGGUUAUAUGGUUCUAUUCGGAAGGAACCUAUUUCCACGGUUGAGUGCUGUCCAUGCAGCCUUAAACGCAUGGGUGCCGUUCCUAUAGUGAACGGUAAUGUUUGGGAACGCUUUCAUGGGUGCUGGCACGAAAGGUUCGGGUGUGUGUUUUCUGCAGGUUGCUAACCGCGCUCGUUAAGACGUUGCUAGAACCGACUAGAUAAUAUAGGGAGAGACGUAUUGUUGCCUUGUCACCGGCACUGACCGCGUAAGACCCAAGGUUUGGGCAGUUGUUUUUGGUUAAGAGCAUAGUAGGCCGUGCAUGCGUCAUACAAAAUCGGUAAUGUUCUCUUCUCAACAGCAACCCUGUCCGACAGAGUUCUUUUGGAUCUAAGGAUUUCUAGCUCCCCUUAGUUGCUCUCGGUUAAGCCCUUCUGCUUCUCUAUCCGACCCCUGAUCUUCGGAGUUAUCUCACGUGGCUUCGGUUUUCUUGGUUCCAGAUGGCUGCUCCCGGGCAUGUGGUGUUUGGAGCGGACGGUACCUUCCAAUCAACAUGCCUACAUUUCGAGGGGUUUCCCGCGAUCUUGUGGGAUACGUUGAGAUGGUUUGGGUAUCAGUCCACACCCCUGUAUUCUGGGCGGCUGUAUGUGGAGCAGGGCAUCCAGACGUGCCAGGUGCAAGCACUGGUGCCACCCCCUUUUGCGCGGCCCGACUGGCCCUCUCUGGGCAUCAUAGCCUACGGUCUUUCUCCGGAAGAUACGUGGGAAUCCGCCGCUCUCCAGUUGCUCACGCAGUUCUGUCAGUUCCACCCUGUGGAGAUCACCCUGGACCCGAUCGGACUUUUUCCCGUCAGAAGUCGGAUGGACCCGGCCUGGCUGGACCGCAUCGGAAACCUCGAGGUGUUGGCCACUACUUGUGCCACACUCACCAUCUCCACCAACAUCCGUUGCAUGGCUGCUUUCUACCAGCUGAUAGAGCUCCAAGGAAGGGCCAUGACUCUCUUUGCCCGGACUGCUGCAGACACCGACGGGUACCUCCAGGCAGCUAGAAGAGACCUGGUAGGCCAAACCUACCAGCUGAUCCAACGUGGAAUCCAGAUCCAUGACAUGCAAGACCGGAUCUCCGAGCUGGAAGGAGAAGUUGCCGACCUUGUGGACGGUAUGAUCGAGCUCUCCGAGGAGAAAAUGGAGGUGGAAAUGGAGUUGGCCGUUGCCAAUGCCCACCUAGAGGAGCACCAAGCUGAGCUUGAAGAUAUGCAUGCCCUCAACAUGCAGCUUGAAGCUCAGGAGGACCCUGAGGAAGACGAGGGAGCGUCCAGCAUGGACAUAGAAGAAAAUGGCGCCCCUUCUCCGACUCAUAGUGUCCAGUGGUAGCUUAAGGGUUCUCGGGGAACCUUCUUUCUUUUGUUGUACUCCUCGGCAGCCUAGUUUUGGAAAGUUGUAAUAGGUUAUCCUUGAGUUGAGUACUCCCUGUGUUGAAACGUCGUUGUGUAUAAAGUCAACCCAGUGCAGUGCAUAGUUUCAUCCUUUUCGUAUGAUGUGGAUGCUAAAGUUAAGAAAGUGGUGCCGUGACCCUGUGUUGUUUUCGGGGAGCCUGUUCAGUUGGCCGACCCUAGUUUGCGAACCAGAGUGCGCCGACCCUUAAGACAGUUACCGCCUUGUCCGACCCUCUUUGAGUACGGACCGUAUCCGAUCCCUCGGUUCGAGUGGACCCGACCCUAGGAGUCUGUAUGUGGUGUGGUUACCUGAGGUGGAGUACCAGGGCAAGUAAGGGCUAUCUGUGAUGAAAAUGGGAGGAAUGUGCUUCCUCUGUAAGGACGUAUGAUGCACCAUUGGCAAGAGUCGCAUUAAAGGACUUAAUUCAUACGUUCCCAAUUGCUGGAGUACCCCUAAGGUUAUGAGAUUGAUGGGCGUUAACUCUUGCAGAUGGCGCACCGCACAAGGUCUGGAACUAUGCCCAGUGGCAGGGAUCAGCAACAAGAUCUUCCCCCGCCCCCGCCACCAUUGCCAUUGGAGGCAAUCCUAGCAACUCAAACCGAGCUGCUCAGGCAUCUGGUACAAGGACAACAGCAGCCACACGGUGGUAGAGCACAGCAGCAGCAGCAUGUCGCAAGAUAUGAGGACUUUUUGGGGACACAGCCCCCGCUGUUCCAAAAGACCCAAGAACCGCUCGACGCUGACGCAUGGGUUCGUACGAUCGAAUCCAAGUUCGAGCUCCUUACCGCUCCAUGCCCUGACAACAACAAGGCGCGGUUCGCAGCUCAGCAGCUGCAUGGUUCCGCACGGCUUUGGUGGGACCACUACCAUGCCAUGCUACCUGCUGACCACGUAGUCAGUUGGAACGAGUUUAAGACGGCGUUCAAGGCGCAUCACAUUCCUGAAGGUCUCCUGGAGCGCAAGCUCAACGAGUUUCUAUCCCUCACCCAGGGAACUAGGGAUGUGCUGCACUACGCCCAGGCGUUUAACGACCUGUGCCGUUAUGCGGGAUAUCACGCGGACACCGAUGAGAAGAAGCAGGACAGAUUCCGCCGAGGUUUGAGCUUGGAGCUCAGGGAAAGGCUGAAUCCCAUCCGAGUGGACACCUAUAACGAGUUGGUCAACCUGGCCAUCUCCCAGGAGGAUUGCAUGCAAGCUCUAAAGGCCGACCAGAAGAGGAAAGCCUCUGUGGCUCUUCCGAGCCCGCCAGCCCGAAGGUUUCGGAUGAUCCCUCCACAAGCCCCUGGCCGACCCCAACAGUCAGGGAAAUGGAUCGCCCGACCCCCGCCGGCAACAAUGCCUAGUUCUCCAGGCUUCCAACCACAAGUACCCCGGCCGACCUUGCCAACGCCACCUCGUCCAGCAGCCAGUAACAGAUGUUUUACCUGCGGCAAUGAGGGGCAUUUUGCAAGGGAUUGCCCCAGGAGCAAGACUCAGCAGCAAGGCCAGAACCCCAUGGCAGCCAGAGGGAGAAGGCCCAAGGUGCAAGUCCGACAAGGCCGACUCAACUACACCAGCUUGACCGAACUUCCCGAAGGUGCGUCAGUAAUGAUGGGUACUUUCCUUGUUUUAAAUCAAGCUGUUGUGGUGUUGUUUGAUUCGGGAGCCUCUCAUAGCUUUAUCGGGAGUAAGGCAAGGGAAAGGUGUGGGCUAAGUGUAGGUCACACUAAGGAACCCUAUGUGAUCGCCACUCCUGGAGGGAGGAUAACGUCGGAUCAGAUCGUUAUUCUGGUACCUCUCCAGCUAGGCCCCACCCUUUUCAAGGAAAACCUUAUCCUCCUUGACCUUGAAGGCCUAGACGUCAUCCUUGGCAUGGAUUGGAUGGCCCGACAUCGUGUUGUUUUAGAUACCUCAGCCCGAUCUCUUUUCAUCAGCUCGCCCUCUCAUGGCAGUGCUACCCUAUCCUUGACCCAUCCUGAGUCUUUGACCCCUUGUGCGUUUUCUCUCUUGGGAACCCGUUUAGAAGACCUCCCUGUUAUCUGUGAGUAUCCAGAUGUGUUUCCAGAGGACUUGCCAGGCAUGCCACCUGACAGAGAAGUGGAGUUUUCUAUAGAGUUAGUUCCUGGCACAGCUCCGAUAUCUAAGAGACCCUAUCGGAUGCCACCCGCUGAGUUAGCAGUGUUAAAGACCCAGUUGCAUGAUCUGUUGGAAAAGGGCUUCAUUCGACCCAGUACGUCAUCUUGGGGAUGCCCCGCCCUGUUUGUGAAGAAGAAAGACGGCAGUUUACGGAUGUGUGUGGAUUACCGACCCCUCAAUGCGGUAACAGUUAAGAACAAGUACCCACUGCCCCGCAUUGAUGUCUUGUUCGACCAGUUAGCCGGAGCAAAAGUGUUCUCCAAGAUCGAUCUUCAUUCUGGUUAUCACCAAAUCAAGAUUCGACCUUGUGACGUACCCAAGACAGCUUUCUCUACCAGAUAUGGAUUGUAUGAGUACCUAGUCAUGUCCUUUGGACUCACCAAUGCACCCGCUUACUUCAUGUACCUUAUGAACUCGGUGUUCAUGCCCGAGCUGGACAAGUUUGUAGUGGUGUUCAUUGAUGAUAUCCUAGUGUACUCAAAGGACAAGGAAGAGCAUGCCAACCAUCUUCAUAUAGUUCUUCAGCGACUGAGAGAUCACCAGCUUUAUGCAAAGUUCUCCAAGUGUGAGUUUUGGUUGGAUAGUGUCAAGUUUCUAGGACACGCUAUCUCCAAGGACGGUAUUGCCGUGGAUCCCAGUAAGGUGCAAGAGGUCAUGGAAUGGAAGUCUCCUGUCUCGGUACACCAGAUCCGGAGUUUCCUCGGACUGGUAGGGUACUAUCGGCGUUUUAUACCGGAUUUCUCCAAGAUAGCUAAGCCGAUGACCGAGUUGUUGAAGAAAGAGGCCAAGUUUGUGUGGGACACCAAGUGCGAAGAAGCUUUCAAAACCCUGAAGCACUUGUUAACCACCGCCCCAGUUUUGGCUCAACCCGACCCCUCUAGGCCGUACGACGUAUACUGUGACGCCUCUGGCACUGGACUCGGGUGUGUUCUUAUGCAAGACAACCGAGUCAUUGCCUAUGCCUCACGUGCGUUGCGACCUCAUGAGCUGAACUACCCGACACAUGACCUUGAGUUGGCAGCAGUGAUACACGCCUUGAAAUUAUGGAGGCACUACUUAAUGGGAGCUCACUGCAACAUCUAUACCGACCACAAGAGCCUCAAGUACAUCUUCACGCAAGCCGACCUCAACAUGCGUCAGAGAAGAUGGCUGGAGUUGAUAAAGGAUUAUGACUUGGAAGUGCACUAUCAUCCUGGCAAGGCCAAUGUGGUGGCCGACGCCCUCAGUCGCAAACCUCAGUGCAACUGUUUGUUGUCCACCGCCUUCACCGACACUUUGUGUCACGAGAUGGGAAAACUAAGUCUAGAGCUUGUUCCCCAUGGAACCCUUGAUCACAUCAUCCUUGACUCAGUUUUAGAGGACCAGAUUCAGUCAGCCCAAGCUAAGGAUGAAGAAGUAAAACGGAUCAUCAGUAAGGUCUUGGUAAAAGACGAGGGAUAUAAGCUUUUCCGGCAGGACCAAACGGGAGGUGUGUACUAUGGAAACCGACUAGUAGUGCCCGCCGACCCCGAGUUAAGGAAGCAAAUCCUAGAUGAAGCUCAUCUUUCCAAGUUCUCCAUCCACCCUGGCAGCAACAAGAUGUACCAUGAUCUCCGUCAGACCUUUUGGUGGAGUGGGAUGAAACCGGAGAUAGCUCGUUAUGUUUCAGAAUGCGACACUUGUCAACGUGUCAAGGCCAGUCACUUGAAGGUAGCAGGAACCUUGCAGCCGCUACCCAUCCCCUCUUGGAAAUGGGAAGACAUCAGCAUGGACUUCAUAGUUGGGUUACCCCUUACAACUCAACAGUAUGAUUCUAUCUGGGUUAUAGUGGACCGUCUGACCAAGAAGGCACAUUUCUUUCCUGUUCGUACCACCUACACAGUCAAGCAAUAUGCAGAGUUGUACCUCGACCGUAUCGUUUCUCUACAUGGUGUACCCAAGACCAUCAUCUCGGACAGAGGAGUUCAGUUUGUGGCACGUUUUUGGGAGCAACUACAAGCAUCUAUGGGCACCAAGCUCAUCCGAAGCUCAACAUACCAUCCCCAAACCGAUGGCCAAACCGAGAGAGUCAACCAGAUCCUUGAAGACAUGUUAAGAGCCUGUGUUAUCCAUUAUGACAAAAACUGGGACAAGUGCCUGCCCUUAGCAGAGUUCUCCUACAAUAACAGCUACCAGUCCAGUUUGAAGAUGGCACCGUUUGAAGCCUUGUACGGCCGAAGAUGCAGGACACCCUUGAACUGGUCCCAACCAGGAGAGAGACAGGUUUAUGGCCCUGACUUAGUGGCAGAAGCCGAGGAACAAGUGAAGGUAAUUCAGGCAAAUCUCAAGGCUGCCCAAUCUCGACAGAAGGGUUACUCUGACCAGCGGAGAAGACCCCUGCAGUUCAACCUUUGUGACCAUGUGUACCUUAGAGUUUCCCCAACCAAAGGAGUGCAACGGUUUGGAAUAAAGGGCAAGUUAGCUCCCCGCUAUGUUGGCCCUUACGAGAUUAUGGAGAAGUGUGGACCCGUUGCUUACCGGAUCCAACUCCCAGAACAGCUAUCAGCCAUACAUGAUGUUUUCCAUGUGUCUCAGUUGAAGAAAUGCGUCCGAGUUCCAGCAGAGAUCCUAAAACAAGAACAACUUCAAGUAGAACCUGACCUGACCUACGCCGAGUACCCAGAUCGAGUUCUUGACCAUAAGGAAAGGCACACCCGACGUCAAGUGGUGAGGAUGUACAAGAUCCUCUGGAGAAACCACACCGAAGAUGAAGCGACAUGGGAGACGGAAGAAUAUCUGAACAAGCGUUUUCCAGGUUUUCUAUCUCAUCCAGGAGGUAAGAGCAGCACACCCUUGAUCUUGAAUCUCGGGACGAGAUUCCUUUUAAGAGGGGUAGGCUAUAACGACCGACCCCUAAUCUUUCCCAGUUAGGCUUGAUCUCAGCCCUUAACCUUAGUCAGUUGCUCUGUUGACCGCACUUAAGUGCUCAGUCUUCCGCCAGUUCCGACCCCUGAGGUCCGACCCCUACCGUUCGUUCCUUUUUCCCGACCCUGGCGAGUUCAGCCCUCCGUCGGAUCCUGCUAAUCUUCCUCACCCGUCCGAUCUUUUCCCCCGGUGGACCCGUGAGAUCUUUUCCAGAUCCCCCGCACCAGCCGCACUCGAGUUGCAUGGCCGCCUCAGAGCUUUCCUGCCGCGUGGCUCGUCUUCUCCGAUGCCACCGCUCAGUUUUGUCUCUGGCAAGCGACCAAGUGGGUUCCCGCGCCCUUUUCCCCAAUAGCAGCGGAAGCCCUCUGCACCCCUUUCUGCAGAUCCUCGCUCCCCGCGCCCAUCAUCACGAUACCAGAUCUCGGCCCCGGAGACCGAUGUCGCCCGUCUUUUCCAUCCUUUCCAGCAACAGUUGCGCCGUCCGGUCGUCGCUACACGACGAUUCCCCAACCGCCAACCCCGACCGCGGCCGCGACAGUUCCUUUCCCCGCCCUGUCAGACGCCGCCCGACAAUCUGUUGUUCCGCGCUCUCCCCCACGCCGCGUCCGCUUGUUCUCCCACCUGUGCGCCCUUGAUUCUAGCGCCGUUUAACCGGUCGCUUCUAUCACUUCUUCCGCACGACGACGCCCGCUCUCCGCCAAAUCCCAACCACCGGUCUACCCGCGCCUACGCCGCCCUGACGGAGUAGCGCAAUGAUCGCUGGCGUCACCCCCGGAGUUCUGUAGCACCGUCCGGUUUGCUCAAUCGCCGCCACAGCAGAGCACUCCAUUGCUUCUCCCCGGCCUUCGCGCCGCUCCCCUUCUCUCUCUCCGCGACGUUUCCGUUCCUCUGCUCCAGCAGCUAUAAAAGGAAGGCCCCUGUCGCCGGAGUUCCCUCCGCCUUUGUUGCCCUUAGUUUCCUCUAGCUCCCUGCUCAAGCUCCUAGCGCCAUCCGCCCAGUCUUGAAAAGUUCAUCUCCCCAUUCCUUCUCAGUUCAUCCAAGUCACCAACAGCGUGCUCCCUUGUGCUGCGUAAGAGCUCUCUUGUGAUCCGCAAGCAGCACCGCCGCCGGAGUAUCGCCGGCCUUAGUCCCUGCUCAAAGCUUUAGUUCCGCGCCCAAGUCUGCCUCUUCCCGACCCCAAGCUUUCCUUUCAGGAAGAAGGUGAGUGCCGACCCUAAGUCCGCUUCGCCCGACCCCUCCUAUCCGCCCGACCCCAGUUCCGUCUCGUCCGACCCUGUCUGUUCGCCGACCCUUGUCCGCCUCGCCCGAGGGUCUGGCUGUGAUCUUUUCUUCAACUCGAGGGUGUAAGUGUAAAACGUGGGAACCCUUCAGCGCUUCCGUCUGAGGAUCCCAGUUAUCACAUCCUCUAGUUCAAGGAUCAGACCACUAGUCUCCUUCCUAUCCUUACCUGUUGAUCAUCAUCAGCUCUCUCAAACAGCCUCCACCUCCUGCUCUUUGUCGCAAGUUUCUGGGCGCAGGAGAGCCAGUGUUGCUGUCGACUUAAACGUUAAGCUAACCCUUGCAUUGCAUUCGUGUAGAGUUGCAUCUCGCUGACGGCUUCUACGAGCUGCACCCGGCGCCCGAAGAAGAAGCUGUAGCCGAGUUCCUGCCCGCUGAAGUCGAAGCCGCCCCCGAAGUUGAGCAGUUCCAGCCUUCUUUGUUUGCAGGCAAGCACCGGUUGCAUGAAAAUCCUACGUGUUUUUGCCAGACUUGCACAUGCCUUCCGAAUAGCAUGUUUGUGCAUUUACGUUUAGGAGUUGUGUGAAACCCUAGAUGCAUGACUUAGUAACCCUUGAUAUGAGCACUAGCUGUUGGACCGAGUAGCUGCAUUGCUUAAAUAGGAAACGGUAAAAGCCGAGUGAUCUCCUGUCACUCGCGAGUUGUAGGAGUUGCAUGUGUUACUCUCCUGUUACAACUAUAAGGACGAUGGACGGGGCAGGGUUUGGUAACUCUUUGGUGGUCGGAUGGUUGCCCCGUCUGUCUAUGAAAACUUGCUAAGGCCUGACAGUGGUGGUGUUCGUGAUCAAGUGUUUGAAAGUACUAGCCUCAUACUUAGUAUGGGAUGAGGAAGCCUAGUACCUGAUUGAACCUAGACGUGAGCGGUCGCCCCAUUGUUCUUGGAACGGAGUUUCCCCUGCUGGUUGUCGCACGUGGUGGCAAAGCGUGGUCACAUAACGGCAGAGACCGGGUCUGUGGAACCUUGCACCAAAGGAAAUGGGCCCGACACGGGUUAGGGGAUUGAUGGGGAAGGCCGACACGUAAAGCGACCUCCGGGUGCACGGAUGUCGUGAGGCUAGGUUCACCAUGCAUGGUUAAAGAACUCGAAUCGAUUCGUCUGCCUCUCACAGUUUGAGAUUUCUUGAUCGCUAUGUCACCCUGAGUAAAUGAGGAAUCUGAUGAUGGCAAUGUUGUUGUUUUUAUCUACACCCUUGUUUGGCUUGAUGGUUGCUUAGAAUAGGUUGCACAACCUAGACUGGUAAGUAAAUCUAGAACCGGAGCUAAAACUUGAAAAUAGGUUACUUAGUGCUUUUGGUAAAACAAACCCCUCAGCCAAGAAGCCUUGCAUGUCUAGUUGGGAGAGUAGUUGACUCCUCCCCGGUUAAGUCUUGUUGAGCUUAGUAGCUCAGCCUUGUUGUGGCUCCUGUUUUCAGGUGAAGUUGCAGUUCCCGACCCCUCCCUUGUUGGCGCUUGGCCGCCCCAGCUUCCGCCAGGCUGGACGGUCGAGUGGGACCCCUCCUCGGACGGCGAGGAGAGGACUCAGUGAUGUUCUGGCUGGCCUCGCCCAGACGUCCGACCCCGACGAAGUCUUCCGCUAGCGUUUCCCUGUUGUUUUCUUGAAAACUUGUAAAGCUCUGAUGUUGGAUUUUAUGGUCGAAUUAAGUGGGUAAAACUUGUUCAACUCAGUGGACUCGUUGUAUUCUCUGUAACCGCUCACCUUCGUGUGGGUUUGCUGAACUCGAUCCUGUUUAAGUGGUCAAAUCGGAUGAAGUCCGACGGCGCUUCGUGUUAGCUCGAGUUAAUCAAGAGUGUCGCAUGUUAGGCGGCUAAACUUUGAUUAAUCAAGCUGAUCCGAGGUGGUUCCGCCACAAUACGUCAUACGGCCUAGAGGGGUCGGGCUGAGCCAACAAGGGGGCGGUGGUCAGCAAGUGCUUCAGGGUCUUGAAAGCCUCUUCACACUUGGUGUCCCACACAAAUUUGACCUCUUUCUUCAGCAACUCGGUCAUCGGCUUAGCUAUCUUGGAGAAAUCCGGUAUGAAACGCCGAUAGUAACCUGCCAAUCCAAGGAAACUCCUGAUUUGGUGUACUGAGGUAGGAGACUUCCAUUCCAUGACUUCUUGUACCUUGCUGGGAUCCACGGCAAUACCAUCCUUGGAGAUAGUGUGUCCGAGAAACUUGACACUAUCUAACAAAACUCACACUUGGAGAACUUGGCAUAGAGCUGGUGAUCUCUCAGCCGUUGGAGAACUAUAUGAAGAUGGUCGGCGUGCUCUUCCUCGUUCUUCGAGUAAACUAGGAUAUCAUCAAUGAACACCACCACAAACUUGUCCAGCUCGGGCAUAAACACCGAGUUCAUAAGGUACAUGAAAUAGGCGGGUGCAUUGGUGAGUCCAAAGGAUAUGACUAGGUACUCGUACAGUCCAUAUCUGGUAGAGAAAGUUGUCUUGGGUAUGUCGCAGGGUCGAAUCUUUAUUUGGUGAUAACCAGAACGAAGAUCGAUCUUGGAGAACACUUUUGCUCCGGCUAACUGAUCGAACAAGACAUCAAUGCGUGGCAGCGAGUACUUGUUCUUGACUGUCACAGCAUUGAGGGGUCGGUAAUCCACACACAUACGUAGACUGCCAUCUUUCUUCUUCACAAACAGGGCGGGGCAACCCCAAGAUGAUGUACUGGGUCGAAUGAAGCCCUUUUCCAACAGAUCAUGCAACUGGGUCUUCAACAUGGCUAACUCAGCGGGUGGCAUCCGAUAGGGUCUCUUAGAUAUCGGGGCUGUGCCAGGAAUCAACUCUAUGGAAAACUCCACUUCUCUAUCAGGUGGCAUACCCGGCAAAUCUUCUGGAAACACAUCAGGGUACUCACAGAUAAUAGGGAGGUCUUCUAGACGGGAUCCCAAGAGAGGGUAGGCACAAGGAGUCGAAGACUCAGGAUGGGUCAAGGAUACGGUAGAACUACCAUGGGAGGGUGAGCUGUGUUGGGAUACGAGGUAGGCUACACUAGCGCAAUUCAAAAAAAUCUACCGCGUAUAACCAGGAAGAACUGCCGUAUAAGGAUCACGGGAUUACCACUCGACGCACUACUGGUGCGGAAGAUGUAGAUAUGCGUCGAUGCAGUGAAGACAAUCACGUAGUCGUACGUAGUCGAUCACGUGCAGCAGCUCCUCAGCAGCUCGUCCACGUGCAGCAAGAUCGCCUCCGGUACCGUGGCUCGUCGUCGGCUCGUCGUGGCUCGUCGACGGCUCGUCCAAGUGCUGCAGGCGCAACACCUCCAAGGUAUCCACAUGUGCAGGGAGGAAGCAUCGCAAGUCGGACUGCUAGAUCUGCGAGUUGCAACAGGCGAGGGCGUGGGAGGCGCGGCAGGUGUGUUUCGCCAAAAAGGUGUAAACCCUAGGGCGCCCCCACCCCUCUAUUUAUAGAGGUUCCUGAUGGGCCUCUGGAUCCGAGGCCCAUUAGUACUCCUAAACCUAAUCCAACUCGGAUCAGAUCCGAAUUGGGCUUCCAGCCCCUUAAGUGUGUGACCCUAUGGGUUCGGAUACGUAUAGACAUGGCCCGAGUACUCCUACUCGGCCCAAUAGUCGGUAGCGGCCUCUAGCAAGACGUGCCAACUCCUAUACGCACACAAAGAUCAUAUCAGACGAACCAUCACAACAUAAUAUACAUGCUAUUCCCUUUGCCUCACGAUAUUUGGUCUAGCUUCAAGCCGACCGCUCUUUCUCGAUCCUGUGAUUCGGAAUCCCUUUGUAGGUUAACUCUUAACCGUACGUAGCAUGGCCAUGCAUUUUCGGAUCCGAUCACUCGAGGGGCCCAGAGAUAUCACUCUCAAUCAGAGAGGGGCAAAUCCCAUCUUGACUGACCAUGUCUCAUAGCAUGCUUCUUGACAAACCCGAAAGCUACCUUUAUAACUACCGUGUUACGGUGUAGCGUUUGAUAGCCCCUAAGUAGGUCGAUCCACAUCUAGAAUACAUGUGACAAUCUCAGGUCUAAGGACAAAGCGUAUAUGUUGUUUUAAAGAGAGAACUACUUCUCGUGUUGGGUCAGUCCUAACACAUGUCUCCACAUGUGUCCACAUUAUUAGUUCAACAUCUCGAUGUCCAUGACUUGUGAAACAUAGUCAUCAACUAAUACAUGUGCUAGUCUAAUAUUCAUGUGUGUCCUCACAUGAACUCCGACUAGGGACAACUUUAGAAUAACCAUACAAGGAAAGAGUUUCACAUACAAUUCACAUAAUUGCAAAUCAAUUCAAGUAGCCUUCAAUGGAUAUUCAAUGAACACAACAUACAAAUCAUGGAUACAAAUGGAAUAUCAUCAUCUCUAUGAUUGCCUCUAGGGCAUACCUCCAACAGUCUCCCACUUGCACUAGAGUCAAUCUAGAAGGUACCUAAUACCCAUAGCUCUUACAUGCGCAUCAUGCUUAGCCUGCGGGAGUGGUUUUGUCAACGGAUCAGAAAUGUUCAGAUCCGUGUGUAUUUUGCAUAUCUUGAUCUCACCCCGGUUAACGAAGUCUCGAAUGAGAUGAAAUCGCUGCAUUACGUGUUUGUUCUUCUAGUGGUUCCUUGGCUCCUUUGCUUGCGCAAUUGCCCCAUUGUUAUCACAGUAGAGAUUCAAUGGGCUGGACGCACUCGGGAACACACCAAGCUCAAUGAGGAAAUUCCUUAUCCAAACACCUUCCUUCGCGGCUUCCGAAGCCGCGAUGUACUCGGCUUUUGUCGUAGAAUCGGCCACCGUCUCCUGCUUGGAACUCUUCCAACUAACAGCACCACCAUUUAGCGUGAACACAAAUCCUGAUUGUGACUUUGAAUCAUCUCUGUCGGUUUGGAAACUAGCAUCGGUGUAACUUGUUACAACGAGCUCCUCCUCACCUCCAUAGACGAGGAACAUAUCUUUAGUCCUUCUCAAGUACUUAAGAAUAUUUUUCACCGCUGUCCAGUGACUCUCACCCGGAUCAGAUUGGUGUCUGCUUGUCAUACUUAGCGCAUAUGAAACAUCUGGGCGAGUACUUAUCAUUGCAUACAUGAUAGAUCCAAUAGCCGAGGCGUAUGGCACUCUACUCAUGCGAUCCUGCUCAUCAGUAGUCGAAGGACACUGAGUCUUGCUGAGAUGUAUGCCAUGUGACAUAGGCAAGAACCCUUUCUUUGCCUCUUCCAUGCUGAACCGCUUCAACACUUUGUCAAUGUAAGUAUCUUGGCUUAAACCUAUAAGCCUUCUUGAUCUAUCUCUAUAGAUCUUAAUGCCCAGAAUAUAUGCCGCUUCCCCUAAGUCCUUCAUCGAAAAACUAUUUUUCAGUGAAGUCUUUACAGACUCAAGCAUAGGAAUGUUAUUUCCAAUCAGUAAUAUGUCAUCCACAUAUAAGAUUAGAAAUACUACAGAGCUCCCACUAACCUUCUUGUAAACACAAAACUCUUCUUCGUUCUUGGUGAAGUCAAACCCUUUGACCACUUCAUCAAAACGAAUGUUCCAACUCCUAGAUGCUUGCUUCAAUCCAUAAAUGGAUCUCUGAAGCUUGCAUACCUUUCCAGCAUUUUUCGGAUCGACAAAACCCUCGGGCUGUAUCAUAUACACGUCCUCAGCUAGGUUUCCAUUCAGGAAAGCUGUCUUGACAUCCAUCUGCCAUAUCUCAUAAUCGAAAUAUGCAGCUAUAGCUAGAAUAAUCCGAAUGGACUUAAGCAUCACUACGGGCGAGAAGGUCUCGUCGUAGUCAACUCCUUGAACUUGUCGAAAACCUUUUGCGACAAGUCGUGCUUUAUAGAUGUGAACAUUUCCAUCCAUGUCCUUUUUCUUCUUAUAGAUCCACUUGCACUCUAUGGCUUUAACACCAUCAGGCGGGUCAACCAAGUUCCAAACUUGAUUGUCUCCCAUGGACUCUAUUUCGGAUUGCAUGGCAUUCUGCCAUUUUUCGGAGUCUGGGUCCAUCAUUGCUUCUGCAUAUGUCGCAGGCUCAUCAUUGUCCAACAAUAAUAUUUCCCGCAUUUCGCGGAGCCUUGCCGACCUUCGUGGUUGUGGCGGUGCUUCUCUUGCCAUGGGUAUCUCAACUUGUUCUGCUACGUUAGCAUCACUUAUUGAUUCUUGCCCAAUCGGCUCAUCUUGAACUUCUUCAAGAUGCACUGUCUUUCCACUAUUUUCUCCUUUGAGAAACUCUUUCUCUAGAAAAACCCCGUUCCGAGCGACAAACACUUUGCCUUCUGAUCGGUUGUAGAAAUAAUAUCCCAAAGUUUCCUUUGGAUAUCCCACGAAAAUGCACUUAUCCAACUUGGGUGUGAUCUUGUCCGACUGAAGUCGCUUGACAAACACUUCACAUCCCCAAAUCUUUAGAAAAGACAAACUAGGAACCUUUCCAGUCCAUAUCUCAUAUGGUGUCUUAGCUACGGAUUUAGAUGGUACCCUAUUAAGUGUGAAAGCUGCUGUUUCUAGAGCGUAUCCCCAAAAUGACAACGGUAGGUCCGACUGGCUCAUCAUUGAUUGAACCAUGUCUAACAAAGUUCGAUUACGUCGCUCGGACACACCGUUUCUCUGAGGUGUUCCAGGCGGCAUAAGUUGUGGAACAAUUCCGCAACUCUUUAGAUGAUUGCUAAACUCGUGGCUCAAAUACUCACCUCCACGAUCAGAUCGUAAGGCCUUAAUUUUCUUGCCACGCUAAUUUUCAACUUCAUUAUGAAAUUCCUUGAACUUUUCAAAGGUUUCAGACUUGUGCCUCAUCAAGUAGACAUAGCCAUAUCUACUAAAAUCAUCAGUGAAAGUUAUGAAGUAUUGGAAUCCUCCUCUAGCCGUCGUGCUCAUUGGUCCGCAUACAUCACUAUGUAUGAGUUCCAACAAGUCUACUGCUCUCUCAGGAAAACCUGUGAAAGGCGUCUUGGUCAUCUUGCCUAGCAAGCAAGCCUCACAUGUCUCGUAUGAUUCAAAAUCAAACGAAGUUAGAAGUCCAUCAGAAUGGAGCUUCUUCAUGCGCUUUUCACUUAUAUGACCCAAACGACAAUGCCACCAGUAGGUAGGACUCAAAUCAUUAGGCCGAGGCCUUUUAGCACUUACAUUACAGACAGGUGAACCAUCAAGAUGUAAAACAAAUAAUCCAUUCACAAUGGGUGCAAAAGCCAUAAACAUAUUAUUCUUAGAGAUCACACAACCAUUAUUUUCACUCGCAAAUGAAUAACCAUCCUUCAUCAAGCAUGAAGGAGACAAAAUGUUUCGACUUAAACUAGGAACAAAAUAACAAUUAUUCAACUCCAUAAUAAAUCCUGACGGGAGGUGGAGUUGCAUCGUCCCGACGGUCAACGCAGCAACUCUUGCAUUAUUGCCCACGCGGAAAUCAACUUCUCCUCUUUCCACGCUUCUACUUCUUAUCAUUCCCUGCAUCGAAUUGCAAAUAUGAGCAACCGAUCCGGUAUCAAAUACCAAAGAAUUAAUAAUUGUAUCAGCGAGAAAUAUGUUGUCUAUAACAUUAACAACAAGCGUACCUGAGGUAGAAGUACUCUUACUUCCGCCAUUCUUCAAGGAAGCUAGGUACUGCUUGCAGUUUCUCUUCCAGUGACCAAGUUCAUGACAGUAAAAGCACUCUUUGUCUGGAGCAGGUCCAGGUCCAGCUUUAACCUUGGGCGGUGGGUUUGGCUUGGACGUUCCAGCCUUGGCCUUCUUCUUCCAAGAAUUGCCCUUCUUCUUAAAGCUGGGCUUGUUCUGUAUCGCCAUCACAUGGCUGGUACUAGCGCUUUUCUUGAUGUCAGGCUCUGCUAUUUUAAGCAUGCCACACAGCUCAUUCAGACCCUUCUCCGUCCCAUGCAUAUGGUAGUUCGAGAUGAAGUUCCCAUAGCUAGGCGGAAGAGACGAAAGAAUGAAAUCAGUGGCCAACUCUUGGCCCAGUGGGAAGCCUAGCUUCUCCAACCGUUGAGUGUAACCAACCAUCUUGAUUACGUGUGGUCCUACUGCUGCGCCUUCUGCUAGCUUGCUCUCAACAAAGGCCUUAGACACAUUGAACCUUUCAGUCCUGGCCUGUGUUUGGAACAUGUCUCUAAGCGCCACGAUCAUAUCGUGCGCCUCAUGGUUUGUUUCGAACUGCAUCUGCAGCUCGGGUUCCAUGCAAGCAAGCAUAAGGCAGCUUACUUCGAGGUUAGCAUCACAUGCUUUCUUGUAAGCAUUCUUAGCAGCAGCGGGUGCAUCAUCAGCAGGUUCUUCUGGUAGUGGGUUUUCUAGAACAUCUUCCUUUUUCUCAGCCCUGAGAACAAUUCUCAGGUUACGGAUCCAAUUCGAGUAGUUUGUUCCAUUCAACUUGUCCUUCUCAAGGACCGAACGCAAAGCAAACGAUGUGGUGGUGUUGCUAGGUGCCAUUUAAUCUACAACAAAAGUAAUGCAAAAUACACUAAGACAAACAUAUCCAUGAUAGAGCAAAUUAUAUUAAACUACUUUAACAGAAUCUACUCCCACUAAAAUCAAUAUCCCUCUAUUGAAACUUAGUGAUUCAGGAUCCACAACUAACAAGUCUACUAGUGAGCUUUAGCAUCACCGCUAGCAAACGAGGUAGAUCGGUAAGCAACUUUUGCUAAUCAUAUCACAUAUGACUCCUGUUGUUGGGUGACAUCUCUAUGUCUCGGCGCCCAACCUUUAUGCCCCAAGGUCCUUAACCGUUAAGAUAACCUUGUUAAGCAAACCAACCCUUAUGCGUGUAAGUGUCCGACACAAACCCGUCUAGUCAAGGAAAACUAGUGGCACCCUAAUUUCAUAGACCCACCACUAAUUGUACAAGACAUGGGAUGGUGCAAGUUUUAGUUGGGAGGGCAUACUAACUUAAACUUUGUGAGGGAUCGUUCUACUUCUAACAUCACAGCAUGCAGAAAGUAAAACAUAAACAGAAUAGCAUUCACACAGUUGUGACACAGUAUGGCCCAUUUUCAUAUGGUGAUCUCCAUCUCCAUAGAACCUGUUCACCAUGGUGAUCUCCAUCUCCAUGUUCCAUGUGCGCCAUCCUCCUGGUGAUGAGUCCUCCAAGAACUAGAGCAUGCUAUUACGCCUAAUAGCUAGUAAAGAAUCUAGUAAUGAAGAUUACAUAGUUGCUUGGAUCAUCACAGAUUGGUACGCAGACCAUUAAAUACAAUAAAGUGACAACACAUAUGGCUCCUGCCGUGUUGCCGUACGCGCGACACGCAGGUCACGAAUGAGUUACACACAUGCAUCACAUACACAAGGGGGCCAUACUGAUCACAAGAUACAUACAUACAUCCUGCAAAAGAGAGUUAGGCGUCCUAACGUUCCAAACUUCGGAGGCCCAAAACUCCAUCUUCCAAGCCGAAUUUGGGAAAUCUAAUCUCGCCGAAAAUGGCGAAGCGGUUGAAAUUCAUGUGUAACUUUUUCUAUAGAUCAAUUUUCGUAUAAAAAUCGCCCCGAUCCGAGAUCGUACCGAAAAGUUACGGCUGAUUUACCGAAGCAUACGCAUACGGCAAAAUCCCGACCCCGGCAGUAGAUCCCAUCUACUAUUGCACAUCUAAUGUGCCUGGCGUAUGACCCUGGAUCUCGAUUCGACCAAUCAUAUUGAUCUUCCCUCACUGCAACUGGAUUUACGUGUAUCACUUAACUCCGAUGGCGGAAACCGACCGGUAGGAGUAUGUCGUUACACUACCAUUGCAACAAGGGCACGAAACCAGGACAUAGAUCAAACUGAAAACUCGCAUAUCUCCAUAUGCACACAUCCCGAAUCCAAAACUAAGCAGCUACGGCUCUGAUACCACUGUUGGGAUACGAGGUAGGCUACACUAGCGCAAUUCAAAAAAAUCUACCGCGUAUAACCAGGAAGAACUGCCGUAUAAGGAUCACGGGAUUACCACUCGACGCACUACUGGUGCGGAAGAUGUAGAUAUGCGUCGAUGCAGUGAAGACGAUCACGUAGUCGUACGUAGUCGAUCAACGUAGUCGUACGUAGUCGAUCACGUCCAGCAGCUCCUCAGCAGCUCCUCCACGUGCAGCAAGAUCGCCUCCGGUACCGCGGCUCGUCGUCGGCUCGUCGUGGCUCAUCGGCGGCUCGUCGACGGCUCGUCCAAGUGCUGCAGGCGCAACACCUCCAAGGUAUCCACACGUGCAGGGAGGAAGCGUCGCAAGUCGGACUGCUAGAUCCGCGAGUUGCAACAGGCGAGGGCGUGGGAGGCGCGGCAGGUGUGUUUCGCCAAAAAGGUGUAAACCCUAGGGCGUCCCCACCCCUCUAUUUAUAGAGGUUCCUGAUGGGCCUCUGGAUCCGAGGCCCAUUAGUACUCCUAAACCUAAUCCAACUCGGAUCAGAUCCGAAUUGGGCUUUCAGCCCCUUAAGUGUGUGACCCUAUGGGUUCGGAUACGUAUAGACAUGGCCCGAGUACUCCUACUCGGCCCAAUAGUCGGUAGCGGCCUCUAGCAAGACGUGCCAACUCCUAUACGCACACGAAGAUCAUAUCAGACGAACCAUCACAACAUAAUAUACAUGCUAUUCCCUUUGCCUCACGAUAUUUGGUCUAGCUUCAAGCCGACCGCUCUUUCUUGAUCCUGUGAUUCGGAAUCCCUUUGUAGGUUAACUCUUAACCGUACGUAGCAUGGCCAUGCAUUUUCGGAUCCGAUCACUCGAGGGGCCCAGAGAUAUCACUCUCAAUCAGAGAGGGGCAAAUCUCAUCUUGACUGACCAUGUCUCAUAGCAUGCUUCUUGACAAACCCGAAAGCUACCUUUAUAACUACCCUGUUACGGUGUAGCGUUUGAUAGCCCCUAAGUAGGUCAAUCCACAUCUAGAAUACAUGCGACAAUCUCAGGUCUAAGGACAAAGCGUAUAUGUUAUUUUAAAGAGAGAACUACUUCUCGUGUUGGGUCAGUCCUAACACAUGUCUCCACAUGUGUCCACAUUAUUAGUUCAACAUCUCCAUGUCCAUGACUUGUGAAACAUAGUCAUCAACUAAUACAUGUGCUAGUCUAAUAUUCAUGUGUGUCCUCACAUGAACUCCAACUAGGGACAACUUUAGAAUAACCAUACAAGUAAAGAGUUUCACAUACAAUUCACAUAAUUGCAAAUCAAUUCAAGUAGCCUUUAAUGGAUAUUCAAUGAACACAAUAUACAAAUCAUGGAUACAAAUGGAAUAUCAUCAUCUCUAUGAUUGCCUCUAGGGCAUACCUCCAACAAGCUGAUGUAAAGAGAUCGGGCUGAUGUAUCUAGAACAACAUGAUGUCGGGCCAUCCAAUCCAUACCAAGGAUGACAUCUUCUAGGUCAAGGAUGAUAAGGUUUUCCUUGAAGAGGGUGGGACCUAGCUGGAGAGGUACAAGAAUAACGACCUGAUCUGACGUUAUCCUUCCUCCAGGAGUGGCAAUCACAUAGGGUUCCUUAGCGUGACCGACACUUAGCCCACAUCUUUCCCUUGCCUUACUCCCGAUAAAGCUAUGAGAGGCUCCCGAAUCAAACAACACAACAACAGCUUGAUUUAAAACAAGGAAAGUACCCGUCAUUACUGGCGCACCUUCGGGGAGCUCAGUCAAGCUGGUGUAGUUGAGUCGGCCUUGCCGGACUUGCACCUUGGGCCUUCUUCCUCUGGCUGCCAUGGGGUUCUGACCUUGCUGUGGAUUCUUGUUCCUGGGGCAGUCCUUCGCGAAAUGUCCUUCAUUGCCGCAGGUAAAACAACGAUUACUGGCUGCAGGGCGGGGUGGCGUUGGCAGGGUCGGCCGGGGCACUUGCGGUUGGAAGCCUGGAAAACGAGGCAUUGUCGCCGACGGGGGUCGGGCGAUCCAUUUCCCUGACGGCUGGGGUCGGCCAGGGGCUUGUGGAGGGAUCAUCCGGAACCUUCGAGUCGGUGGACUCGGAAAUGCCACAGAGGCUUUCCUCUUCUGGUCAGCCUUGAGGGCUUGCAUGCAGUCCUCCUGAGAGAUGGCCAGGUUGACCAACUCGUUGUAGGUGUCCACCUUGAUGGGGUUCAACCUUUCCCUGAGCUCCAAGCUCAGUCCUCGGCGGAAUCUGUCCUGCUUCUUCUCGUCUGUGUCCGCAUGAUAGCCAGCAUAACGCCAUAGGUCAUUGAAAGAUUGGGCGUAAUGCAGCACAUCCCGAGUUCCUUGGGUGAGGGCCAAAAACUCGUUGAGCUUGCGCUCCAGGAGACCUUCGGGAAUGUGAUGCGCCUUGAACGCCAUCUUGAACUCGUUCCAGCUGACCACGUGGCCAGCCGGCAGCAUGGCAUGGUAGUGGUCCCACCAAAGCCGUGCGGAGCCACGCAGCUGCUGAGCUGCGAACCGCGCCUUGUUGUGAUCGGGGCAUGGAGCGGUGAGGAGCUCGAACUUGGAUUCGAUUGUACGAACCCAUGCGUCAGCAUCGAGCGGUUCUUGUGUCUUUUGGAACAGCGGGGGCUGUGUCCCCAGGAAGUCCUCAUACCGCGCGAUAUGCGGCUGCGGUUGUGCUCUUCCACCAUGUGGCUGUUGUUGCUGUCCUUUCACCAGAUGCCUUAGCAACUCAGUUUGAGUUGCUAGGAUUGCCUCCAAUGGCGAUGGGGGCGGGGGCGGGGGAAGAUCCUGUCGCUGUUCACUACCGCUGGACACAGCACCAGACCUAGUGCGGUGCGCCAUCUGCAAGAGUUAACGCCCCAUUAAUUUCAUGACCUUAGGUAUACUCCAACAAAUGGAACGUAUGGAUUAAAUCCCUUAAUGCGACUCUUGCCAAUAGUGCAUCACACGUCCUCAUAGAGAAAGCACAUUCCUCUCAUUCUCAGCAUAGAUAACCUCUACUUGACCUGGUACUCCACUUCAGGCAACACAUGCCACAUACAGACUACAGACUCCUACGAUCUGAUCCACUCAAUCCAAGGGGUCGGACACGGUCCGUACUUGAAAAGGGUUGGACGAGGCGGAGACUGCCUCAAAGGGUCGGCGCACUCGGCCUCACAAACUGGGGUCGGCCAACUGAACAGAUCCUCAGAACACAGCAUAUGGUCACGGCACAACUUACUCAACCUAGCAUCCACGCCAUACAAAGAUGAGAAAGCUAUGCACCGGGGUUACUUUAUAUACAACGGUGUUUCAACACAGGGAGCACUCAACUCGAGGCUAACCUAUUACAACUUUUCCAAAAUCUAGGCUGCCGAGGAGUACAACAAAAAGAUGGUUCCCUGAGAACCCUUAAGCUACCAAUGGACACUAUGAGUCGGAGAAGGGGCGCCAUCUUCUUCUAUGUCCAUGUUGGACGCUCCCUCAUCUUCCUCAGGGUCCUCCUGUGCUUCGAGCUGCAUGUUGAGGGCAUGCAUAUCCUCGAGCUCGGCUUGGUGCUCCUCUAGGUGGGCAUUGGCAACUGCCAACUCCAUUUCCACCUCCAUGUUUUCCUCUGAGAGCUCUAUCAUGCCGUCCAUGAGGUCGGCAACUUCUCCUUCUAGCUCAGAGAUCCGAUCUUGCAUAUCGUGGAUCUGGAUACCACGCUGGAUCAGCUGGUAGGUUUGGCCUACCAUAUCUCUUCUUGCUGCCUGGAGGUGACCGUGGGUAUCUGCUGCCGUCCAGGCGAAAAGGGUCAUGGCUCUCCCCUGAAGCUCUAUCAACCGGUAGAGAGCGGCCAUGCACCGGAUGUUGGUGGAGAUGGUAACCAUGGCACAGGUGGUGGCUAACACCUCGAUGUUCCCGACACGGUCAAGCCAGGCCGGGUCCAGCCGGUUCCUGAAGGGGAAGAGGCCGAUCGGGUCUAGCGUGAUCUCCACGGGAUGCAGCUGACAGAACUGGGUGAGCAACUGAAGGGCGGCAGACUCCCAUGUAUCUUCCGGGGCAAGACCAUAGGCUAUUAUGCCCAGAGAGGGCCAGUCGGGCCGGGCAAGGGGAGGUGGUACCAACGCUUGCACCUGGCACGUCUGAAGGCCCUGUUCCAGAUAUAACCGCCCGGCAUACAAGGGCGGGGACUGAUACCCAAACCACUUCAGCGUAUCCCACAGAAUCGUGGGAAACCCCUCGAAAUGCAGGCACGUUGACUGGAAGGUACCGUCCGCUCCAAAAACAACAUGUCCGGGAGCAGCCAUCUGGAACCAAGAAAACCGGAAACCACGUGAGAUAAACUCCAAGGAUCAGGGGUCGGAUAGAGAAGCAUACGGGUUUAACCGAGAGCACUAAGAGAAACUAGAAAUCCUUAGAUCCAGAAGAACUCUUUUGAACAGGGUUGCUGUUGAGAAAGGGAACCGUACGACCUUGAAGAUGUGACACAUGCACGGCCUACCUUACUCUUAACCAAAAACAACUGCCCGAAACUCGGGUCUUACGCGGUCAGUGCCGGUGACAAGGCAACAAUACGUCUCUCCCUAUAAUAACUAGUCGGUUCUAGUAACGUCUCCUAAACGAACGCGGUUAGCAACCUGCAGAAAACACCACACACGAACCUUUCGUGCCAGCACCCACGAAAGCGUUCUCAAACAUUACCGCUCCCUAUAGGAACGGCACCCAUGCGUUUAAGGCUGCAUGGAUAGCACUCAACCGUGGAAAUAGGCUCCCUUUGAAUGGAUCCGUAUAACCCUUCGCAUACUCGUGAUGCGGAAUCGGCACACGUAUGACAAACGUGGCGAAACAACCGUGCUGAUAGGUUCGUUGGAAUCGAACCGUACCAACCUUCGUAUGGAACACAUACGGAACCUGCGCACGUGUAAUAGACGUGGGCGAAAACAACCGCGAAGAUAGGGUCCUUCGAAUGGAGCUCCCUAUCAACCCUCGCAUGCUCGUGAUGCGGAACUCGGCACACGUAUGAUAGACGUGGCGAAGUGCUGGAAGAGUUAGCAAAAUAACCAAAUAUUUAUUAGUCACCUAAAACAACCCCAAAAUCCCCUAGGGCCUCUCGCACUAAGUCAUCCUUAACGAUUGUACGAGAUUUUUCAAAAGUUUCUUGCAACUUUUAUCCCUUUCAAAGAAUGUUUAGGGCUUGUUGGGUUCUCUGAAAUGCUAAACACGGCUCUGAUACCAGCUGUGGCGGAACCACCUCGGAUUAGCUUGAUUAAGCAGGGUUAAACCGCCUAACAUGCGACACUCCUGCCUAAACCGAGUUAAUACGAAGUGCCGUCGGAUUUCAUCCGAUUUAACCACUUAAACAGGAUCGAGUUCAGCAAACCCACACGAAGGUGAGCGGUUACAGAGAAUACAACAAGUCCACUGAGUUGAACAAGUUUUACCCAUUUGGUUUGGCCAUAAAAUCCAACAUCAGAGUUUUACAAGUUUUCAAGGAAACAACAGAGAAAACACUAGCGGAAGACUUCGUCGGGGUCGGACAUCCUUGGUGAGGCCAACCGGGACAUCACUGGCUCCUUCCCUCGCCGUCCGAGGAAGGAUCCCACUCGACCGUCCAGCCUGGCGGGAGCUGGGGCGGCCAAGCACCAACCAGAGAGGGGUCGGAAGCAGCAACUUCACCUGAAAACAGGAGCCACAACAAGGCUGAGCUACUAAGCUCAACAAGACUUAACCGAUAGGAGGAAGGGCUACUCCUCCUUCUAGACAUGCAAGGCUGUUUGGCUGAGGGGGUUGUUUGCCAAAAGCACUAAGUAACCCUAUUUUCAAGUUUUAGCUCCGGUUCUAGGUUCAUUUACCAAUCUAGGUUGUGCCACCUAUUCUAAGCAUUCAUAGAAUCAAACAAGAUGUAUAGAUACAACAACAAACAUUGCCAUCAUCAGAUUCCUCAUUUACUCAGGGUGACAUAGCGAUCAAGCAAUCUCAAACUGUGAGAGGCAGACGAAUCGAUUCGAGUUCUUUAAUCAUGCAUGGUGAACCUAGCCUCACGACAUCCACGCACCCGGAGGUCGCUUCCUGUGUCGGCCUUCCCCAUCAAUCCCCUAACCCGUGUCGGGCCCAUUUCCUUUGGUGCAAGGUUCCACAGACCCGGCGUCUGCCAUUCUGUGACCACGCUUGCCACCACGUGCGACAACCAGCAGGGGAAACUCCGUUCCAAGAACAAUGGGGCGACCACUCACGUCUAGGUUCAAUCCGGUACUAGGCUUCCUCAUCCCAUACUAAGUAUGAGGCUAGUACUUUCAAACACUUGAUCACGAACACCACCACUGUCGGGCCUUAGCAAGAUUUCAUAGACAAACGGGGCAACCAUCCGACCACCAAAAAGUUACCAAAACCUUGCCCCGUCCAUCGUCCUUAUAGUUAUAACAGGAGAGUAAACAUGCAACUCCUACAACUCGCGAGAGACAGGAAAUCACUCGACUUCUACCGUCUCCUAGUUAAGCAAUGCAGCUACUCGGUCCAACAGCUAGUGCUCAGAUCACUGGGAUGUGCAAAUGCACAAGCAUGUUACAGAAGGCAUGCGCAAGUCUGGUAAAACACAUAGGACUUUCAUGCAACCGGGGCUUGCCUUCAAGCAAGGAGGACGGAAACUGCUCGACUUCGGGGGCGACUUCGGCUUCGGAGGACAGGAGCUCGGCUACAGCUUUUUCUUCUGGCGCCGGGUGAAGCUCGUAGAAGCCGUCGGCGAGGUGCAGCUCUACACGAAUGCAAUGCAGGGGUUAGCAUAGACAGUUACUUCAACAGCAACACUGGCUCGCCUGAGCCCAGAAACUCGCGACAAAGAGCAGGAGGUUAAGGUGGUUCGAGAGCUGAUGAUGAUCAAGAGGUAAGGGUAGGAAGGAACUAGUGGUCUGAUCCUUGAACUAGAGGAUGUGAUAAACUGGGGGUCCUUAGACGCAAGCGUUGAAGGGUUCCCAAGUUUUACACAUACACCCUCGAGUUGAAGAAAAAGAUCACAGCCAAGCCCUCGGGCGAGGCGGACAAGGGUCGGCGGAACAGACAGGGUCGGGCGAGACGAAACCGGGGUCGGGCGGAUAGGAGGGGUCGGGCGAGGCGGACUGGGGUCGGCAACUCACCUUCUUCCUGAAAGGAAAGCUUGGGGUCGGAACGAAGCAGACUUGGGCGGAGGGACUACGGUUUGAUCAGAAGCUAAGACCGGCGAUGCUCCGGCGGCGGCGCUGCUUCUUGCGGAUCACAAGAGAGCUUUUACGCAGCACGGAGGAGCAAGCUGCUGGGUGACUUGGAGAAGAACUGAGGGAGAACUGAGAGAAGAACUCCUCAAGAACUGGGUGGGUGGCGCUAGGAGCUUGAGCAGGGAGCUAGACGAGGCUGAAGGCAACGAGAGCGGAGGGAACUCCGGCGACGGGGGCAUUCCUUUUAUAGCUGCUGGAGCAGAGGAAAGGAAACGGCGCGGAGAGAGAGAAGGGGAGCGGCGCGAAGGCCGGGGAGAGGCAAUGGAGUGCUCUGCCGGGGCGGCGAUUGAGCAAAGAGGGCGGUGGUGCAGAACUCCGGGGGUGACGCCAGCAAUCAUGGCGUUCUGCCGUCAGGGUGGCGUAGGAGUGGGUAGACUGGUGGUUGAGAUUUGGCGGAAAGUGGGCGUCGUCGUGCGGAAGAUGUGAUAGAAGUGACCGGCUUAACGAAACUAGAAUCGAGGGCGCUCGGGUGAGAAGGCAGGCGGACGCGGGCGCGGGGGAGAGCGCGGAACAACAGAUUGUCGGGCGGCUUCGAACAGAGCGGGGGAAAGGAACUGUCGCGGCCGCGGUCGGGGUUGGCGGUGGAGGAAUCGUCGUGUAGCGGCGACCAGGCAGCGCAACUGUGGCUGAAGGGACGGAAAAGACGGGCGACAUUGGGCUCUGGGGCCGGGAUCUGGUGGCGUGAUGAUGGGCGCGGGAGGCGAGGUUCUGCAGAAAGGGGUGCAGAGGGCUUCCGCUGCCAUUGGGGAAAGGGGCGCGGGAACCCACUCGGUCGCUGUCCAGAGACAAAACUGAGCGGCAGGCGUUGGAGAAGACGAGCCACGAGGCAGGAAGACUCUGAAGCAGCCAUGCAACUCGAGUGCGGCUGUCGCGGGGGAUCUGGAAAAGAUCUCGCGGGUCCACCAGUGGAUAGAUCGGACGGGUGAGGAAGAUUAACAAAAUCUGACGGUGGGCUGAGCUCGUCGGGGUCGGGAGAGGAGCGAAGCCGGAAGGGGUUGGAUCUCAGGGGUCGGGACCGGCGGGAAACUGAGCACUUAGGUGCGGUCAAGCAAGACAGCUGACUAAGGUUAAGGGCUGCGAUCAAGACUAACUAGAAGGCUUAGGGGUCGGUCGUUACACCUGCACUAUGCGCAGGCCUUCAAUGAUCUGUGCCGAUACGCUGGGUAUCAUGCGGACACAGAUUAGAAGAAGCAGGACAGGUUCCACAGAGGGUUAAGCUUGGAGCUCAGAGAGAGAUUAAACCCAAUAAGGGUGAAUACGUACAACGAGUUGGUCAACUUGGCCAUCUCACAAGAGGACUGCAUGAAGGCUCUGGUAGCCGAGAGGAAGAGGAAGGCUCCACUGCCAACGCCCAGCCCACCUACACAACGUUUCAGAAUGGUUCCACCACAGGCACCCAGCCGACCUCAGCAGCCGGGAAGAUGGGUUGCCCGACCCCCACCAGCGGUAGCACUUCAUUUUCCGGGAUUUCAACCUCAGGCUCCGCGGCCGACCCUACCGCCACCACCGUGCCCUGCAAAUGGUAACCACUGCUUCACCUGCGGCAAUUUGGGGCAUUUCGCCAAGGACUGCCCCAGGAAUCAGAAUCAGCGCCAAGGGCAAAGCAAUGCGAUGCUCAAUAAAGGGAAGAGGCCCAAGAUGCAAGUUCGCCAAGGUCGGUUGAACUUCACCAAUGCAGCAGAGCUUCCUGAAGGUGCACCGAUAAUGACGGGUACCUUUCUUAUUCACAGUCUUUCAGCUUUGGUUUUGUUUGACUCAGGAGCCUCACAUAGUUUUAUUGGAAGAAAGACUAGUGACAAAUAUGGGUUAAAGGAAUGCCAAACAAGAGGAUCUUUUAGGAUAUCCACCCCGGGUGGGGUAAUCACAUCUGAUAGGAUGAGUGUCAAUGUGCCUAUCUAGCUAGGCCGAACCCUUUUUAAGGAGAAUCUUGUUAUUCUCGAUCUGGAGGGGAUUGAUGUCAUCCUAGGAAUGGAUUGGAUGACAAGGCACCAGGUUGUGUUAGAUAUUCCAGCCCGAGCUAUCCAUGUCAACUCACCCCACCAAGGCCCCUCUGUUGUCCAAUUGCCUCGCCGAGAAGAUGUGAAUUCUUGUGCGUAUCCCGCAAUUGAGACCCAAUUGAAGGACAUCCCUGUAGUCUGUGAGUACCCCGACGUGUUUCCCGAUGUUUUGCCGGGCAUGCCGCCCGAUAGAGAUGUGGAGUUUUCCAUAGAGUUGAUCCCCGGCACCGCCCCUAUCUCCAAAAGACCUUAUCAGAUGCCACCCGCUGAGUUGGCCGAGUUAAAAACCUAUUUGAAGGAUCUGUUGGAAAAAGGCUUUAUCCGACCCAGCACUUCACCUUGGGGUUGCCCAGCCCUGUUUGUGAAGAAGAAGGAUGGGAGUCUACGCAUGUGUGUGGACUACCGACCUCUCAAUGCGGUGACUGUCAAGAACAAGUAUCCACUUCCCCGCAUUGAUGUUCUGUUUGAUCAGUUAGCUGGAGCAAGAGUAUUCUCCAAGAUCGAUCUUCGUUCCGGUUAUCACCAAAUCAAGAUCAGACCCUGUAACAUUCGCAAUACUACCUUCUCCACAAGAUAUGGACUCUACUAGUACCUGGUUAUGCCUUUUGGAGUCACCAAUGCACCCGCUUACUUCAUGUAUCUCAUGAAUUCGGUGUUCAUGCCCGAGUUAGACAAGUUUGUGGUGGUGUUCAUUGAUGAUAUCCUAGUGUACUCGAAGAACGAAGAAGAACAUGCCGAUCAUCUUCAUGUGGUUCUUCAACGGUUGAAGGAUCAUCAGCUUUAUGCCAAGUUCUCCAAGUGUGAAUUUUGGUUAGAUAGUGUCAAGUUCUUGGGACACACUAUCUCUUGGAAUGGCAUAGCCGUUGACCCCAGCAAGGUACAGGAAGUCAUGGACUGGAAGCCUCCCACUUCAGUUCACCAGAUCCGAAGUUUUCUUGGAUUGGCAGGCUACUAUCGGCGCUUCAUUCUAGAUUUCUCCAAGAUAGCUAAGCCGAUGACCGAGCUGUUGAAGAAAAAGAGGUCAAAUUUGUAUGGAACGACAAGUGUGUAGAAGCCUUCAACACCUUGAAACACUUGCUAACCUCAGCCCCGGUUUUGGCUCAACCCGACACUUCUAAGUCGUUUGACGUAUACUGUGACGCCUCUGGCACUGGACUUGGGUGUGUUCUUAUGCAAGACAAUCGAGUCAUUGCCUAUGCCUCACGGGCGUUACGACCUCAUGAGCUGAACUAUCCGACCCAUGAUCUUGAGUUGGCAGCAGUGAUUCAUGCCUUAAAAAUAUGGAGACACUAUCUGAUGGGCACCCACUGUAACAUCUACAUCGAUCACAAGAGCCUCAAGUACAUCUUCACUCAGGCCGACCUCAACAUGCGCCAAAGAAGAUGGUUGGAGUUGAUAAAGGAUUACAAUUUGGAGGUGCAUUAUCACCCCGGCAAGGCCAACGUAGUGGCAGAUGCUCUUAGCCGCAAGACCCAUUGCAAUUGCUUGUUGGCAACCAACUUCACAGAGACUCUGUGCCAUGAGGUGGGAAAACUUAAUUUGGAAAUUGUCUCCCAUGGAACCCUCGGACACAUCUCACCCUUGAGUCUGCUUUGGAGGACCAAAUUGGGACGGCACAGUUAGAAUAUGAGGAAGUAAGGCGAACCAAAAGAAAGAUUUCAUGGAAGGAUGAGAGGUAUAAGCAAUUCUGACAGAAUGAGAAUGGGAGAGUGUACUUUGAGAACCGACUCAUUGUUCCGUCCGACCCCACCCUUAGGAAGCAACUCCUAGAUGAAGCUCAUCUCUCCAAGUUCUCAAUCCAUCCUGGCAGCAAUAAGAUGUAUCAUGAUCUCCGUCAAAUCUUCUGGUGGAGUGGAAUGAAACCUGAGAUUGCACGAUAUGUUUCAGAAUACGACACCUGUCAAUGUGUCAAAGCCAGCCAUUUAAAGGUAGCAGGUACCCUGCAACCCCUACCUAUUCCCUCUUGGAAAUGGCAAGACAUCAGCAUGGACUUCAUUGUUGGACUACCCCUUAUCGCAGCGGCAUGAUUCCAUUUGGGUGAUUGUGGAUCAUCUUACCAAGACUGCCUACUUUCUUCCGGUUCACACCACCUACACGGCCAAGAAAUAUGCAGAGUUGUAUCUUGACCGCAUUGUUUCCUUGCACGGUGUGCCUAGGACGAUCAUAUUUGAUCGAGGAGCUCAGUUUGUAGCGCGUUUUUGGGAACAGCUACAAGCAUCAAUGGGCACCAAGCUCAUUCGUAGCUCGACUUACCACCCUCAAACCGAUGGUCAAACUGAAAGGGUAAAUCAGAUCCUUGAAGACAUGUUGAGAGCUUGUGUCAUCCAUUAUGACAAAAAUUGGGAUAAGUGCUUACCAUUGGCAGAGUUCUCCUAUAACAAUAGCUACCAGACUAGCUUGAAGAUGGCACGAUUUGAAGCCCUAUAUGGUCGGAAAUGUCGGACACCGUUGAAUUGGUCACAAGAUGGUGAAAGACAGACCUAUGGCCCUGACUUAGUAGUAGAAGAAGAAGAACAAGUGAAGAUAAUUCAAGCAAAUCUCAAGGCCGCCCAAUCUUGACAGAAGAGUUACUCCGACACGAGAAGAAGACCCCUGCAAUUUGAUAUUGGUGAUCAUGUGUAUCUUCGAGUCUCCCCGACCAAAGGAGUGCAACGGUUUGGAGUAAAAGGGAAAUUGGCUCCCCGUUACAUUGGCCCUUAUGAGAUUGUGGAAAUUUGCAGACCCGUUGCUUACCGGAUCCAACUACUCGGGCAGCUCUCGGCCCUUCAUGAUGUUUUCCAUGUCUCCCAACUGAAGAAAUGUGUCCAAGUCCCAACUGAGAUCUUAGGGCAGGAGCAACUUCAAAUCGAACCCGACCUGACCUAUGCUGAGUACCCGGCCAAAGUUCUUAACCGUAAGGAGAGGCACACCCGACGACAAGUGGUGAAAAUGUACAAAAUCCUAUGGAAUAACCACACAGAGGAUGAAGCAACAUGGGAAACAGAAGAGUAUCUGAACAAGCAUUUCCAAGGUUUUCUUUUCAGCCAAGGAGGUAAGGACUGCACACCCCCAGUGGUCGCUCUUACACUCGAAUCUCGAGACGAGAUUUAUUUUAAGAGGGGUAGGCUGUAACGACCCUGGUCAAAUCAUUCGAGUUAAUCUAAAUUGGAAGCCCAAAUUCCUCUGUCUCAGCUCUUCCCGAGCAGGAGUGCUCCACUCCAGUUCCCGGUCCCGACCCUUGAAGACCCGAACCAACCCCGUCGGUUCCUUCUGAGUUCCCCGAGGCAGUGCUUCUUUCAAUCUUGGAGCUGUGGGACAACCGAGACUGAUCGGUGGACCCGCAAAUCUUUUCCCCGGAUCUCCCGAGGCAAACGCACUCGAGCGGCCUGCACCGCUUCAGAGCUCCCCCGCCGCGUGGCUCAACUUCUCCGACACCCGCCGCUUCGCCCAUUCGCCGGCCGCGACAGGAUGGAUUCUCGCGCCCUCCUCCCCAUUCGCAGCGAAAGCCCCUCUGCAACCCUUUCUGCAACGCCUCAUCUCGCUCGCGCCCUCGCCGGUCGUGCCUUGGUGCUCCGUCGCCGCUGUGGCAGAGCUUUGCCGCCUGCUGCGUCAAACCGCCUCGCGGCUCGCGCCCAUCAUCAUCUCACCAGAUCCCCGGCUGCAAGGCCCGAUGCCUUCCGGCUUUUCCGCCGCCUCUCCAUAGUCGCGCCGCCCACGAACUCGCUACGCGACGAUUCCUCCAUCGCCAACCCCGACUCCGGCCGCGACAGUUGUUGGUAUACGAGGUACGCUACACUAGCGCAAUUCAAAAAUUCUACUGCGUAUAACCAGGAAGAACUGCCGUAUAAGGAUCACGAGAUUACCACUCGACGCACUACUGGUGCGGAAGAUGUAGAUAUGCGUCGAUGCAGUGAAGAUGAUCACGUAGUCGUACGUAGUCGAUCAACGUAAUCGUACGUAGUCGAUCACGUCCAGCAGCUCCUCAGCAGCUCGUCCACGUGCAGCAAGAUCGCCUCCGGUGCCGCGGCUCAUCGUCGGCUUGUCGUGGCUCAUCGGCGGCUCGUCGACGGCUCGUCCAAGUGCUGUAGGCGCAACACCUCCAAGGUAUCCACACAUGCAGGGAGGAAGCAUCGCAAGCCGGACUGCUAGAUCCGUGAGUUGCAACAGGCGAGGGCGUGGGAGGCGCGGCAGGUGUGUUUUGCCAAAAGGUGUAAACACUAGGGCGCCCCCACCCCUCUAGGUUCCUGACGGGCCUCUGGAUCCGAGGCCCAUUAGUACUUCUAAACCUAAUCCAACUCGGAUCAGAUCCGAAUUGGGCUUCCAGCCCCUUAAGUGUGUGAUCCUAUGGGUUCGGAUACGUAUAGACAUGGCCCGAGUACUCCUACUCGGCCCAAUAGUCGGUAGCGGCCUCUAGCAAGACGUGCCAACUCCUAUACGCACACGAAGAUCAUAUCAGACGAACCAUCACAACAUAAUAUACAUGCUAUUCCCUUUGCCUCACGAUAUUUGGUCUAGCUUCAAGCCAACCGCUCUUUCUCGAUCCUGUGAUCCGGAAUCCCUUUGUAGGUUAACUCUUAACCGUACGUAGCAUGGCCAUGCAUUUUUGGAUCCGAUCACUCGAGGGGCCCAGAGAUAUCACUCUCAAUCAGAGAGGGGCAAAUCCCAUCUUGAUUGACCAUGUCUCAUAGCAUGCUUCUUGACAAACCCGAAAGCUACCUUUAUAACUACCCUGUUACGACGUAGCGUUUGAUAGCCCCUAAGUAGGUCGAUCCACAUCUAGAAUACAUGCGACAAUCUCAGGUCUAAGGACAAAGCGUAUAUGUUGUUUAAAGAGAGAACUACUUCUCGUGUUGGGUCAGUCCUAGCACAUGUCUCCACAUGUGUCCACAUUAUUAGUUCAACAUCUCCAUGUCCAUGACUUGUGAAACAUAGUCAUCAACUAAUACAUGUGCUAGUCUAAUAUUCAUGUGUGUCCUCACAUGAACUCCGACUAGGGACAACUUUAGAAUAACCAUACAAGUAAAGAGUUUCACAUACAAUUCACAUAAUUGCAAAUCAAUUCAAGUAGCCUUUAAUGGAUAUUCAAUGAACACAAUAUACAAAUCAUGGAUACAAAUGGAAUAUCAUCAUCUCUAUGAUUGCCUCUAGGGCAUACCUCCAACAACAGUUCCUUGUCCGCCUUGCCAGAACUGUGCCCGGCAAACCGCUGUUUCGCGCUUGCCCGCGCAGCCGCAGCCCACCUGUCUUUUCACCUGUUGCAACCUCGCUUGUAGUGCCGUUCUCCCUAUCACACCAAUCAGAUCCGCCGCUCGAUGAUGCCCACCUCCGCCAAAUCUCAACCCCGGCAAAAUCGCGCCUGCGCCGCCUUGUCUCCAGUGCCCAAUAGCCGAGGACGCUAUCUCCGAAGUCCUGUUCCGCCGCCCAUCGCCGCUCAAUUGCCGCCAUGGCAGUGCACUCCAUCCUUUUCUUCCGGUCUUAGUGCUACUCCAACUCUCUCUCUUCCGUGCAGCUAUAAAAGGGAAUGCCAGAGUCCUACUUGAGUUCCCUUCGCCAUCGUUGCCUUGCCGCCUUGUUCCUCUGUUUCGUGCUCGAGCGCCGCCACCUAAGUUCUUGAGGAACUCUCAUCUCUGCUCAACACCCGCCCCUCCCAAUCCACCUAGCCGCCUGCUCCUCCGCGCUGUGCUAGAGCUUCCUUGUUGCUCACAAGAAGCUCCACCGCCGUCGGAGCACCGCCGGACAUCGCCGCCACCCAAGCCUUAGUGCUUAAGACCUUCCGCCCAAGUCUACUCCUUCCCGACCCCAAAGCUUCACCUAUAAACCGAAGGUAAGCUGCCGACCCCUCACCGGUUCGCCCGACCCUAUCUGUUCGCCCGACCCCUUUUCCGUCUCGCCCGACCCUGUCUGUUAGCCGACCCUUAUCUGCCUCGCCUGAGGACUUGGCUGUAUCCUUUCCUUGGCCCGAGGGUACCUGUGUAAAAGAGCGGGGACUUCUCUACGUUAAUUCUGAGGACCCCCAGCACAGCUAUUCCUCUAGCUUAAGGGUCAGAUCAUAAGUUUCUUCCCAUCCGACCCUUUUAUCUUGCUCUCCACCAACUAAAGUAAACUUCCCCACAUUUUCUGUAGCCUUGCUGCAAGUGUCCGAGCUUAACUGCAAGUGUUGUUGAAAUAACCGUCUAAACACUAACUCCUGCAUUGCAUUCGUGUAGAGUCGCACCUCGCUGACGGCGUCUACGAGCUACACCCAGUGCCAGAAGACGGAGCUGUAGCUGAGCUACCAGUUCCAGAAGCCGAAGUCACCCCAGCUGAAGACUAGUUCUCCUCCCCUCCGCUUGAAGGCAAGCCCCAGAGCAUGAACCCCAAAUUUUUCCCAAACUUGCGCAUGCCUUCUUUCUCAUGUUUGUGCAUUUACGUAAAGGAGUUGUUUGCAACCUUAGAUGCAUGACAUAGUUCCUUUGAUCUGAACACUAGUUUGUUAGGCCGAGUAGUUGCUAUGCUUAAAUAGGAAACGGUAAAAGUCGAGUGAUUUCCUGUCACUCGCGAGUUAUAGGAGUUGGUUGUUUUCCUUCUGUUACAACUAUAAGGAUGAUGGACGGGGCAGGGUUUUGGUUAACUCUUUUGGUGGUCGGUUGAUCACCCCGUCUGUCUAUGAAAUCUGUUAAGGCCCGACAGUGGUGGUGUUCGUGAUCAAGUAUUUGAAAGUACUAAUCUCAUACCUAGUAUGGGAUGGGGAAGCCUAGUACCUGAUUGAACUAGGGCGUGGCUUAUACCCCUGCUGUCCCUGGAACGAGGUUCCCAUGGUGCAUCAUGUGGGUGCAAGUGCGGUUACAGUACGGUAGAGGCCGGGACUGUGGAGCAUUGCAUGCCAAGGGAAGUUUGGACCUGACACGUGCUUGGGAAUUGAUGGGGACGGCCGACAUAGGAAGCGACCCUUGUGGUGCGUGGAUGUCAUGAGAUUAGGUUCGCCAUGCAUGGUUAAGAAACUCGAAUCGAUUCAUCUGCCUCUCACAGUUUGAGACUGCUUGAUCGCUAUGCUACACUGAGUAAUGAAAGAGUCUGAUGAUGACAUGGUCUUGAUGAUGAGCUUAUAUACAUAAAGUUGGAUCUAUGUUUGCUUAGAGUAAGAUGCCAACGUAGACUGGUUAAUGAACUUAGAAGUUGAGCUAUAACUUGAAAGCAAGGACCUAACAUAGUCGCUUUUGGCAAACAAACCCCUCAGCCAAAGAGCCUUGCAUGUCUAGACGUGGUGGAGUAGUUUUACCACCGGUCGGUUAAGUCUUGUUAAGCUUAGCCGCUCAGCCUUGUUUGUGGCUCUCUUUUUUAGGUGAAGUCGUAGCUCCUGAGUUUGCUCCUGUUGGCACUUGGCCGCCCCAGCUCCCUCCGGGUUGGACGGUCGAGUGGGAUCCCUCCUCAGACGGCGAGGAAAGGGAUCACUGAUGUCCUGAUCAGCCUCAUCAGGAACAUCCGACCCCGGCGCUAGCUUCCGCUAUUUUACCUUUCCGCUGCUUUUGAAUCUUGUAAAACUCUGACUUUCGUUUUGAUGUUGAACUAAAUUGUCAAACUUGUUUAACUCAGUGGAUUUGUUGUAUUCUCUGGAACCACUCACCUUCGUGUGAGUUUUGCUAACUCGGUCCUGUUAAGUGGUUAAAUCGGAUGAAAUCCGACGGCACUUCGAGUUAACUUGACUAAGGCAUGAGUGUCGCGUGUCAAGCGACUUAACCGUGCUUUAAUCAAGGUAAUCCGAGGUGGUUCCACCACACUCCUGCAGGAUGUAAAUCAGUCCGGAUCGCCGCAAUUCUCGGAUAUGAAUGCACUUGAUCAUUGCUUAAGCAUCGUAGUGUAACAAAGAGAAGGGAACCGUUGCUUUUGAAUAAAUAUGUUGAAUGACUUAGUUCCAUCUGGUUGAUAAAAUAUUUUUCAUCAUCUAGACUGGUCAGGUAACAGACUCAAUCUGAAAUAAAAGAUAAAACUAAGGUUUUACAUAUGGUAAGCUUUUUCGGCAAAAUGUGAGUCAGCGAGUACACCAUAAAGCCAUCAUACAGUAUGACAGAAAUAUUUAUAUUGGUUAGACAAGUCAGACUUGCUGAGUACUUUGUACUCAGGGGAUCCUUUGUUGUUGUUUUCAGAAACCCAGCAGGGACCCACCGAGGAGGAAGCACCGAAGAACUAGGGUAUCUUAAGAGUCUCAUGAUACCCUAGAAUAAACUUAGAUGUUUAAUUACUUACCUCGGACUGUUUUAUAUUUUAAACUCUUAGCAAUGGUUUAACUUGCACUGUUAAGUUUCCUCAAUCUAUGGUUUGUAAAUCGUACCUCGGUUAUGUAUGUAAAAAUGUAAUAUUUGUUGAUGCUAUCCCAUCGUGGAAGCGGUCCUGAUGUAUGGCUAUGGAACACCCUAUGGAGGUUUUCAAGGAGUUCUGUGAACAGAACCCUUGAUGGACUACCAGAUUUACACUAUUUUAAGUGCGUUUUGGAUAAUUGUUGUUCUGACAGCAAUUAGGUGCACUUAAGUCAGUUUAAGUUGGGCAGUUCCACCAUAGCUGGUAUCAGAGCCAUAGGUUGGGAUAAUCAACAGAUAUUACUAUUUAAAAAUUGAGACUCUAUUUUAAAUAAAGAAAACGUGAGUCUUAGGUGGCAGUAGUAUUAAUUGGUUUCUUGUUUUGCAGAUGCUAACUGUUUGCUGCGUGUCGCUAGUAUUCGGUAGCAUAUUACUAGGGAGGGAUUACGAUGCCAUCAAUUUUCCUACGAGUGUGUAUAUGAGUCUGAAAGCACGUAGGAAUCGCUGCAUCAUAAUUGCAUAGCAUGUUUUAAAAACUUUUGGGUUUGGUGACUGUCGUUAGACCUAAAACCCGUUCCGUGCGUUAGAAGUUAGACGUGGUCAGGACCGGUGCAAACAGGGGACCGAAGAAGAAAGUACCAAGGAAGAUGAAUAGACCUAGAAUCCUUUGAUGCAACCAGCUUCACUAUAAUACUAUGGAAGGACAAAAGAAUGAAAAUACUUCGGGAACGAGUAAGCCAAGGUGAUGUUACUUGUUUUACCCAGAAUGAAAAAGGGGUGCUCUAUUUCAAAAACUGAAUAGUAGUACCCAAGAAGAUGGGCUUGAGAAAAAAGAUCCUAGAUGAAACUCAUUUGUCAAGAUUCUCUAUCCACCUUGGAAGUACUAAGAUGUAUCAAGACCUGAAGCAAUGCUUUUGGUGGACAAGGAUGAAGAGGGAAAUAGCCAAGUAUGUAUCUGAAUGUGAUACAUGCCAAAGGGUGAAGGCCACACAUCAGAAAUCAGCUGGCUUAUUGCAACCCUUAACCAUUCGUAAAUGGAAGUGGGAAGACAUUUCCAUGGAUUUUAUAGUAGGAUUGCCUACUACCUCAAAGGGGUAUGAUUCCAUAUGGGUUAUCGUGGAUCGACUCACUAAGUCGGCUCAUUUUAUUCCUGUCAAGACUACUUACCGUAUGCCAGUUUAUGUGGAACUCUAUAUGUCUCGAGUAGUGUCAGCACCUCGAACAUGUCAACGCCUCAUGGCUCCACAUGGCAGCCACGUGGCCAUCUAGUCUACAUGGCACUGCCACAUGGCGCACACGUGGUCGUCCCCAGCCGGCCGGGAUCCAUGUGUCGGGCGGAUCCUGUGCGUGUGGCGGAACUGCUCAAAUUAACUUGGCUAAAGCACACUUAAGUCGCCUAACACACGAUCAUGUACUUUAAUCAAGUCAACUCGGUAGUCCGUCGGAUUUCAUCCGAUAAACCACUUAUCACAGGAUCGAGAAAGCAUAGCUCACACGAAGGUGAGUGGUUACAGAGAUUACAACAGUCUAUCCAUAUUAAACAAGUGCAUCAAAUUGCUACAACAUCCAGUUUGAAAUUCAAACAUAGUUUGCAGAGUUUCAAGCAGCAGAAAUAAAUAAGCGGAAGCUAACGUCGUUGUAGGAUAUCAUGACGAAGCCGAUCAUGACAUUAAUGAUCCCUGUCCUCACCGUCCGAGGAAGGAUCCUACUCGACCGUCCAUCUCGGAGGGAGUUGGGUGGGCCAAGUUCUACUUGCAGCGAGCUCAGGGGUAACAACAUCACCUGAAAAGAUGUGCCACAAGCAAGGCUGAGCAACUAUGCUCAACAAGACUUAACCGACGGGUGGUAACUACAUCCACCAACACCUAAACAUGCAAGCUUUUUGGUUUUGGGGUUUGUUUUUGCCAAAAGCGACUAGAGUAGGUCUUUACUUUCAAUAUUUUAGCACCAUGUUCUAGUUGAUUAACCAUUCUAGGUAAGCAACUAUACUAAGCAGGCAUAGCUUUUCAAGCAAUUAAUAACAAGUAACAACAUUUAAUCAUCGUCACAUUCCUUUCUUACUCAGUAUAGCAUAGCGAUCAAGUAGUCCCAAACUGUGAGAGGCAGACGAAUCGAUUCGAAUUUCUUAACCAUGCAUGGUGAACCUAAUCUCAUGACAUCCAUGCACCACGAAGGGCCGCUUCACUUGUCAGCCGUCCCCAUCGAUUCCCAGACCUGUGUUGGGCCCACUUCCCUUGGUACAAGGCUUCAUAGACCCGGCCUCUGUCGUUCUAUGACCGCACUUGUCACCACAUGCAGCCACAAGGGAAACUCCGUUCCAGAGACAGUGGGGCGAUCCACUCAUGUCCUGGUUCAAUCAGGUACUAGGCUUCCCAAUCCCAUACUAGGUAUGAGAUUAGUACUUUAAAACACUUGAUCACGAACACUAUCACAUCUCGACCUUAGUCAAUUUCAAGUAGACAGACGGGGCAAUCCACCGACCACCAAAAAUAGUUCACAGAGCCCUGCCCCGCCCAUCGUCCUUACAGUUGCAGCAAAAGAAAAGGGCAUUCAACUCCUAUAACUUGCGAGUGAUAGGCAAUCACUUGACUUUUACCGAGUCCUAUUAAGCACUGCAACUACUCAACUUAAUAUACUAGUGUUCACAACAAGGGUACUGAGUUCAUGCAUCUACGAUUUCAAUCAACUCCUGGAACAUAAAUGCACAAUCAAGCAAUCAAUUGUAUUUCAAUAUUUAAAGAUAGGAAUUCAUGCUCCGGGACUUGCUUUCGCACGGGGAGUUAGCGAACUAGUCCUCGGCUUGCUCUGGUGCAGGCUCAGCUCUGGCGUGGUGCAGAUCUGCUACGGCUUCUUCUUCCGGCGCUGGGUGCAGCUUGUACGUGCCGUCAGCAAGGUUCACUUCUACACGAAAUACAAAUGCAACAAGUUAAAUUUUCCAUGCUUUCACAUGCAGGAUGCAAAACAUGAGUUAUUGCCGGAGUAUAACUUACAUUUUGACCACAUUCACCUAAACAAGGUUCUAAACUUUUAUUAUCUUCAUGAGGUAAGGUGUGUUGUGGCAUAAAACCCGGCGUUGAUUUUAAUGGAGAUUGUGUACACAUAUAUGUGAAACGAGUUGAUUAACUUCAGAUUAGAAAGUUUGUUAAGUUUCUGAAUGUUUUUCUGUACCUCUUUCGAAAAUUACCAGUAUCAUUACUCAAAGUUUCUUUCAUCCAUUUAAUUAGGUCCAUCUUCCAAAUUUUAUGUCAUUAUCCAAACAGCAAGCUAUGAAGCUACAAAUUUAACAGCAACUUAACUUUGUCAUAGAUAAGCUACUGCAUAAAUUUGAGAUCCAUUGGAGGUGUAUAAAAAGAAUUAGAAUUACUUUAUUACCCUAAGGUAGCAUAUACUUAAACAUUUUUAAAACAUAAACCAUAACGAAACUGGUCAUGAAAUUUUAACAGUGAGUUAUAUGGGUGAUACAAAGCCUUUGGAGAAUUUUUCAUGAUUUUUAAUGAAGGACAUCUAUUUCACAUAUUUACCUCAUUUAUCUUUCUCUAAAAAGGAAAGUGAUUUUCUUUCUGCUUCUGACCAGGUUCUAUAACUUUCCAACAAACUACACUACACCACUGACCUAUUCCAAUUUGUUUCACAUUUUUAUCAUCUCUGGUUUAAAAAUUGUGCAAAAGAUUGUAGUUAUACAACUAGAACAGAGACUUCAACUUCUGAGCUAGGCUCCAAAUCAUUUUUCCAAGAUUCUAUUCUCUGAGACAAGCAAUUGAGAGUUGGAUUUACCUUUUUAGCAUUUUUCUGUGAUUUGCUAUGAUUUAAAUAGCUCAAACAAGGAUUAAAACAUAUAACAUUAAUUCUAACAGAGACAUGUGCAAACUUAUUUUUAUAUGAAACGACACACAACACUGAGUCUAACAAAAUUCAUCUUGCAUUUUUAUCAUUUUUACACUUUUCUAUGCCUUUUCAAAGUUUUAGCCUUUUUAGAUCUAGGAAAAAAAAAGAAAACCGAGGCAAACUUGCAAUCUAGCCCUCAAGUCUAUGGUUUAAUCACGUAAAGGUCCCUGGUUUUUGCGCCUACACCCCUGGACAGAUUCCCACCUUAAACAUAACUCCUGAACAUUAUCCCAUAACCCCCUAGACUUCUAUUCUUCUCAAAACUCACUGAUAUCUUCUUCCUUGGAACAGAUCGCACAGGCACAGGAUUGUCACACAUGGGGGCACACGGCCGGCCGGGGAGAGGGUAAAGAAGGUGUGGCGGCGCUAGGGGAGGGGGUGGUGCCAUGCCCAGGACAAGGGGUCUCCUUGGUGCGGCACAGGUAGGGAGGAAAGGGGCGGCACACAACAUCAUGGUUAGGAGCUCACCUAGGUUCCGUUUUAGCUGUUGGUUGUCGAUGAGGAAGGCCGGAAGGGGGCGUUCACGGUGAGGGUCAUGGCUGCAAUUGACAGUUUCUGAUCGGAGGAGAAACUUGGAUUCCCGACCAAGGGAUGGACGGCGGGCGAUGAGGAGAGGCUGAGGGUGGAGCCAAGGGAGUGUAGAAGCUUAGGGCGUGAGGGAUUUGGCGGAGGCGGAGGCGGAGGGAGCUGGCCGGAUUUCGCCGGGGAACAGGAACCUCUCGAGUUGGCUGUUUGGGGCAAAAAUGGAGGAAGGCUUGGUUUGGGGAGGCUCUGGCUUGGAGGAUAAGGCCGGCUCAAGGCCUGGGGGUGGUGCAAGGAUAAGAACGACACGACAAGGCGUCGGGGGCACGCUGGACGGGCAUUGGCGGAGCGGCUGUGACGCGGCAGCCAUGGCGUGGUCAUGUGCAUGCGGCGAGGUGCUGCGGCGAGGCACGGUAGGUGAGGUGCUGCAGCGAGGUGCGGCAGGCGAGGUGGAGCGUCGACUGGUUAGCGCGCGGGCGCGGGUUGGGCGAUGGGGGUGGCGCGGGCGAGCUUGCGCCACGGGGCGGGCGACAUGCAGCACGCUCUGGCGCGUGUGCUCUGGCGCAGGGCGAGAACGCGGGACAGUUGCAGGGCCGGAGUUUUGGGGCAAAAUUGCACGCGAUUUUUGAACUAAACCACGUUGGCUCCCUUUACAAAAAUUGUUUUCCUAACAACCGAGUUCAAACUUUACUAAAGGUUUUUGCCCAGAUUUCAAACGGAUUCAGAGAUAAAAUGCGCCAAAGUUCGUAAAAAUUGAAACUUUCAGACUUAGGCGCUUCAGCCAUUUUUGGAUAGUGUUCACUAUUUUAGCUGUGUUUGACCUUGUUUUUGAAAACCUUUUGUGCAGAUGUUGGCCUAGCUCCAAUAAUCAAAGUGGUUAAGGACUUGUAGCACUAAAAAUUUUAUAAAAAGUCUAUUUUGAGUUUACAUUAAAAAUUGUGAGAUAAAGGGCUUCAAAGUUUGGGUUUUUCAUGUUUUUCACAAUUUGGCACAUAUUUGAAUUUCAAGUUUUUGAAAGCCUUCUGCUCAGAUUCAAACAAAACGCCAAAAACAAAAGUUGUUAGAAAAGAUGAGUUUAACAACUCUUAGUUGGACAAAAUUUCAGGUUCUUAUAUAAAAAUUUAAAUUAUGGCUUAAUCAAUUUUUAAGCUCUUAGGGGUCAAAGUUGACCUUUGACUCGGUUAAUUUGCUGCUAAAAGCUUCACUUAGGCUUAAAGAAGGUUUAGUUAACCUAGGGUUGUUACAGUGCACUAUCGGCAUGUGGCCACGGGUGUGGCACAGGCCUGAUUGGCGGCGACGCAGCGGUGACCGCGCCCACAACGUCGUGGUGUCACGGCGCAGCUGCUGCGCGUGCGCGCGGGCAUGAGGCAGUCCCCGACCGCGGCACGACCACGGCGGCAUGCGGGGUCCCGGUGUCCUAGGCCCGUAGCGGCUGGUAGCAAGGUGAACGGCGGAGCUCCUACCAUGGAUCGAAGGCUGGGCAUACGACAAGCAAACAAGAGGAAAGAGAGGGGCGGCGAGGCUCACUGCGGGAAGAUGGCAAAGGCGGGCGGCGUCGAGCGGCGAUCGACAGCUCCGGCUCCUUCAUUAGAUGCCCCUCUUCUUUUUCUUCUCUUCUACUUCCCCCCUCCUUCCCUUUCCUCCUCUUCUCCUACUCCUCCCUCCUCCUCUACUCCUUCCCUCUUCUCUCAUCAGGUGGUCGAUGGCGCAAGGGCGAAGCCCCAGGUGGAUGGCGAGGAGAGGCCCCGAGCGGCUCUACUUAUAGGGGAGAGACGGCUGGAGUUCCGGAGGGAGGUUGCGGCUUUAGGGUUUGGGGGCACAACGUCGGUGAUGUGGACGGCUAGGAUGUGGCAUCGCACGGUGCGGGUGACGUGAUGGCCAUCCGAGGCUGCUAGCGCAAAAGCAAGGGCGCAGGCGAGGUCACGGGGCGCACGUGAGGUGCGCGUGAGCGGGUCCGGCGCAGUAGCGAGAAAGAAAGAGAGGGAGAGCGGGGCGCGGGUGCCGACUGCGGGCUAGGCCAGCUGGCCGGUUAAGAGGCCUGCUGGGCUGGUCGUCGAGCUGCGCAGGCGACGCGGUAGAGCAGGCCAGGUCGGCUGUCUGGCUGGGCCGGGGCGAAGGUGGGUGAGGGUGAGGCGCGAGCGGGCCAGGGCGGUGGGCUGCGGCUGGCCUGGUUGGUUAGGAGGGUUAGAUAGGUUUUGUUUUUAUUUAGAUUUAGAUUUAGUUUGAGUUUUGAAUUAGAUUAAAAAUUCAAACACACACUCAAACAUGAUAUCCACAUAAAUUCUAAAAAAAUCCAAAUCAUUCCACACAAGUUUUGAAAUGGAAUUUUGGGAUGAGAGGAGAAUUUGACUACCAUUUUCAAAUAAGCACACAAUUCAAAUAAAAGUUUUAAAUUUUUGAAAAUUUCACUCAAAUAAAUAUUACAAAAUUCUGGAAUAUUACAAACAUAACCACUUCACCUCGUACCCCGAGAAAGCUAUACAAAGCUUAACACUCCUCAACAUCUGAGAAAUUCGGUUGGAACGAAACUCUAGAUUUUUCGGACUGUGUGAGUCCUCCUUGAUUUCCUUGGUGGCAAAAAUAAAAAAGGAAGUGGCUGCUUGGGUAGGGGCAGGGCAAAAAACCUAACGGAACUUUUAGCGCAGUAAUUUUUUUGUUACUCUCUACCUAUUAGCCAGCUUGUAACUCUUCUUCUUUAUCAAUAAAAUAGGCACAAUCUUAUACCCAUUAAUUUUAAAAAAAGAGAUAAAAGCUAACAAUGUUUUCCAUGGAUGGAAACAUUAACGUAAGAAGAUAUACAAGUAACAACCUAUUUGAGACUUCAGUAGUGUUCAUACUAUACCAUACUAGUAGUAACAGUAGCAUUAAGCAGCCAGCUUACAUUGAACAGCAGAGCACAAUACUUGUGUCAGUAUAAAAAAAGACUUGUGUAAGGCCAGCUACACAAGUUAGCUCGCAUUUCAUAAUUAAGUUUCAGAUUUCGUGCAAGGCCAGAUACUUUAGCACUGCACUCUUGAUAAGCGGCGGUCCGCGUGUUUGGUUUCCUACAUCGAACCAGAUCCUCCAGAAUACAUUCAUCCAGGUUCCAGAAAUAUGCCGUCCAGAUGGCUGAACCAUCCUGUGCGUCCAAAACUCUCGAACCACGCCGUCUAGGACAGGCCGAGCAUGAUCGAGAGGCGAACUAUUCACUGUCCGCCUUCCCCUCCACUCAUUAGUCUUUUAUGUCAAUUUAUUUAUCUAACAAAUUUUAUUUGUUUUCUCAUUGUAUCAGAGGUAAAGUUACCACCUAUAGUAAGGAGGUUACCAUACCCUGAUUCAAUCACGUAACCAAACAUGAUCUUGUACCAUCCUGUAUCAUCCUAUUCAAGUAACCAAAUAAAACCAUGUACCGUCCCAUUCAGACAACCAAACAUACAACUUGUAUCAUAUCAUUCAGAAUCAUUCUAUCCAGGUGAACCAUCCCAUACAUGUUCCACUUCAUUCAAGUAACCAAACACUACCCAAGAGAUCCAUUAUUCAUCAGGAUAAGCUAGGAUCGCAGGGGCUCGUUGCGGCUGUGGGUGUGGACCACCAUCUCUUCCUAGCUACCCGCCGCUGGCGGCCGGCGAGUGCAAGACUGGUAGGUUUAGGUAGUGUUUAGUUACUCGAAUGAAGUGGAACAUGUAUGGAAUGGUUACAUUAAGUAGCCAGCUUACAUUGAACAACAGAGCACAGUACUUGUGUCAGUAUAAAAAAGACUAGUGUAAGGCCAGCUACACAAGUUAGCUCGCAUUUCAUAAUUAAGUUUCAGAUUUCGUGCAAGGCCAGAUACUUUAGCACUGCACUCUUGAUGUACCGAAAGGAAGAUUAACAUAUAAGUACAAUACCGAAGUAAUGACUAUGGAAAUAGGCUUAGAAAUACAACUGGAAGCUAGGUACAGUGCAAUAAACCUUAGUGCCUCAUCAUAGCUCCGUUAGCUUCCAGGAAAGUAUAAUGCUGUAUUUGCAGAGAAAAAAAAAAUCACCUUCUAGUGGUGAUCAAGUACGCGAGAUUCUUGCAGUUGCAAUAGAAACAUCUGCCAAACCGGUCCCAUUUGACCACAAUAGCAGCUGCAAAGCCAACGCCGAAGCCAAGCCCAACGAAGAGAAACAAAACCACAUCAAUAUGACGAGAAGACUUGUGCCCAUGUGCCACACCUGGAGGGUGAGGUGAACUACCACAAGGAAAUUUUGGCAAUUGCAGCCCACACAAUCCAGCAUUCCCUUCAAAUGAGCUGCUGUCAAAUGUAGAGAACUGACGUGACUGCGGUAUCUUCCCCACCAAGUGAUUGCAUGACAAGUUUAGGGAGCCAAGAAAGGUGAGAUCAGUUAGCUCUUGUGGAAUGUCCCCUGAGAGUUGGUUGCAGGACAGGUCUAGUGACUCCAAAUCAGUCAUUGCUUCGAAGUUGGGCUGGAAUUUUUCCAGUGAAGGCAUUGUGUGACAGAUUCAGUACGCGUAGUGAUACAAGGCUUCCAAAUGUUUCAGGAAUAGUACCCUCCAAACUAUUUUUUGAGAAGUCAAUUGCUGUUACGGUAGUCAUUCCAAAUCGCAUAUCUUCCCCCUUGUACAUGAUCUCAAUAGAAUAUUGAUAGAAACGUUCUUCUCCGUGUAAGGUGUUUAGAGUUUCGAGAGUUUUCCCAGAACUAUUAAACUCUGCCAUCAUUGACUUUAACUGCUUGAACCAUUGUGGCCUCAAAGUACCAGAGAAGUUGUUUGAGGCAAGAUCGAUAAUUUGCAAGCUAGGGAAACAUUCCUCACAUUUUGUGUCCCCAACAAUAUCACCUAUGGUGCCAUACAUUUGGUUUGAUCUCAGGACGAGUACAAAAAGCUUGGGAAGCCCCCUCAACCAAGGAAAAGCAUCAGCUAUUUUGUUGCUUCCAAAGUCUAUAACCUCCAAGUCUGUACAGUUAGAAAGGCCCCUAGGAAGCCUCCCUUCGAUCUUAUUGCCAUGUAAAUCUAUCGUCUGUAAAUGACAUCUUGUUGUUAUAUUGGAAGGCAGCAUCCUUUGCAAGCGAUUCUGCCUCAAAUUUAAAACACGUAAGUGGAUAUUUUCUAUAAAACAAGGUGGAAUCGGGCCAUUAAGGUAGUUAUAUGAUAGAUCAAGGGCAUCCAGCUCUGUGGCAUUGCAAAUUGAGGGAGAUACAUGGCCGUGUAUAGGGCCAGAAAGCUGGUUGAAAGAGAGAUCAAGGUGAGUUAAUAUAGGAAGACUGAAAAUAGAUGGUGGAAUCUCCCCUGGAAGGACAAUAGAAAACAUUAAGUUAGAAAGUGUUUCCCCUUCUACAAAUUGAAAUCAGAAGAUGCUACCUUCUAUUUUGUUCAGAACAUGAAUACUUGACCCUUUCUCAAGAAAAGUAAAAGUUGAUAUCGUACCAUAGAAAUAUAUAUCCCAAGUUUAUUUAUUUUAUUUUGAGAAAAUUGCAUUACUAGUCUCUAAAUAAAUGGCCAAAACUUGUGUGGUAACCUCGCCGACCCUUGCACUUGUUGCAAAUUACUUUCCCAACCCCCUCAUCUUUGUUGUGCCACGUGUUAGGCAAUGGUUCGAUGCUGGUUCAACUCAUUAAUUUGCUAAUAGUGGGGUGGGUGAGAUUAGUGUGCAAGUUUAAGGACUACCGGAAGAAUUUAGUGCACCUACGGACCAUAGAAUUUCAUAAUCGUAGGACCCAUGAAGCUGAAAUGAUCCGGACCCAUCAUGGAUCAUAAUUUUAUGGUAUUAUGAUUUAUGAUACCCAGUGUAUAGUCCUGUACCAUCAAAAUGAAUUGGUAAGAUCACUUAUAUAGGAUCCCCAUCCGAACAUCAAAAUUUGUUAAUAUCUGAAAUUAAGUAAAUCCAUGAGUAAUUAUAUAUGUUUCUUCAGUUUAAUUCAACAUCUUUUACUCUUUGCAUGACAUCUGACCAUUAAUUGUUUUAAAUUAUGAUUAGAUAAUGUUUGGAGUUAAGUUGAAAUGUAGAAUUGACAUUGACAUGAAUAAGUGGACUUGAGUUUACAAGAAUUAAUAAAUUUAUAAAAAAUAGCAUUGUAGAUUUCUUUUCAAGAACUUGUUUAACUUUUUAAUAUAUGCAUUUUUUACUCAUUACGCUGCAAAAUCCUCCCCCAAAGUUCUUGACACAAUGUCAAACUCAUUUGUUGUGUUUAACCUCUUGCAAUGAUCUAUAUAAGCUGCCAGCUUUUGUAUAAGAGGGCCGGGGUUAGAGAAGUAUAUCGUGUCAACUGCACCAAUGAAGUUAUUUUAGAGUAAACUAGAGCAAAUGAGAAGCUUUAUGAGCCCUAAUACCCAUUUAAGAUUUCCAUUGUUAAUUAUUUUAGUAUUCAACAUUGAGUCAACUUUUCUAAAUAAAAGUUGAUUAGGCUUUUACACAUAGUUUGAAUCAUAGUUAAAUGAUUUAGAAUGAUAUCCAACUUGAAUCAUAAAGUAUACAUUUAGAUGUUUCACAUAGUUUGGCUUUUCUAAAAGUUAAAUGUUUAAAUGAUAUCAUUUAUACUUCAAUAUUUACAAUUAAAAUAUGGAUAAAUUAUAACUCGGUUUUCCCUAAUUAUUGAUAAAAUGACCCAUGUCAAUAUGAAUGUGUUUUCUAAAUAAACUUUGUCUAGCCCAACACGACAGAUGUAUUAAUUCGAUAAGAUGUGUUCAUCUUUCUAAAGUUAAGUGUGUAAUGGGUAUAAUUUAUACAUGAACAUUUAUGAAUAAAAUAUGAUAAGGUUUUACCUCAGUUUUUGUAAAUAAAGUAUAAUUUGCAUUAAUUCCAACAUAGGUUAUUUUUCUUUCUAUAGUAUCCUUCACAUAUGUUUUGUUAAUUAAAAUAAACUGGGUGUGACAAGAGCAAUCUUGGUUCAAAUCCUAUAUACUGCACAUGUGCAUAUUUUGUGUGAGAAAUUGUAUGAUGUGUGACAGCUAGAAAUUUGCUAGCUACAUAUACCUAACUUUUUAUGCGCGGGUGCGGCUGACUAGCUUCUCCAGAGCAAGCAGACUCAUGCCCCUCCAGGUGUAGUUUGGUCAAGGAGGGAGCAGAGGCGCCGGCCACCUCAGAAAUCUGUCACGGUUUAACUUGUCACUUGUGGCAUGUCGGGCGUAGGGCUAUGUUUUUUUUAACUAAAUAGCACAGAAUGGAUAAUACAGCAUUUUGCAAUCGCAAAUAUGUGUGCGUUUGUGGGUAGGGGUAUUGUUACGUACCGUUGAGAGAAUUAAAAGAAAGAUCCAGCAUUGUUAGCUGGGUCAAAUUAACUAUUGAGCUUGGUACGCUUCCGGAAAAAUUGCAAACUCGAAGAACCAAAUUUGUGAGUUCACCAAUUGCAGCUGGCAUUGGUCCUGAAAACCCACAUGAUACUAUAUACAUGUUUCUCAAAUUUGUGAGUUGCCAAUUGGAGCCGGCAUUGAACCUGAAAACCCAGAAUGCUCGAUAUACAUGUUUCUCAAAUUUGUGAGCUUGCCAAUUGCAGGCGGCAUUGGUCCUGAAAACCCAACAUCCUCGAUAUACAAGUUUCUCAAAUUUGUGAGUUCACCAAUUGCAGCUGGCAUUGGUCCUGAAAACCCAACAUCCUUGAUAUACAAGUUUCUUAAAUUUGUGAGUCCACCAAUUGCAGCUGGCAUUGGUCCUGAAAACGUAGAUAAUAUAUGCAAGUUUCUCAAAUUUGUGAGGUUGCCGAUAGAAGAUGGCAUGGAGCCAUAUGUUGUGCAAUCAUCCAUUGCAAGUGUUUGCAAGCCCGUGAGGUUUCCAACUGCAUGAAGUACUGGCCUAGGGAGGUUGCAGUCUUGGAUUUUCAAGUUUUUCAAGUUCAUGAAGUUGCUAAGUAAGGUAGGCGGUACCCCAGAGAAGUUACAUCCAAAGAGUCCCAAACUUGUUAGGUUUUUGUGCUGGCCAAUCCAUGAGAAAAUUGGACCUAAGUCGCUUCCUGAGUCCAAAUCGUGGUCCAACUCAUUAUCCAAAAAACAAUCAAGGUCCAACUGGUGUAGAGACUCAAGUCUACCGAAUGCAGAGAGAAAAUCCAUAGAAAUUAAAUUCCUUUUAAGACCCAACUCCUUCAACGAUGUGAAAUUACUAGAAGGCGUUGGUAUGUCAUAUACCAAGUUGGUCCCAUCAAGUCUCAAAGUCUCUAAAGAGCUGGCAUUAGAAAAGUUUGGCACAUGGCCUGAGAGAUUCAUAUUAUAGGACAAAUCAAGGACCCUUAGAUUUUUUGAUUGAAAGGGUCUAGAUGGUAACGGCCCCUCAAGAUCUGUCUGAGAAAGUUGAAGCACGGUUAAAUUGGGAAAAUCCAUGAAGAACUCUGGAAAUGGACGACCACUAGGUUCAUAAAAGUUUUCUUGGAGUUUGAUCACAACAAGAGAAUGGAGUCUCGAGAGCGCUUUAUGAAUAGGACCACUCAGGUGACAAUCAGCUAAACUAAGUACCUGAAGUUGAGGAACAUAUGCAGCAAGAGAUGUGCCCCACUCUUCUCCACUAUUAGACAAAUCCACCGAGUCAAGGUAGAGCUCUCUUAAGUUGCUGAGGUUUACCACAAAGGUAUCAAAACUUGAUUCCCAUAAAUAGUUAUAAUAAUCAUAAUAGUUUGGACCAUAAAAACCGAGAGAAUAAUCAAUAUUGUAUGUUGAAAGAUCCAAUGAGAGAAGGUUCACUAGUUUACUGAUGCUAGGAGGUAUCUGACCAUAUAAUCCUGAAUUGGAAAGGUUUAGGUGGGUUAAAAAAGUGAACCUCUCAAAACCAGCAGAACGGAUGUUGUCUCCACCGAUGUCAUUCAUGCUAAGGUCGAGUCGCCGAAGUGAUAUGAGGCUGAAGAGUGCAGGGUCCAAGCCAUGACUUGACAAGCAACGGUUGUUGAGGUCGAGAAUGGUGACAUGGCCAGACGAAGGGUCACAGCCAACACCCUCCCAGAGACAACAGUCGGUACCAUUUCGCCAUGAUGAAAGCCUGGUGGUGGAUCUGUGAAGGAGAAGGACUUCUUCAGCUGGAGGAGCGCCUUAGCUUGGUUUGGAUGGCACAAAAAUGAGACAGGGAGGUGAGUGAGGUUACCACCAUCAGCACGGUGGGCAAUAGAGGUGGAGAGUAGUGUGUGUAGCUGAGCAAGAAAGAGCAGUAACACCCAGCCGAUGGAAGCCAUAGCAACUCAGUAUGAGCCGAUGAUAGGCUUACAAAGAGGCACAAGGCAGAUACAUAGUAAUGCGUGACAGAUUGUUAUGCAGCUUCCAGCUGCUGUCAAGUCUUCGUCCAUUAAUAAAUUAAUUAAUUUACGAGUACCAUGGCUAAGCUGUACGCAAUUGCGACACCUGAGGAGACUUGACUGUACCAUGGGCUAGCUGUACGCAAUUGCUACACCUGAGGAGACUUGAUUAGCCUUUCGUCAAAUGCUGUUGGUAUCAUCCACUGCUACAACAGUGACCGGUAAUUGGAAGUCUCACUAUAGCAAGACUUCCAAGUCAACUAAGCCGGCCGCUACAUUCUGAGGAAGGUGGAAUUGAAGAUCAAAUCAAGUUGGGCGUUGGGAUGAAUUAGUCCGCACUCCGCAGAUAACAACAUCGAAUAUGCUGAUCUGAUGAUGUGCUUCAUUUUCUUUUUGGUUGGAGUGGAGCGGCAUCAAGAUCCUACUGCUGUGGAAAACACUGACUUGACUCGUUUUAUCUCGCACAAAACGUGGCUGAAGAUGAUAGUGGUGCUUAAAGAAUCAGCGAGAAGGAGCAAGUAAAAAUGCAGUUGAGCUGCAGCUGAAACAUGUCGCGACGUAUUCCAGCCGCGGUAGUUCUCGUCUUCUCGAAGAAGACGUUGCAGUGUUCACGUCUAGAGCUCAUCCAAUCCAUAGCGUUCCUCCGGCCGAACCGUGCGAUACGAAGGAGACGUCGCGUCACAUGCAUGUUCCUCAGGUCGCCUUUGCCUACGACCAAUAAGACGAUGACACCAGAACCUUUUUGUUUUUUUUUCUAAUCAGCAGCUUUCAAAGCGGGUACCCGCGGACAGCGCUGACCGUGUCAAAUUUGGCGAGCAUUAGCCGCAGUUGCACUCGUCCACCACCACUGAUUGCUGAAGCUCCCUACAAUACAGGGUAAGGAACAUCUAAGAUCUGAGCAAGUAAAGUCAGGAUAUUUAACUAUUUGUCAUUCUUACGGAUGGUGCUCCUUCAAAAACAACUCUAACGAAUUCCUACAUAUCUGUCAUUGAAGAAAGAAUUAGUCUAAACUUUUACCAUUUUUGCAGAUGUGGUGAGCCACGUCCUCGUGCUAGCGUGAAUUGAGCUGGCAAUGACCAUAGUGCCCCUGCCUCCCUCACCUUAGCCAUCCCCUUCCCUCUAUCCUGCCACACCUAUUGCUGCAUGGUCUUUCGUUGUUGUGCGGCUCCUCUGUGGUACAUCGCAGGGGAGGAUACCACGACUUGGAGGUGCCGGGGGGGAGGAGGAUACCGUGUUGAUGCGCAAAUCUAGGUGUCCACUCCUUCAUUGAAGGAUAUCCAAACACGGCCUAUUCACAGACAUGGCCACUUAACUUUCAGCUUACAUCUCUUGAUGUGUAAUAUGGCUCUGUUUGGCAUGGCUCCAACUCCAGGUUUUGCUGCUCAACUUCGGCUGGAGCUAGCUUUGCUUGGAGUUGGAGUUGGAGUUGUGUGGAUGGGAUGUUUGGUAGAAGGGUACCCAGCUCCAAAAAAAGAGGAUUUUCAUAGUUAAUUGCCAUUUUUGCCCCCUGGCCCCACAUGUCAUCCUCUGUAAUACCAAUUUUUUUCCUUUUUUGUGAGCUUAUAUUCUUCCUUGGGACUGAAUCAGCUCGUCUGCUCGCCCAUGGCCCGCGAGGCCUGGCUCGAUUCACCCUACCCAAGCUAGUAACCAGAUAGAGUCAGCAGCGCACCGGAUGGGGGCUAGCAGUGGCAAACAGUUCUAGGUCGGCAGCAGGCGGAUCACAGGACGUUGCCGAUGCACGGGAUAGAGCUUGCGGCGUGUAGAAUGGGCGCGGCGUAGGAUGGGGCCAGCUGGCGACGUGCAGGAUGGGGUGCGCGGGGUGGGGCCAGCGGCGUGUAGGAUGGGUGGGCGGUGCGCGGGACGGAGCCACCGCACAGGAUGGUAGUGGUGUUGGAUGGGUUUAGCGGCGCGCAUGAUGAGGUUGACAUGUAGGACAAUGGCGGUGCGCAAGGGGAACGAUGGCUCCAGCCCUCACGCGCGAUGGCGGAGGCGCAAGGUGAUGGUGACGGCGCAUAGUUGGAUGGCGGCAGCGGCAAGGAUCAAGGAGCAGCGGCACGUGGGCUGAGGGUUGGGUCCUGGGCUAGGGGCGGCACAUGGGUUGGUAGUCACGAGGGAGAUGAAGGUUGUGGGAACAGAUGAAGCGGGGGGGGGGGGAUAGAACCGAAACAUUUUCUUGUGUAACCGACGGUAGUGGUGGGUAAGUAUCUUGUAACUCCACGUCUAGAUACGUUUCGCAGUGUUUUGGAUCUGUGAAAGUGGUGUUCUACGAAAAUGAACUAGAACUCCAAUAACUCCAUGAAGUUAGACUGCUUCAUUUUUUUUUGGAGUUGGGGUGUUUGGCUGGCUUUAUUUUUUGGAGUUCGGGUAUUGUUUUAUUUACAUGGCUUUCCUAUAUAUCUACCGAAAGAUAAUUACUUAUAUAUCGCCUGAUGUUUGAGACUGGUGCAGUGCAAAUAGACCAUGAAGACUGUGGGGAGCAAGAAAUGCAUGCACUGACUACAUACGUGACCAUGGAGUUGGACAAUGACACGUGUCAUCAACUGAAAUGUUGGACGUGGUGGGACAAGUGGGUGAGAGUGGCUUGUUUGAAUUUCAAUCUUUAAAAGAACUUUAUCUCUUAAAUCACAAGUUAUUUUUAAAUCUAUUUAAUUUGAACUGUGGCAUUUCUUUGAAUCGAUUCAACAAAUAAGGUCCAAUGAAAUAUUUUAAAUGUUUUUUCAAAAAAUCAAAUAUACUAGCUCAUGUUACAUAUACUAAUUUAAUAUUUUGAAUAUACAAUUUCAACAUUGUAAUUAAAUUGAUUCAUGUUUUAUAUAACAUGUAAACAUUUUGAAAUAAAAAAUUUUGAUCUAGUUUUUCCAAAAUGUUGACUUAUGGUUUGAAAAUUGUUGAAUAUAGUUGUUUCAAAUUGUUGAUCUAGUUUUUGAAAAAUGUGAAAUCUAAUGUUUUUGAAAUGUUGAUAUAUGUAUUGCAAAAUGCUGAACAUCAUUUUUUCAAUGUUGAUCUAGGUUUCAAAAAAAAUGUUCAAUCUAGUAUUUAAAAAAUGUUGAUCUAGGUUUUGCAAAAUGUUGAAUAGAGAUUUUUAAAAUGGGGAUGUAUGUCCGGCACAAUGUUGAAAAAAAAACAGAGUUGGAAAUCAAUAUACAUGUGUGAGACCAGAUACACAGGUUAGCUCACACUUGACAAUAGCGCAGGUUUUGUGCAAGGCCAGAUGCUUGAGCACAACACACUUAUUUACCCAAAAGAAGAUUAACAAGUACAAGAAGUAACAGCAGAAGAAAGACCAAAGUAUACCGCAACACCUCAUCAGAUCACAGAUCCUUCACUUUCACUAGAGCAUAAUUCAUUCCUUCGAAAGUCACACCUUCCAGCAGCGUUCAAGUUCUAGAAACUCUUGCAGUUGCAAUAAACCAUCUGCCAACCCGAUUCCAUCUCACCAGAAUAGCAGCUGCGAAUCCGACACCAAAGCCCAACCCGGCGAAGAGAAACAAGACCACAUCAACAUGAUGAAAUGACUUGUCUACCUGUGCAACACCAGGAGUGUAAGGUGAAGCGCCAUAGGGUAACUUUGACAGCGGUGGCCCGCACAGUCCAGCAUUUCCUUCAAAUGAACUGCUGUCAAAUAUAUGUGCAGAACUGACGCGAUUGCGGUAUCUUCCCCACCAAUUUUUUUUGAAACUGUAGACCCGGCUGAGAUUAUCGGACUUGUAUUAAUUAAUAGAGAAGAGAGUCACAGGGCCUAAGCCAAAAAUAAAGGAAAAAAUAUAUAUUGAAAUUACAAAUUGGCGGUGUGAAACGGCGAUCAUUCGUCGAUUUGGCAGAUAGAGCCUAAGUGCCUUGCUCCCACUAAAAUCCAACAUCGCGCCUCCUCCUUGAUUUUGCCGAGUAGUUGGUCGAGGCUUUUGAAUUUUUGUUGAAAAACUCUAGCAUUGCGCUCCUUCCAGAUUUCUCAAGACACCAGAAUGAUCAGUGAUCUGAAACCCUUCAGCGGGGUGCCACUCAUUGACCCUAGUUGUGUCCACCAUUGGCUCACAGAUGAAAUUGUAGUCCAAUCUCCUCUAGGCGGGAUGUGUGCAGCCGUCCACUCAAAUAUUUUGUCCCAGACUCGUAGAGCAGAUGCAAUAAUAUUUCGUCGUGCGAGUGACAAAGCAUGCAUACUUUUUGAUUGGGCCAUCCUUGCGUAAUCAAGCGAUCUUCCAUCCACAGUCUGUUUUGAUAGGCGAGCCAUGAGGAGAAUUUGCACUUCGGUGGUGCCCAUGUUCUCCAGAUUAGGUGCUCCAUGUCCGAGGGUAUUGAAGAUUGGAACCGCACCAUGUAUGCCGAAGUUGUUGUGUAUUCACCGUGCUUGGUCAGAUUCUAGGUGAUGGAGUUUGGUGUUCCCGGGUUGAGCUAGAUUGAUCUUGUUCCGGCUCAAAGGAGAGUCAAUUCUGAGAGAUGUGUCGUUGAUGAUAUGAUGGCCACAUUGAUGUCCUAAAUCCACCUGUCGUUGGUUAUGGCAUCCUGACCGUUCUUCUCUUGUUUUUUGAAAUUUUAUACACCGACGGCGCAAUAUUUCUUAGCGCUUCCCCCUGCAGCCAUACCGAGUCCCAGAAUUUGGCCUUCUCCCCAUCUCCUAACGUGAUGGUCAUUGCAGACGCGAACAACUUUUUAUCCUUGUCGUUGUACGGUGUUGGCAUACCGACCCACGGUUUGCGUGGUUCCUUCCAUUCGUGCCAUAACCAUCAUAGUCUCAAUGCUCGUGUGAACUUCUUUAGAUGCAGUAUUCCUAGGCCACCAAGUUUAGUCAGUUUGCAUGCUGUGUGCCAUGCCACUUUACACUUGCCGCCGACAAUCUGAUCUGCACCAGUCCAGAGGAAACGCUUCCUUCAUUUGUCUAUUUCUUCCAGUAUCGUUGCUGGGGCGUUUAGGGCAGAGAGGUAGUAGAUCGGUUGUGAUGAGAGGACCGCCUUGACUAGUGUUCUUCUUCCCGCUGGGUGAGCAUCUUGCCAGCCCAGUUGGCUAAUCUUGCGUUCUCUUUGUCGGAUAAUGUCUCAAAGUGAGCCUUUUGUAAUCUGCCUAGUGUAGUCCUAGGUAUUUGACUAGGAAGGUUGCUCUUGCUGCUGGGAAGGGGGCUAGAAUCGAAUCCAGCUCGAGUCUAUUGCAACAUAUGGGUGCUACCGAGCUUUUCUGAUUGUUAGUGAUUAGCCCGUUGACUUUGCCAAAUUUGUCUAACAGCUCUUUGGUGUUCCGAACAUUCGCAGUUGUCAGAUUAAUGAAAAUUACCGCAUCGUCCGCGUAUAACGAUAGGCGUAAGCGGGCACCACCGCAUCUCCUCCACCUCAAACCAAACCCUAGCUCCAAGCCGCACACGCUAACAUCGACACCCGAGCCACCGCAACCCUAGCUAGCCACACGCCGUCGUCGAUCCGUGCCGUCGCUGCAUUUCCGUCGCCAAGAAGACCCCCAGGAGCUUUGCCGCAAGGUGAGGAAGCCCCUGGUGUGGCUCUUGUGCGCUCCCAUGCCUCUCUCCACGCGCACGAGCUCGCCGGAGUUCGGCAAGCUCGGUUGGGCCGCCUCAUCGAGCCUCCGGCCGCCACUAGCGCCCAAUCCUCCUCCUCAACACCCUAGAUCAACUCUUCGUGUCUGUAGCUUUCUCCAGGGCCAGAUCCUAUUGAAAAUUGUACCUGGAAACUCAAUUCUGAGCAAAGUCCAGCAUGUCGCCGCCGCGUGCCGCUCGCCUCCGCCGCCCGCGCACCGUCGAUCUCCUCUCGGUAGCUGCUAGCCGUACGAUCUGCUUUCGACAGCUCAGAUCCAAUCUAAUCCGAGUCAAACCAGCCGCGUACCGGUCAAACCCCAUGCUGCGCUGUUCGUUUUUCUAAAGAGUCCCUGGGUUUCGAGGUUUUUGCACCUGAGGUCCAGCGUAGUUCAAAGAUCAUUAGAUCUAGGUCCUUUUUCUUCUGUUCUAGCCCCUGAGCUUUUGCAAAAUAGUGCCCACCAUCCUAGAUCCUCUCUUUUGCGCGUUAAACCUUUGGUUUAUCCGCGUAUUUAUGUUUUAGCCCUCGGUUUCUCCAAGCUUAGCUUCUGAAAGUUUUAAAUCUUUGCCAACAAGCUCAUGCACCUUGUUUAGUGCAUAUCUUUAGCGUUUUAGGUCCGUUUUCAGUGCUUCCUGUGUCUAUGAGUUUGUCUUUACGCAUAGAUUAGUUUUAUGAUCUUAUUUCUCUCUAUUGUUACUGAUUGAUGUAAUGUUUUCUUAUUUUAUUCCUUUGCUUGCUUGUAUGUGAUCGUGUGAUGGGUCAGAAGGACUGCAACUCGAGGGAUUCGGAGGUCAAGACUUUGAAGACUAUGAGCAGCUGGAGCAAAUCCAAGAAGCCAAGUUGUGCCCCUGUUCACAACUAAACCUAUGAAACUUUUUACUUUCCUGUUCAAUAACAUUUAUGCCAUGCACUUUAAGUUACAAACAUAAUGGAUCCUAACUAAGGAGUGACUAGUUUUAUUCCCAGUAUAUUGAUCAACCCGGGCUUACAUAAUGUUGGGUAGUACAUGCUUAGUUUCUCAACUUGGGUAUGGUGGUAUUAGUGAACUUGAUGGUUAAACUUGUUUUAUUUAUGCUGUGCUUUUCAUUAACACAAGAUCACCAUGCUUAAAAUUGGAACAUGGAGAACCACCCGGGAAAACAAUACAACCACAAGAACUAAAUGGAUCUGGUCUUGGCUAAUUAAUUAGAGACUUUAGUCUGGGGUAAUCUUACCGAAAGGGCAAGAGGGGCGGUGGCAGAUGGGGUAUAACCCGGUCCUCUUGUGAAGUGAGCUUUGCUAAGAUACUAUGCCCACUAGGGAGGUUUAUACUCUGCAACUGAUCUGGAAACCUUAGCGGGUUACCGCUUACUAGGGGAUCUUUGUAAAGACCUCGUAGCGUCCCUAUGCAAUCACACCUCGGUAGUGUGGUAUUGUGCCUAGCCCGCACAGCAUGGUUGGGUCUAAAGUUCUUUUGAACUUUUACGCGACUUGUGGGUAAAGAUGUGCAACCUCUGCAGAGUGUAAAACUGAUCGAUCAGCAAUGCUCACGGUCAAGAGCGGCCUGGACCCUCACAUGAUUAAAUUAUCGGAAGUUGAAUUAAAUUAUUGUUAUUUAUUUCUGUUAUCUUUAUUUAUGUUCAUGCUUAAUGUGGGUGGUAUAAACUUACAUUUAGUAAAUGCUAAUAAAACUUGACCAACCAAUUAAAAUGCUGACUUGCUAAUCAACCUUAGCCUAUCCUUGAACAGCCUUACACUACACAUUCCUCACGCUUGCUGAGUACCAACCAUAAGUGUACCCACCCUUGCUAAAACCGCUACUCAAAAUAAGUCAACGAUGUGGAGCUCUUCCAAGAUUGGGAGGAGUACUAGGCGUACGUGUUUCUCCAAUCAUCUGCCUGUGAAGUCGCCGUUUUCGUUGAAGAUCCGCUACGAUAAUAAUAUUCUUUUUGCUAUUCAGUUUAAAAGACUAUCGGUCAUGUAAUAAUUGUAUACUCUCUCUACGUUAUGACAUUGUCUUUGUUACUCACUGAAGUCGUCGCAUGUGUGUAAUUUGAUCCCGGUGCACAUGUAAUUUAUGCAUUAGUUUUGCAUUUAAAAUUGGGUGUGACAGAGAGAUACAUGGCCUUUUAUAUUGCUUCUGGACAUGCUGAGAUAUCUGGUGUCCCUAAGAUAGGAAGCCCAGUUGGGUGGGACGGAAGAGAAUCUGUUGUUGGAAUAUCCCAAGAAAGAAGCUGAUGCGUUUGGCAUUGGGAUCUGCCCUAAAAGCUUAUUGAAACUAAGAUCAAGCACUAGUAGUGAUUUACUAAAAGGGAGAACAUCCGAAGCAAGUUGCAUGCCCGUAAGCACGUUAUGCGAAAGAUUCAAAUAAUAAAGGCUACUACUGCUCCAUGUCUCCCAGAUCCGAUUUGGUAUAUCCCCACUGAUUUUAUUAGAUGAAAGAUCCAAAUAUUGUAUAUUUUUAAGACGCAUCAAAGAUGUUGGGAAUCGAAUUAUAUUGCAAGACGCGAGCCCUAAAUAGUAAAGUCUGGCCAAAUAGGUAGCCAAAGGAUUAUUACCAUCUGCAUCCGUGACAUGCAACUCAUUGUAGGAAAGAUACAAACUGGUGAGAUCACUUAAUCUCCAAAAAUGGGAGAGGUUCACGGAACCUAUCAACUUGUUCGAGCUAACAUCUAUAUGUACCAAACUUGUUAGUUGAAAGAAGGCCAUGGGAAUAAAACCUGACAGAACAUUGUUGCUCAAGCGCACUUUCGCCAACCGUGAUUCUGCCUUGUCAAAGCCAUAUAUGGGGCCAGAAAGUUGGUUGUAAGAAAGAUCCAGGACACUUAAUGCAGGAAGACUGAAUAUAGAUGCUGGAAUCUCUCGUGCAAAGACAAUAGAAAACAUUAAGUUAGAAAGUCUCCUCUUCUAGAAAUAUCUGAAUUCAGAAAAUGAUGGCUCCUAUUUUGUUCAGAACAUGAUAAGUUAUGCCACUGAUACUGUACCAGCGAAAAAGCUCCCAAGCCUAGUUAUUUUAUCCUUAGAAAAUUGCAUGACAUGGACUCUAAAAGCCAACACUUUAUGUGGUUACACUUAAAGAGUGUUUUGUUUCACCACUCAGUCCAACUGCAGAACGUGCGGCUAGCGGCCUUCACGGAGGAGCAAACUGGAGCGCAAGAGGAGAAAAUCACCAGAAUCAAGAGAGCUGGGGUAGCAAAUCGCCCAUUUGUUCCUGUUUUGUUGGCGUGCUGUUUAUGGGUAGUGUUGUUUAUUUUUAGGUGUAUGCAAAAAGUAUUCUUGAUGAAAUAUGUUGCAUCACAUAUUCUAGAAUAAAAAAGUGAAAAUAUUGGUGCUCUGUUGAAUUUCAAUUAUAUUGCUGGAAUUCCUUCCUCCAUUUUUUUCUUUUUCCUUUUCUUCAAUUUUCAAUUAUGUUUGAUGGAAUUUCUUUGAUUCAAAUUCGACUAUAAUUUAUUGAGCUUCAUGCACCAAUCGGUUGCACCUAAAGUCUUAACCCGAUUUGGAAGGACGAUAGUUCUAUUAUACUUCAACAUAAUUAACACUCAAAUUCCAAGGAAAACCACUUCAAAUCCCAACAGCCAAGUGGAGCCACAUGGGUAUAGUGGGGAUUUAGGACCUCAUGUUAUACUUGUGCAUUUAACAAAGGUUAGCAACUCUAUUAUAUUUUAAGAGUUUAGGAAUCUAGAUGACUUCAAGGAAAAAGUUCAGAGAUCGAUAAUCAUUAGGAAUAGCCAGACUUUUGGUCCUACAUCGAUUCUUUUUUUCUUAAGCGGCUGGCACCAUUACACUGCCCGACAUAUAUUGAUAGGGUAGGAGGUCUUACAUCCAUUCCACUUGUACAGCAACUAGUGUAACUCAAGGGCUAAACAAUGUGCUCCAAAAAUGCUUGAACAAGUAAACACAAGCCUGAGCAUAUAUUGGGGCCGUUCGGUUGAGCUGGCUGCUGCUGUUAAGCAGCACAGCUGAUCAGCCGGCCAUGCAGCUGCUACAGCAGCGCAUCAGCUAGGCAGUGGCGCAUCAGCUGGGCAGCAGCGGCUGCAGGCAGCUACUUUUGUACCCAGCGAUCAAGUCAAGUUUUGAAAACAAACAAUGUUGUAAACUCAGUUGGAACUGGAUUAUAUAAAAGGCAAAAUUCAAUGAGCAAACAAAGGUCACUUUAAACAAUCAUUGAAAGAGCAAGUACAAAUAUUUUUUGAUUGAGGCUUCAGAAUAUAAUUGCAACAAAUUACAGUACAGAACCACAUUGAUAAUAUUCAGAUGACUAACCUAUUAAAAUAAGAUCACAAAUGCAUACCAUAUUUCAUGAUAAUGUGACCAGUGAAUCAUUAAUUCAUCUAAAAGACACAUUUUUUUUCAGCUCCUUCAGAAAAAAGAAAUACCGUGACAAGCAUUGCCGUCUCAGCUCCUUGAUUGUCUUUAAAAGUAACGUAGGCAAGCAGACAAACAGAGAAAUAGGCCCAAUAUAUUGACUAAAUAUAUGAUACAAGCACAACCACAUAUCUGCAGACAGUGAUAUGAACCAAAUCACCAGAAGCGCUAUCCAUAACUCUCAAACACCUCAUUUUAGUUUCCAAGACCUGGGCACCCUGAUAACAGUCUAGUCUAGCACAAAAUAAAUGGCAUGCAUAUUGAACUCAAGAGUACACAGGGCAUACAAUUAGAACAUUUUAGCCCUACCCUACAAUAGUUGAUCAGUGCUUUCUCAAGUCACAACAACAACAAAUUAGAAAGAAAUUGAUAGGUUAUAUUCAUAACAACAAAAUAGCAAAUUGAGAAAAUAUCUCCGUCAUGUCAACCCAUAAAGUCCCGCUGCAAUCCAAUCACGAACUUUACUAAUAUCAUCGUUGGCAGUAGCGGCAAACCAAUCUGAUGCAGGAUCAUUUUCAUCACUUGUCCUACUAAGAUAGGUCCCAUGAGCAAACAUGUCAGCACCAACCAUUCCCGGUUCGUUGUUGUCCAAUGCAAAAUUGUGUAGCGCAAAGCAUGCAACAAUAAUCUUUGAUUGCUUCUCCAUAUUAUAUAACGGUAUACCUCUUAGAAUCUGCCACUUAUUCUUUAGCACUCCAAAAGAUCGUUCCACAACAUUCCGAAGGCACGAAUGAUGGUAGUUAAAAAUUUCAUUCAAAUUCUCAGGACCUUUGGCAUUAAACUCCGAUAAAUGGUACCUGCCCUUGCGAUAUGACGCCAUAUAACCCUCACGCAGUGGGUAACCAGAAUCCACCAAAUAGUACUUUCCUACAUAUCAACAUUGUUAUACAAAUAGCAAUUUAGAUUGGCACUCCCAUAUGUUGCAUACUAUAAAACUUACAAACAACAUAAGAUCACCUUGGGGUGGGUGAGGGAAAUGCUCAGCUUGGUUUAAAGCCUCCCUCAAAAUAGCAGUGUCAUGCACAGCACCCUUCUUCCCCGUAGCGACAAAUGUGAACCUCAUGCCCAUGUCACAAACGGCUAAGACAUUCUGGCUGGUGAACCCCUUUCUAUUGAUAAAAUCAUCAUGUGCGUGCUCAGGGACUGACACCGGAAUGUGGGUUCCAUCUAUAGCUCCUAUGCACCCAUCAAAAUAUGGUGAGAAUUGAUGCAGCUUAGGAUGCACAUACCUGAACAGUGGAUCCAUUGGUCUAAUAAUAGUACGUGCAAAAGAGACCACGGCAUCUAACACUUCACCGAACUUCCGACUCACGGUGUCUAGUGACCUACGAAAUCUAUCCGACAUUUGUCUCUGGCAUUGUCUUGUGCCACAUGCCCAUAGGAACAUCCCUAAUGCCUCAACUGAAUCACAUUGUCGUGUGGAUUUUAGCCCAUGGUUGGACACUAAGAUUGAAUGCAACAACUGGAAUGCAGAUGGAUGGAGACGGAAAUUUUUGUAGCACUUCUUACUGUCAGCAAGGUUAAUAGCAACCCAUUGACGCCCAGUCAACUCCUGCAAGUGCAACGGACCAUCUUGCAUGCCACAUGCACUUGAGGUAGACGAUGCAUACGCAGCUAACACACCAAUGGUUGCACCCAUGUACCACCAUGUAGACCCCUCAUCGUUCAACCUUGCUGGUGAGGUGCUGGUGUUGCUCGAAUUUUCGGAGCUUGACUUUCCUUUCAUUUUCAGACCAUAACAGUGAUCAGUGGUCCCAGCUUCUGUAAUCAGCGAUCUGGAACAAAUCUGAUUCUUUGUUAAGCCUAGAUAUGCUAGUUUCAAGACGACAUAUAAAAAGCAUGCCAUGUUUUCUUAUCUAAGAAUCUCUAAAACAAAAUAAUAGCAUAUUCAGUACCCAUCUUUUAACAUGUUGUGCCCCUUUUCUUUUCUUUCAAAAAUCCUAAGUACUUAAAUAUGGAAAUAUGAUUUCAUUGCAUACCUUUACGAUCCAUUUGACCUUCACUUGUUGAUAGCCACCUCAUUCAUCGUGAAGACCUUCAGGCUGUAAGGUUGUAAACAAGAAUUUCCAAAAUGUUAAAAACAACAGUAGCAGCAUCAUACUCAAGUGGAACGACACAAAUUUAUAUGGAUUAGUAGCAUGAAUAAUCAAGGUCUAACACAACAUAAUUCACAUUACAAACAUGAUGCCACACCAUGCCAUAGUCACAGUACAAAUACACACAUUCCUAGGUAGAUGCAAAUACAUUGUAAUCAUGGACCGGUAUUACUUCCUCUUGACAUUAUCCCAAGUCCAUCGGAGCCAUGCAAUCCGGUUCUCUGAAGCGGUAAUGCUCCUAUAAGAUGCACGUCGGGCUGGUGAUCUAAACAGCUCAGUAGCUAUGAAGUACAACUCAGACCCAUUCGGUACACCAUCUUGUUCGACAAGGUGCAGCAUUUCCGUAACCUCCUCUUCCUCACGGCUGAUUAGAUUUCUUUCAUUCAUAGUCCUUUGAAUCAUGCUCUCAGAUAUACGCUCGACAUAGUACUCCAUGCUCUUAGUUCUCUUGGGUGAUGGGCUAUCAACAACAUGCUCCUUUCCGGACCUUUGCGACACACGACCCACACUAGACCGUCCAACAGUGUCCUCCAACCAGUCAACAUUUUCAUCCACCAUUGGGUCAGGGGUGUCUUCACUUCCACAGCUUGGUGUUCUAUCUUCAAUUCCACCAACACACAACAUUGGACCGCCUUCAAUGUCCGUUGUCCCGAAAAGAGUGGUUAACUCAUCAUAGAAUGGAAAUGUCUUGCCACGGAAAUAUUUGUUUGCCUCGUUCUCCUAGAAGUCAUAAAUAGGAAAUAUGUAAGCAUGAGGGCAAUCCGAGGUCAAAGCCGAAGGUAAAUGAUAGAAAGCCAUAAUUAUUAGGACAAAAAGUAGGUAACUCAAUUCGGGCUGCCCACCAUUCAUCAUCGCAAUCAAUGGUGCGGGUACUGUUGUUCCACCCGGUACCACUCUUGUCCUUUAGUUUCCUCCAAUCCUUGUAUUGCCUCUUAAAGGCAUUAAAUUUGUUCUGAAGCUGUUUGCAGGAAUAUUUCCUGCCCAUCUAUUGUUUGAAAUUUGUAUACAGGUUGUGCCAACCUACCUUGGUUAGGCCCCUUUUGUUGUAGUUGAGCUUGUUCUUCUCAUCAAUGCAAAGGUCUAGGAAUAUUUUUGUAGUGUUAUCAUCCCAAUUGGCACGACCUGCAUCCAUCUGUGUGCUACUUUGAAUUAUAUGCCUUCCUAAGUACAAGGUGCUACUUUGAAUUAUAUGCCUUCCUAAGUACGAGGUUUGUAUGCCACACACGCAGUAGCAAUGACAACAUGCAAGAUACGAAUCAACAUUUAUCACAAAGGGAACAAAAAAGAUGGAACUGAUGCUUGCCUCAUUGUGCUUACGUCUUGCAGGAGUUGUACACAGCAGGAACCGAGGGGCUUCAUGUGGAGACCAUGACGAUGUAGAGGAGUUUGCCAGUGCUGCUGCCUGUGGAAGUUUCUUUUUUUGGCACACAAGGAAUGCUCUCCUUAGCUAGAGUCGUAUUUACUACUGUAAAAAGAAUAUAUAAAGUGAGAAAAAUUUAAAAGUCAGCCUAAACAUUGUCAUAUUUUAAUGCAGGAAGUAAAUAGUAAUGAGCAAAAAAAAAGAAGAAUAAUAUUUACUGUCAAAAGGGAGGAGAGAAUUUACAGUCACCUAAUUUUUGCAGGCACUUCCCAAUUCCCACCCACUGAAUGUUACUGAGUGGAUUUAGUGGUUUCUAUCACUAAAACUAGCCACUAACAAGAUGAAAGCAGCAGCAGUGCAGAUGCAAAAUAGCAAUGCCCGUGGUGGUGAUGGCCGCAUUUGUGGCACUCCAGAGUAGCAGCAGUGCAGGUGCACCGUCCAGUUCAGUCAGAUAGAUGAGCGUCAGUUGAUUUCCGAGGGCAAGGCAGAUCAAGCUGGCAAUGCAACAUGCAGGCAGAGGUAGCCAACAAUGCAGCCCUUUCAAUUAGAGGUACUGGUCAGUGCAGCUGACAAAAGCACACCAGUAGUAUGCAAGUUCAGAGGUGGUCACUUGAGUUUCAGAUUUGGAACACUUUUGCCUCUUUCUAAAAAUGAGCAGUAAGUAAAAUUGGUGCAAUGGAUUGUUUGCCUGGCGUCUUACUGCCUAUUCUAGCAUAAUUGACCUGAACGCCCCUAAGGUUGAGCAUAGCUCAUGUUUGUUCUGAAUACAGGGAGUCAAUAAGUCUUAUAUAUUUUGUGUUUGCUAAAUAAAAAUUAUAUUACAAUACUACCAAAUGCAUAUAAAUAGAAAGAUAAUAAAUUAACCAAAUGAUAGAUCGGUCUAGUCCGAAACAUCUGUUGGAAACACGCCGGAGUAACUCCGAAACGUCUGUUGGAAACAUGCCGGAGUAACGACUCCCAGGUCGCCGGCGAGUCUCCUGGCCAAAGCACAGGGACACACACGCACACACAGGUAGACACUGAAUUGGUGCUUGCUAACUUGGCCCUCUUCCUUGGCCUUUAUGCCUUGUAUUUAUAGACUAUUACAAGGAAAGUAAUCAGGGCUUCAAUCAGCCCGAUGCACACAGCCACACAAUUGCUAACUGUCUAUUUGCCAGGGCUGUCAUGGAACAUUACAUUUCUGUAGAUGAUCAACAACCAUUACCAUGAGUUACCAUUACAACAAUAUGCUCCUGUCGUCCAACAUACACAAGAUGCACUUACAGUACAGAGCAGAAUAAUGGGAAGCCUUCACACUUCACACUAGUGUAGCUAACAAAAUUGAAGGCACAUGAGAUCUUACUGCCUACUCUACCAAAAUUGACUCAAUUACGCACGAUAUAAGAGGUUACUGCCUAAUGUAAGGCAAAAGAGAUCUUACCCCCAGGUUCUCUGUUGAGAUGCACAAAAUCUAGCAGCAUACAAAUGUAGAUCGAGAAUGGAGAGGAUUGGCGGAGCUGGGUGGACCGGCGAUGGUGGGACGGAGCGGCGGGGCGGAGGUCGGCGGGGGCGUGGCUGGCCGGCGCCGGGUGAGGGGCGGAGCUGGAUCGGGCGCGGACGGUGGGGCGGAGAGGAGGGGCAGAGAGGAGGGGCCGCGACGGCGGGGCGGAGGCCGGCGGGGGCGGGGCUGGCCGGCGGCAGGGGAGGGGCGGAUGUAGGUGGGGCGUCGACGGCGGGGCGAAGAGGGGCGGCGACGAUGGGGCGGAGUCUGGCGGGGGUGGAGCUNNNNNNNNNNNNNNNNNNNNNNNNNNNNNNNNNNNNNNNNNNNNNNNNNNNNNNNNNNNNNNNNNNNNNNNNNNNNNNNNNNNNNNNNNNNNNNNNNNNNCGGCAGGAGGCCCGAAAUUCAAUCUUCCCAUCGGAAUCUGGGAAAUGUAAGGCCGCGGAAAUGGGCCAGAGUCUGGCGGGGGUGGAUCUGUUUUGCGGCGGGGGAGGAUUGGAGCUGGGUGGGGCUUCGAUGGUGGGGCCGUGCCGGCGGGGGCGGGGGCGGCCGGAGGCGGACUGGGCGGCGGGCGCUGUUCGGGAGAUGCAGGACCUGGACAGGGAUUAAGUGCAGCUGUUCGGCUGCCUUGCUGGGCUGUUGCUGUUGGGCCGCAGCCGAACGGCUAGGCUGCACAGCAACAGCUGCAGCCGCCCAAGUAGCUUAAGCGAACGGGCCCAAAAAAAGACACGGGAGACAAUAUUCACUAGUAGAGAAUUCACCUUCUAUACGUCCCAUUUUGUCCCGGUUUAAAGUUGGCCCGGGACAAAAGGUUCACCAACCGGGACUAAAGCUCGAUCACUGGUGGGGGGCUCACCAACCAGGACCUUUUAUCCCAGUUGGAAAGGCUAGUGGAAAAAAAAACCCUGAGAGGCCUUUUAUCCCGGUUUGAAACAUCAACCGGGAUAAAAGGGUCCCCACGAGUUAAUACAAAAAGAUUGCAUCCCCUAUAUAGUCAGAUGUGCUGUGUAGGUGGGAUGGCAAGGAAGCUACGCGCGAGGGUGGAGGUUGCGGGUUCGAAUCCCACGCAGUGCGCACGCGCAUAUUUUGCGUGAAAAAUCGCGUGACUUGUGACUUGCGACGUGUGGGGGGCCCUCCCGGGAUUUCUUUUUUCUUUUUUGCAGCGGGGAUAAAAGGGGACCCGGGACAAAAGACCCCCCCCCUGUCUCGGUUGGUUUAUCUCCGGAUGGAUUUUCGGAAGAUUUGCAUCCUAGCAACCGGGACUAAAGGCCAAUUCUCUACCGGUGAUUAUUGUUACCUUGGAGAGAAUUAAAUGAAAGUUCCAGCAAUGUUAACCUAGUCAGAUUAGCUAUUGAACUUGGUAUGCUUCCAUAAAAAUUGCAACCUUGAAGAACUAACCAUUCCAACUCACUAAGCUGGCCGAUUGCAUAAGGUAUCAACGACCCAAAAUUCUGAUGGCCUAUUGGGCAAGGUGUCGGAGACAGAGAAUUAUAACCAAGAAUACGCAUGGAUUUCAAAUUAGUGAGGUUACCAAUUGCAUCCGGUAUUGGUCCUGAGAACCCACAAUUAUUUAUAUACAUGUUUCUCAAAUUUGUGAGUCCGCCAAUUGCAGCCGGCAUAGGCCCUGAAAACCAACAAUCAAUUAUCCACAUGAUUUUCAAUUUUUUUAGUUUGCUGAUUGCGGUCGGCAUUGGCCCUGAAAACCCAGAAUCAAUUAUACCCAUUUUCCUCAAAUUUGUGAGGUUGCCGAUAGAAGAUGGCAUGGAACCAUAUGUUGUGCAGCGAUCCAUUUCCAGUGUUUGCAAGUCCACGAGAUUCCCAAUUGCACAAAAUACUUCCCUAGGGAGGUUACAAUCAACCAUUUCCAAGCUUCUCAAGUUCUUGAAGUUGCUAACCAAGGUAGGCGUUAUCUCAGAGAAGUUACAUCCAUAGAGUGCCAAAUUCAAACUCAUUAGGUUCUUUUGCUGUCCAAUCCAUGAGAUAAUUGAUCCUAACUCAUUGAGUCCAGCGUGAGGUCCAACUGGCACAGGGACCUAAGUCUACCAAAUGAAGAGAGAAAAUCCACCGAUAAAUUCCCUCCGAGACUCAAAUGCUUCAAGGACUUGAAAUUAUUAGAAGGCAUUGAUCUGGCAUAAGAAAAGUUGGUCCAGUCUAGCCUCAAAGUCUCUAAAGAAUUUGGAUAAGAAAAGUUUGGCAAAUGCCCUCCGGAUUAUUGGACAAAUCGACAACUCUUAAUUUUUUUUUAUUGGAAGGGUUUGAUGGGGAACCGCCCCUCAAGAUAAAUACUAGAAAGUUGAAGCACAGUUAAAUUGAUAAAAUCCAUGAAGAUUUCUGGAAAUGGACCGGCAGUUAUAUCACCAUUUCUUUGGAGGUUGAUCACAACGAGAGAACGGAACCGCGAGAGAGACUCAUGAAUAGGACCACUCAGGCUGCAAGUGGCCAAGCUGAGUAUCUGAUGUCGAGGAACAUGUGUAGCAAGAGAUGUGCACCACUCUUCUCCACUGGUAGACAAAUCCACACUGUCAAGAUAGAGCUCUCUUAGAUUACUGAGGUUUGCCACUAGGGCAUCAAAAUCGGGUCCCCACAGAGAGUUAGAAGUGACAAUAUAGUAGGAGCUGUCGGAUGUGUCAUAAGCAUCAUCAUCAUCAUCUUCAAAGGACUGGAAAGAUCCAACGACACAAGGUUCACGAGUUUACCGAUGCCAAUAGGUAUCUUGCCACACAAGCCCAAAUUGGAGAGGUUAAGGUGAGUUUGUUGGAAAAAUAACGUGGUGGUCAAAAGACCGAGAGGAAAAUGGGAAGGAUAAGAUUGACGCCCGACUCCGACUCCCUCGCGCACGUCCACCCCGCGCCUCGAUCGGAGGUGCAACCGAACAAUUGGUUGCGGCCCCGAGCGACCCGGCCCCGAGCGACCCAACUCUAUAAGAGAAGGGGGCCGGUGGGUUUGGAACAUGCCAACGCACCAAACCCUACUCACACCCCCUACAUGCCUCCCGAUCACAGUGGCGUUGGAGUUGCUCGAAGGCCGUCGCCACACCACCAUUGCCGUCUGUGGACAGAAGAGGUGGAGACCUGAAGGGAGACGCAAUCUACUCCGAGCUAGUACACCUAUGGCACCCGUCAUCCCGGCCUCGUCCACGACCCUAAUGGCCGGAUCGUCACAAGCAGUGGCAGCUGGUUGUACUCUAACAUCUUCAUUGAGUGGUGUUCAUGUUCUAGAUGUGCAAAGAUCCUGUUUUAGUUAAGAUUAAGUAAUGUAGAUUCUUACAUUUGGUAUCAGUUAGUCAAUCCCAUCUAGACUUGGAUCCUAAGGCUGUGUAGAUUGAAUCUUAGUGUGCAAUUGAGUUGAAUUGUACUGGUUUUCUAUGUUCUUGAUCUACACAGUAGCUUUCUAGUACGAAUUGCUAUGCUAUUAGGCUUAAUCUUCUUCAGCUACAUGUCAAUGUUCAAGUUUUAGUUCACUGACUUGAUCUGUUAAGUCAGAUUAGACCAAAUUAGUUCUCAGUUAGCCUAAUUCCAUGCCUAAGCUACUAGAUCAGUUCUUAAUUAAGUCUAAAAUCAAGGUUAAUUAAGUCAAUUAAGUUAGUCUCUAUGUUUAAGUUCAGUUAUUUAGGUCGAGGUCUACUGUUUUCCCCAAACCCCACUGUCUAGCUCCAAUCUGUGCAAUUAAGUCCUCAAUCAGUAAAAUUGGACACGCAAAAGCAUGUAGAAGGAGAGGAAUUGGGCGAAUUUCAGGUCGAAUUAAGGAAAACCCAAAGAAAAUCCCCAUCAGAAAUCCUAACCCUAACUCAAGGAUAAGAACUUACCUCGAAUCACGACGGCCGCAUAGGGCAUGAUGGCCGCUGCGUGUGGAUGCCGGCGUGCACCUCCGCUGAGCCACACCGGCCAUAAGCACGCACAUGAACAAGUCAAGCCGCGGGCCCGGAUGCGCCUCGGUCUCCUUCCCGUGACCCAACCCGCGGCAUCAGAUCCUCCACGCACGAACCUGUCGACGCCGCGGCAAGCUUCAGGUUAGCUCGCCAUCACCGGUCUUGCGGCCGACCGCGCCUUCUGCUCAGUCACCCCCUACCAUGGAAAAGUGCUCCAGUGGAGCCCCCUGACGGCGCGCCGCGCGACUUGGUCGCAUGCACGCGCCGGUGGGAGGGCCCGCAGAGGCAUGGGCGCAGGGUGGCGGCGCAGCUCAUCGGCGGCUGCUGCUCGGGGUUGGGGCAGAAGCAGGCAGAGAAGAGGGGAGGGUUGCAGUGGAGACAGGCAAAAAUGGCCUAGGGUUCGGGAGAGGCGCAGCGCUCGCCGGUUUUGUCCCACCGAAACUCGCGCUCCGCCGUCGGAUGCAACGGAUGGCUUAGAAGAGCGCGGACAAGCGCAGCGCGCUGUUGGGCCAGAUUGGCGGCCCACCCAUUGGCUGCUGGGCUUAGAGUCUAGGCCGGCGCGAGGAACCCGGCAUGGGCUGUUAGCUGGGCUUACUCGGACCAUGAGAAGGCGCGGGCCCACUUAAACUCUGUGUGGCACGUGCUCUUUAGGGCCAUGAGGAAGGAACGCCGUGCGCCAUCGUUCUUGCACGAUUGGGCUGCCUGCGAGCAGGGCUUGCGAAGGUCGUUAGCUAGGCGCGGACUGGUUGUUUUGCGCUGGGCCGAUUUCGGCCACUAGCGGGCUGCUGCUUUUUUGGCUCGCACGGGCCGUCAGAUCGCUGGCAGGCCAGCGGGCCAUUUUGCGCUUGCAUCAGUUGGGCCGUCAGUUGAUAAGUGCGCACUUGGGCUAUUUCGGGCCAAUAAGGGGAGGUAGCUACGGGCCAAAAGUUGAGUUUGCGCUGGUUUUAAGAUUGAGCACGGUCCACUGUUUCUCCCAUUUGUUAUGCUAAUAAGUGUCUAAGUUGCACAUAGUUAAAUAAAAUAAUAUUCUGAUUAAAUUGAACCAACACGAAAUUUAUUUCACAAUUAUUUAUUAAGGCAUGCAAUUAAUUUCUGACCAAUGUUGAUAUUAAUUUGAUAUGCAUAAGUGUUUUAUUUAAGUUUUAAGUUAUUUUGCUUCCGCCCAACAGUGAUGCGAAAUUAAUUCAUGUUAUUUUAUUUAAGUUUUAAGUAUUUUGCUUCUUCCCAACGGUGAUGCAAAAUUAUUUCAUAUCAUUUUAAUUAUGUCUUUGCUUCUACCGAAUGGUGAUGCAAAGUUGUUUAUGUUUUUAAUCGAGCCAACGCAGAUUAAAUUUAUUACUUAUUAUUGUUAUCAUUACUAAUUGAAAUUCUCUCAUUUACUCAGACUUGACUCCAUCAAGCAUCAUAAGCUAUGUCAACAGUACAGAGAAGCUUGGAGGAGACAACUUCACUAAUUGGAAGAACCAGAUUGGAUUGGUCCUAUGCAUUAUGGAUCGGGACCACUUCAUGAGGGAGAAUCAUCCUGUUGCUCCGACUGCUCAAGGGGAUAAUGAUAGUACCCUUCCUGAGCGCACUGCUGCCUAUGAGAAGGAAAAAGAGCGGUAGGAGCGAUCAAACAGGGUGGCCCUAAUGAUCAUGGAGCGGACCAUAAACCUUGCAAUAAGGGAAGCUAUUGAGAAAAAUCCCAAAAGUGUCAAACAUUUUAUGGAGAAGGUUGAGGAGUACUUCAAAAGCUUCAGUAAGGCUAAUGCUAGCACCCUCCUGACUAAGUUAAUGAACACUAAGUAUGAUGGGCAAGGCAAUGAAAGGGAGCACAUCAUGAGCCCCGUUGACCUAAGGGAUAUGCUCAACGACUUGAAUUGCCCUCUUAAUGAUGAGACACUGCUUCACCACAUCAUGCUUUCGCUGCCCUCAGUGUUUGAACCCUUUAAGAUAAACUAUAAUGGCAGCAACAUGAAGUGGGAUAUUCCCACACUCAUCAUGAAGUGUUCUCGGGAGGAAGAAAGGCUCAGAUCAGAGAAAGGCAAUUUUGCCAACCUCAUCAGGCAUGAGGUAAAUAAGGGAAAAAAAUAAGCAAAUUGUCCCUUUUAAGAAAAUUAAGAAGCCUCAUCAACCUUCUCGUAAGAAUGAUGGGUCAUCCUCGUCUAAGGGUCCAAAAUGCCAUCAAUGCGUGGCCUAUGGGCACAUCAAGAAGCACUGUGAAAAGUUAAAGGAAUGGUGCAUAAAAAAUGGUAAUGAUGACUUUAUUUCUACAGUCGAUGAGUCCCUUUAUGUUGAUUUUUCAUUAAGUACAUGGUGGAUUGAUUCUAGGGCAACCAUUCAUAUUACUGAUUCCUCACGGGGAUUACAUGGCGCACAGACUAUAAGAAAGGGGACUCGCGCCGUUAAAGUUGCCAAUGGAGUUGAAGCUGAAGUUGAGGCUGUUGGAGAUCUCACUUUAGAACUUAGUAGUAUCUUUAGGCUUCAUUUAAGUAAUGUUCUUUAUGUACCAUCACUUAAGAGAAACUUGAUUUCUAUUUCAUCAUUAGAUUGUGAAGGUUAUUCCUGCAACUUUGGGAACAACAAGUAUGUAAUAAGUUUUGACAAUAAGAUUAUUGGUCAUGCCCCUUUACAUGAUAAGCUUUACUUGUUGCCUCUAAGUAUUAAUUCCUCUGUGACGAAUGUAAGCGAUGCCAACCAUAAGCGAAAGAGAAACAUUGAGACUUCGUCAAAAUUGUGGCACUUCCGCUUAGGCCACAUCACAUUUCGAAGGGGAGAAUGGAGCGUCUCAUUAGAGAAGAGAUACUUCCAAAAUUAGAUUUCUCUGACUUAGAUCAAUGCGUUGACUGUAUUAAGGGAAAAUUUGCAAAACAAAUUAAAAAGGAUGGAGCUAAGCAGAGUUCAGGAUUAUUAGAAAUAAUUCAUACUGAUAUAUGUGGUCCAUUUAAUGUAAGAUCAGUGGAUGGUUAUAAUUAUUUAAUUACCUUCACUGAUAAUUUCUCCCGCUAUGAAUACAUCUAUCCCAUACUCGAAAAGUCUGAAGCACUUGAUAAGUUUAAAAUCUUUAAAGCUGAAGUAGAAAAUCAGCAUGACUAAAAGAUCAAAGUGGUAAGAUCAGAUAGGGAAGGGGAGUAUUAUGGGAAACACUCCACAUAUGGACAAAUUUUGGGACCCUUUGUCAGAUUUCUCCGAGGUAAUGGUAUAGCAGCUCAGUAUUCCAUUCCUGGUGAGCCUCAGCAAAAUGGUGUUGCUGAGAGAAGAAAUCGCACCGUUAUGAACAUGGUGCAUAUUAUGCUAUGUAACUCUACGCUGCCAGUGAGUUUGUGCAUGCAAGCUUUAAAGACUGCCGCACACAUUAAUAAUUGUGUUCCUAGUAAGUCAGUCCCUAAGACUCCUUAUGAGCUUUGGACUAGUAGGAAGCCUAUAUGAAUUAUUUACAUGUAUGGGGCUGCGCAGCUGAAGUAAAGAUUUUUAAUCCACAACUUGGGAAAUUAGAUCCAAGACUGAAAGCUGUUAUUUUAUUAGAUAUCCAGAAAAGUCAAAGGGGUACCUCUUUUAUUGUCCUAAGCAUACCACUAAGUUUGUGGAGACAAGGCAUGUUGUUUUCUUAGAGGAAACUGGAUGCACUGAGGCUAGGAAAAUUGAUCUUGAGGAGAUUCGAACUUAUGAGCCGUUACCCAUAAGAUAGGAUUAUCAUACUCCUAUGCCAUAUACCACAGUUACAUCUCAGGUGGUGGAACUUCUAGUAGAAAAUGUGGGAGUAACAUCUACCUUAAGUGAUAAUGUAGAUGCACCUUUGAUAAGUGAGCAUCAAGGUGAGGAUGUGGUAGAACCUGCUGGUGGAUUGCAAGGGGAGGCAACUGAUGAGCCCGAGGUGAUUCAGCAGGAACCUGCUCAAGUAGAAGCACCACAGGAAGUAACACCACAACAUCUGAGAAGGUCAACAUGUGAGAGGAAGUACACCCGUUUCGAUGAGUAUGUGUACAUAAGUGAAGAAGGGCACAACAUGGGGAAGGUGGAUGGUCCAAACUCAUUUAAGGAGGCUAUAAUUAGUGAACACUUGCAUAAGUGGAGCGAGGACAUGGAAGAAGAGUUGAAGUCCAUGGAAGCAAAUAGAGUAUGGGACUUAGUAGAAAUUCCUGAAGGAGCCAAAACAAUAGGCUGUAAAUGGGUCUACAAAAUGAAAUAUGACUCUAAAGGGAAGAUCAAAAGGUUCAAAGCAAGACUCGUGGCUAAGGGCUUCACUCAAGUAGAAGGAGUCGAUUAUAAUAAAACCUUAUCGGCUAUCUCAAAGAAAGAUUCAUUUAGAAUCGUUAUGUCUUUAGUAGCUCAUUAUGAUCUUGAGCUACAUCAAAUCGAUGUUAAGAGUGCGUUCCCUAAUGGUGACUUGCAUGAGAAUGUAUACAUGAAGCAACCUGAAGGUUUUGUCGUGGAAGGCAAGGAAUAUUUGGGAUGCAAACUAUGAAAAUCCAUUUAUGGAUUGAAACAAGCAUGCAAAAAAUGGUACCUUAAGUUUGAUGAAGUAAUUAAGAGAAUUGGCUUCAUUGAAAAUAAGAAAGACAACUGCAUAUAUGUUAAGACUAAGGGGAGCUCUAUAAUCAUCCUAGUGCUUUAUGUGGAUGACAUCCUAUUAGCAAGCAGCGAUAAGAACUUGCUGCAUGAGACAAAGGGCUUUCUCUCAUUGAACUUUGAUAUGAAGCACCUUGGUGAUGCCGCUUAUGUCUUAGGCAUUGAGAUUCACUGAGAUAGGUCCAAGGGUGUAUUAGGACUCUCUCAAAGAGCUUACAUAGAGAAGGUCCUUGAAAGAUAUAAUAUGCACCAAUGUUUAGGCACAACUGCUCCAAUUGUCAAGGGCGAUAAGUUUGGGUCAUUCCGAAGUCCUAGGAAUCAAUUAGAAAUUGAUCAAACAAGAACGAUUCCUUAUGGUUCAGAUGUCGGAAAUAUAAUGUAUGCACAAGUGUGUACACGCCCUAACUUGGCCUUUAUAAGCAGGAUGCUUUGAAGCUAUCAGUCUAAUCCAGGAAUAGGCCAUUGGGAAGGAGUUAAGAAAGCUUUGCGUUACAUGCAAGCACUAAGAAUUACAUGCUAACGUAUAGGAGAACUGAGAAAUUAGAGAUAAUCAGCUAUUUCAGAUACUGAUUUUGAGGGUUGUGUUGGCACAAAGAGAUCCACAUCAGGUUAUGUCUUCACACUUGCAAAUGGCGUUAUAUCGUGGAAAAGCUCCAAACAAACAUUAACAGCUGCAUCGAUGAUGCAAGCUGAGUUUGUGGCAUGUUAUGAAGCUAUGGGACAAGCUGUAUGGCUUAAGAGUUUCAUCCUAGAAUUAAGAGUGGUAGACAGCAUAAGUAGGCCACUAAAAUUAUACUGCAAUAAUAAGUCAGUAGUUUUCUAUUCGAAUAACAACAAGUCAAGUGAUGCUGCAAAGCACAUUGAGAUUAAGUAUCUUGAUGUGAAAGAUAGAAUCCAAGAUCACACCAUUGAGUUAGAGCAUAUAAGUACUAAGAAGAUGCUUGUGGAUCCAUUAACAAAAGGCUUAUCUCCCAUUAUAUUCAGUGAACAUGUUGCCAGCAUGGGAUUAUCGGAUAGCUUGUGAUCUUGGAGGGUCAUAAGACAACUGCCUCCCAUCAUGAUAGGUAGUUUUAUACAUUGUGGACAACUGUGUCAUAGUGGGAUUUUAAUCAUCAUUGUCACACAUUAUCUCCCUGCAUAAUGCUGCUUUAAGAAUGGCAUAAAUUAUAGGCCUUUAGACCAAAGGGGAGAACGUUGGAAAAAUAACGUGGUGGUCAAAAGGCUGAGACGAAAACGGGAAGGAUAAGAUUGACGCCUCCCGAUCACGGUGGCAUUGGAGUUGGCCAAAGGCCGUCGCCGCACCACCAUCACUAUCCAUGGACAGACGAGGUGGAGACCUAAAGGGAGAUGCGAUCUACUCCGAGCUAGUACACCUACAACAUCUGUCAUCCCGGCCUCGUCCACAACCCUAAUGGCCGGAUCUUCACAAGCCGUGGCAGCUGGUUGUACUCUAACAUCUUCAUUGAGUGGUGUUCACAUUCUAGAUGUGCAAAGAUCCUGUUUUAGUUAAGAUUAAGUAAUGUAGAUUCCUACAGAGUUAACGAAGCCAACCUCUCGAUUCCAGUAGUAGGGAUGUUUUCUUAUGGCAUAUCUUGUGCCCCACUAACAUCACUCAUGCUAAGGUCAAGGCUAUUAGGCAAUGUAUAGCCGUAUAUAGCUGAUUUAUAGCUUUCCAUGUAUACUGAUUGUAUUCCUUGUAUACCAAACCAUAUUGGCUAUAUAAUAGAGGUCACCCCCCUCAUUAGGGUUCGUGGUGUUUUCCCAAACUCUAUCUAUCUACAUGGUAUCACAAGACCAGGAUCAAUCUGACAGGGACUUUCCUUCCGCUCCACCUCUCCCUGACGCGCCUAACCCUAGGUGCAGCUCCUGUGCGGUGGCGCUUCUCCCCUAGGCUGGCGCCCCUCCCCACCUCCCUUCCUCCCAUGGCCAAUGAUUCCUCUAUCGAGUCCUCCCUGUCCGGUGGUGGCCUUCUGUCCACUGGUGGCCCCAGGCCGGUGCCUGGCGAUGGCUCCCUGCCCAUCUCCGGUGACACCCCCCCCACUGGACUUGAACCACUGGGCGGCUAUGGCACCCUCCUUGGCACCGACGAUGGCCCUGCGUUGCCCCUUGGUGGCGGUCUUCUCCUCCACCAGGCGCCGUCGGCCAUCAUCCACCUGUGGCGGAACCGCCCAGAUUUACUUAGCUAAAGCACCAUUAAGUCACCUGACAUGCGAUCUUAUGCUUUAACCAAGAUAACUCGGCAGUCCGUUUAAUUUCGUCCGAUAAACCACUACACAGGACCGAGAAGCAGAGCUCACACGAAGGUGAGUGGUUCCAGAGAUUUCAAUAGAUCACCCAACUUAAACAAGUACCUUAAUUUUACAAACUCGGGUUCGAAAUUCCACAAAGUUUUACGGAGUUCUCAAGCAGCGGGAAAAUAUAAACCAACGGAAGCUAGCGUCAGGGGUCGGAUGUCACGAUGAGGCCGACCAUGACAUCAAUGGUCCCUAUCCUCACCGUCCGAGAAGGGAUCCCACUCGAUCGUCCACUCAGGAGGAAGCUGGGGAGGCCAAGUGCCAACAGCAGCAAACUCAGGAGCUUCAACAUCACCUGAAAAGAUUGUCACAACAAGGCUGAGCGACUACGCUCAACAAGACUUAACCGACCGUUGGGAACUACUCCACCAACUUCUAGACAUGCACGGCUCUUUGGCUGAGGGGUUGGUUUUGCCAACGCGACUAUAGUAGGUCCUUACUUUCAAGAUUUUAGACACAGGUUCUACUGUUGUUUAUCAUUCUAAGUUAGUAGCUAUACUAAUCAGGCAAAAGUUUCCAAGCAAUUUAUGACAAGCAUACAGGUUAACAUCACCAUCAAGUUCCAUUCUUACUUAGUGUAGCAUAGUGAUCAAGCAGUCCCAAACUGUGAGAGGCAGACGAAUUGAUUCGAAUAUCUUAACCAUGCAUGGUGAACCUAAUCUCACGAUAUCCGCACACCACAAAGGGUCGCUUCCUCUGUCGGUCGCACCCAUCAAUCCCUUGACCCGUGUCGAGCCCACUUCUCUUGGUACAAGGCUCCACAGACCCGGCCUCUGCCGUUCUGUGACCGCACUUGUCACCACAUGCGGCCGGAAGGGAAACUCUAUUCCAGAGACAGUGGAUCGAACCGCUCAUGUCCUGGUUCAAUCAGGUACUAGGCUUCCCCAUCCCAUACUAGAUAUGAGAUUAGUACUUUCAAACACUUGAUCGCGAACACCAUCACCUUUCGACCUUAAACCAAUUUCAUGUAGACAGACGGGGCAAUCCACCAACCACCAAAAUAGUUCACAGAGCCCUGCCCCCUCCAUCGUCCUUAUAGUUGUAACAAAAAGGAGAGCAAGCAACUCCUAUAACUCGCGAGUGACAGGGAAUCACUCGACUUUUACCGAGUCAUGUUAAGCAUUGCAACUACUCGGCCUAUCAUACUAGUGUUCAUAUCAAAGGGAACUAAGUCAUGCAUCUAUGGUUUCAAACAACUCCUGAAACGUAAAUGCACUUACAUACAACAGAAGGCAUGCGCAAGUUUAGAAAGACUGGGUGAUGCUCGGGGGCUUGCCUUCAAGUGGGGCGGAAGCAAACUAAUCUUCAACACUCUCGGGCUCAGCUCCUGCAGGCAGCUUAGCUACAACUUCAUCUUCGGGCACCGGGUGCAGCUCGUACGUGCCGUCGGCGAGGUUCAGCUCUACACGGAAUGCAAUGCAAGGGUGAGACACAGACGGUGAUUUCAACAACACUUGCAAAGAUUUAGCCCAAAAACUGUAGCAAAACUACAGGAAAAGUGUGAAACCCACGUCAUUGGAUUUUACUCAGAAAGAGGAUUCCAACCCAAGUGAUCUCACAUUUUUCUGAUUGUUCCCCGAUUUAAGAUGGAAUUUCCAAGCCUCUGCCGAUUUAGAACAAGAUAAAAGAGUCGGGUCAGGAAAAACUUGCAAUCUGACCCUUAGACCUAAGGAAUAACUGUACCGGGAUCCUUAGAUUUAACACAGAGAAGUCCUCAAAAUUUUACACAGAUGCCCUUGGUCAAAAGAAAAAGACAUAGCCGAGCCCUCGGGCGAGGCAGACAGGGGUCGGGCGAGACGGACAGGGGUUGGCAGCUCACCUUUGGUCCUACUGAUGAAGUCUUAGGGUUGGCAAGAAGCAAGCUCAGGCGGAACGACAAAAGGCGUUAAGUUUCGGGCGGCGGCGACGUCUGGCGGUGCUCCGGCAGUGGUGGUGCUUCUUGCGGACAACAAGCAAGUUUUAGCGCUGCACGAAGGAAAGCGAAGCGGUUGGCGGGGUCGGCAAGGCAGGGUGUUGGACGGAAGGGGGAGCUCCACAGAGAGCUCAGGCGGCGGUGCGUGAGCACGAAACAGAGGAGUGUGUGGUGGAGAGUGCGCUAGAGGAGAAACCAAGCAAGCAGUGCGGCAAGGGCAAUGGUGGCGAAGAGAACUCCCGUAAGAGGCUCUGGUACCCAUUUUAUAGCUGUGCGGAAGUGAACGAGAUCGAGCAGUGUGAGGAUAAGAUCGAGGGAGAAGAGGAGUGCUCUACCGUGGCGGCGAUUGGUCGGUGUCUCCAUUGGCCGGAGAAGCGGAGCUCCAGGGAUAGGAUCCUAUGGCAUUGGGCAAGGAAGACAGUGCUAGGCAAGCGCGGUUUUGCUGAGCAGAAGGAUUGGUGAGGUCGAGCGCGUGCUUGGUCGCGUGAAGCGCCGGAUUGGGUGCGGCGACUCGGUAUUGGCGGACAGGAGAGAGCGAGGUGCACUUCAGGCAAGGGCGCCGUAGGCGAGGUGACAGGGCGAGCGAUGCGAUGCGAGCAUGCGUGGAUUAGCGACUCUGCCGGGGCACACUACUGGCGAGGCGGGGGAAAGGAGUUGUCACUGCCUGCGCGGCGAUUGGCGAAGACGGCAGCGUCGCGGGGCGCACGUGGGCAGCGCGAUUGAGGUUGACGGGAGGGCCGGAAGGUGUUGGGGCGCGCGGCUGGGGGUCCAGGUGAGGCGAUGCGCACGGGAGGCGAGGCGGUACUGGCGCGGCAGCGGCCAAUCUUUGGUCACAGCGGCGGGUAGUGUGCCUGGCGCGACUGGCGAGGUCUCAGGCGAGACGAGACGGGGCGGAGAGGUCUGCAGGGUGCUUCUGCGCGCGAUUGGGAAGGAGGUGCUGAUCCAUCUUGUCGCGGCCGGCGACUGGGUGAGGCGGCGCUUGCCGGUGAGGUCACGCCAUGCGGCGGCAGUGCUCCGAAACAGGGCGCACGCGCGCUCUGGCGCUCUUUGUCCGAUGGAUCCGCGGGAUUCCUUGCCGGGCCCAUCUUCCAGCCUCUUGAUCUUCCGAUUUCCAAACUGCACCACAUUGACUCCCUUCACAAGGGUUGUAGAACACAGGCUAAGGUCCAACUUUUGUAAUUGGACUGAGUUAAAAAACGCGGUGGAUUUGGAGAUCCAAAGCUCCAAAGUUUGGAGGAACAUUGGUUUCAGGACUUAGAGAAAAGCGGCGGUUUGGCUGGUUUUCAAGGGUCAGGACUGAUUUGAGCUGCAGAUUUGGGAAUCUUCUGAGGCGAAUUGGACCAAUGUCCAAUUAACAAAGUUGUGGUAGGAACUUUGUUCUCCAACUUCUAUAAAGGGUUUUCUUGAUGUUCAGUUCAACUUUCCAAAGAUAAACCUUCCUUAAGGCGCUAGGUCAGGCUGAUUUUCCAGACUUAGCCAGAAUGGCUGAAGGAAGUCUGAGUUGACCAGACUAGGGGGCUUGUCUUAAGAUUAAACUCGGCUGAUUUAAAUCUAGGUCGUUACACCACCCCUACGCCACGAUCUCCGUCAAGGCUCACAUCCCCAUGAUGUUGACGAUGAAGACCUCCAGCUACUCCAAGUGGGUUUCCUUCUUCAAAUCCAUGUGUGGCAAGUUCGGCCUCAAGUCGCACAUCGACAGCACCGUGACGCCCCGUCCUGAUGACCCCGAUUGGGAUCAAGCGGAUUGCUGCGUCCUCUUCUGGAUCUUUGGCUCUAUCGUGGACCUCGCCAUGGAGGAUGAUGAGCAGACCGCCAGGGCCCUCUGGCUCACCAUUUAAGGCCUCUUCCAUGCCAACAAGCAAUCCCGGGCGAUCUUCCUCAGCUACGACUUCCACUCCAUGACCCAGGAGGACUCCUCCAUCUCGUAGUACUGCCAGCGCAUGAAGAACCUCGCUGACACCCUCCGUGACAUUGGGCAUCCCAUUCAAAACUCCCAGUUGGUCCUGAAUCUUCUCCACGGCCUCAACCCGCACUACUCCAACACCACCGACGACAUCGGCAACUCCCCCGCCGGCUUCCAGUCCUUUGCCCAGGCUCGUGACAUGCUCACCUUGAAGGAGCUUCGCCUCGUCAACUUGCUGCUCUACGUCGAUGACAUCAUCCUCACCGCCUCAUGUUCGACGCUCCUCCACCACAUCAUGGCUAGUUUUCAGUCCGAGUUCGCCAUGACGGAUCUUGGUGAUCUUCAUCACUUUCUUGGCAUCUCCGUGACGCGCUCCCCUGAUGGCUUGUUCCUGUCCUAAUGACAGUACACCCUGGACCUCCUCCAGCAUGCCAGCAUGGCUGAGUGUCACUCUACGACGAGUCCUGCUGACACUCAUGCCAAGCUCUCGGCGACCGACGGCAACAAGCUCAAGGAUGGCUCUAAGAAACCGCUGGAAGUUAAAUUCAACAAAAGUUCAAUUCGAGAAAAGUUCAAUUCAAGAAAAGUUAAAUUGUAUCACCUCCCCAGGACUUUGUUCUUUUGUUUUUGGUUCCCAAAGCACAAUUUCAUUAUCAGCACUCUGCAAAUCCAAGCUAGCAUAGAUCAGAUUCCUCAUUAUACAGGAACCAAAACUGGCACUGGGAAAAAAAAGGUUGAAAGACUGAACCCAUGCACAGUACAAGAAUACAGGAUCCAGAUACAGUGGUAUUUUGAAGCAUCAAAAGAAUGACGACUGUACUACUACUAUAGCAGCAAUUUGUAUCCAUUUAAGGGAAGGAAUUUCACCUCUGACAGGAUGAAGUCACCAAGCCAUCUUGUACAAUCAACAUAGUUAGAGUGUACUGCAGCAAUCAACACCUGCAAGGAAAGAAACAGGUUGGUUUGAUGGCAUGAGGAUUAAACACCAACAGUAGUUUGCAAAGGAAUAGAUCUAAGAUGAUUAUAGAUGCUAAACAUACCGGAAACUGGACAUAUUUUGUUGGAAACUUUGAUGGAAGGUCAGUCCAGGAAUAUGAUUUGUCAACAUAUUGCCAAAAUUCUGUGACAACAUUGGGAAACUCUAUCAAUGAUAUGCAGCAUGCAAAUGUAAACAUGAUGCUACUUUGAAGUAGUUUUCCAACCUUUCAUUGACCAGAUUUUCACAGUGUUGUCCAUGCCACAACUUGCAAAACGCUCAAUAUCACUAGGGUGGAAGUCCUUCAGCCAAAAUAAUGUAUUUUGGUCAGUACAUUUAUGCCUAACGUAAUGGAAGUACAAAAGCCGUAGUAGUCACCAGGACUAUAUUUAUCCCUGAUGUAAUGCUCAAUAACAAAUAGUAACAUCAGAAGCUGAAAGAGUGGUAGCUUCAGGGCACUUUGAGCAAGUAAUAUUCUGAAACAAUACCAUAAGAGGAGGCAGGAGCUACUUACAACACUCAACACUUCAUUGCGAUGACCUCAAGCUCCAGCAAAUACCAAGAUGCAGAUCCCUGUAUGGACAUUCCAUAGCCUAACAGAUUCAUCCUAUUCAAUAAUGAAUAAUGCCAUAUGAAACAGUGUCAGAACAAUUAUAACAAAGUACAUUCAGCCUAAGAACAGGUUAUCUGCUAACCUUGCUUGCAGAAAUGAUGAGCGAAGGCUUCAACGCUUGAGUCCUUAUCUCAUUUAUUGAGUCACCAUGGCCAGCAAAGCUCUGUAGAAUUCCAUAAACAGAAAUAACAAAUAAACACGUGCACAGUCUAAUUCAUAGGAUAGGAUAGUAUUUAUUGGCAUGCCCUGUCUCGUGACUAUAUGUAUAACGCCAAAAUAGAUACACUAGGUUGAACGUGUCUUGACUAUAACGGACAUGCUGAAGUAUCCAAAAACCAGAAUCUUCUGUGAGCAAAAGUUACAGUUUGCUAGUGGUAUUAAUGCAUAGCAAACAGACAAUUCCUUAAUCAAACCAAAUUCAAAUGACCUUCUGGAUCGGAUAUCAUAGAUGGUAUCUGUCAGGUAAGCAACUGAUGUACAGAUUUGUGCAAAUGAAGCUUCAUUCAAGUUUGACGUAGUAACAAAGACAAGGCUAGGGGUACUAUACCUUAGCUAACUUCUCCGUAGCACAGUUGAUGACCCGAAUGAUCCCAUUGCCUCCUGCUGCUCAAUGACUCCAUUCUUGGUGACCAGUGUGGCAUCCAAUGUAUCAAUCAGCUCUUCCUUCUUCUUGAGCAAGGCGUUCUUCUCCUCUAUCACCCUGUCCCUAGCCUUCAGUGCCUCCUCCAUCCGAACAACUCUCACCUCCAGCGUGACAAUCCUCAGCGAGUCCCUCUUGUCGUAGGUGUCCGGUGCAGUGUCCACCUCGUGCUACAGGCGACGGUUCAUCCGGUCCAGGUCAGUCAAAUAGUGCUCAAGUCCCAUUAUCUUGCCCUCAAGUAUGGCGUUGGUACCGAUGCAGUUGUCCCAACCAUUGUGAAGUACCUCCACCUCUCUGUCAUUCCAGAACAGCGCCAAGUCCUGAGCGUGAAUACAGCGGGAGGCCACGCAAAACUUCUCGUUGGGCUCUGCAUAUGCGUCCUCGUAGUACUGAUGGACUAAACUCUCGAAAUCCCUCAGCCCACGGCAAGCCCUGGUUAGGCAACGGUAGGGAGUCUGAGCCAACCUGUCACGGAGCUGCGCAUGCACCUCACACACAGCCCUUCUGGCGGCAGUCCGGUGAGCCGUUGACACUGACAGCUCAAACCCAAGUAGAAGAAUAAGCAAAGUCUAGUCAGAAAUAGCGGUAGUCAACAGAACUGUCCAUAACCAGUGGACACGGAUUAUAGCUACAGCUUUAUACACUCUGCAGAGGAUGUACAACUAUACCCACACGGAUGGAGUCUAAACGGUGGCGAUCCGUCGAAACCCCACCUAACAGCCGGAGCCCUAGUAGGUGGAUAGCUCUGUCAUAUUUCCUCGAGUCUGGAAUCAUCCUUAGCUGCAGGGCACGCCGUCACCAGUGAGCACCUCGAAGCUAUGAAACCUACCCAUGCCGGGGUGUAGUCUGGUCAAAGCAAGCCAACGCCUUGAACUCAUUACAUGAUCCUCCAAUCUGCCUAGAGGCUGAGCACUAUCCACCACUAGUCUCGAACCGAACUCUGCCCAUAACGUAAGCGAGCGGUAUCUACGUAAAAUAGUUGCUGUGACUAGUGGUAAACUGACUCAGUGCUUAAGCGGCUGAGAGCGAGCACUCUACUCCACAAGUAUGUGCCGAAACACAUGCAACAUAUAAGUACGCUACCUGCUCCUCAGUAACAAACAAGGUACCCACCACAGGUACGGGGUAUAGAGAGAGUCCAGAAUGCUCUCUCCUAGCAAGGCACUCCUUAGUACCAACCAUGGCGCUCCCGCCAAAACAUAUCAAGGAGUCACACUCACCCAAAACUCAAGCGAGAGUGUUCAAUGAAUCCUAUCACCGAAACUGUGGCAUAUGCCCAUCCAUAACUCAAAAGCAUGUAUAUGGAUAUAUGAGCGGUGGACUAGCUAGGGGUCUGUAGCUAGUCCACAAAAGUAGGUAACAAGGAAAACAGAAUACAAAAUUAUCAAGGCAUGGCUAAAAAUAUUGGCUAUGCAAUCCAACAUCAUCAAGCAUCAUAAAUAAAGCACCAGCAACUAAGCAUGCAUAUGAUCUAUGUGAUUGGGAGUGGCAUGACACCUUGUCCGUAGUUGUUUGGAUCUUCCUCGGCAUAGUCGGAGUCUUGAGGGUCUUCUGGGUCGUAGCUCGAGUCUGAACAGACCAAGAUAUGACAUAAAGUAAAUUAAAUGGCAUUACAACUAGGAAGAAACUCCAAGAAAGCCAAAUUUAGUAGAUCCAAAUAACACCAAACUAGUUACAAACAACACGGGCUCCAUUUUACGAAUUUAAUGCAACUGGUUCCAUAUUUUUCGCAGUUAAAAUGAAUUAGUUAUGAAUUUUUUAAGAUUAAAGGAUUCAUUUAAUUAUUUAAAUAAUUUUAGAAAAUAUUUAUUAUUACAGUGACAUGUGCCAGCGCUUGGUUGUGCCAUGUGGGAGCAUAAGAGUGCGCCACGUGUCUCCUAACGCCAAGCUAACGUCAGCGUUGACCGGUCAACAGGGCCCCACCAGUGGGCCCGAGCCUCGGACAUGUCAACGCCUCGUGGCUCCACGUGGCAGCCACGUGGCACUGCCACAUGGCGCACACGUGGUCGUCCCCAGCUGGCCGGGAUCCGCGCGCCACCCGCGUGUGGCCAUGGGUGUGGUGCAGGCCUGAUUGGCUGCGACACAGCGGUGACUGUGCCCACGACGUCAUGGUGUGGCGCGACGUCACGGCGCGGCUGCUGCACGUGUGCGCGGGCAGGAGGUAGUCCCGGCCGCGGCACGACCGCGGCGGCGUGCGGGGUCCCGGGCCCGCGGUGGCUGGCAGCGAGGCGAGCGGCGGCACUACAACCGUGGCUCGAAGGCUGGGCAUACGACAAGCAAACAAGAGGAAAGAGAGGGGCAACGAGGUUCACUGCAGGGAGACGGUGAAAUUGGGCGGCGUCGGGCGGUGGUCGACAGCUCAGGCUCCUCCCUCAGACGGCCCCUCUUCUUCUUCUUCUCUUCUACUUCCCCUCCUUCUCUUUCCUCCUCAUCUCCUACUCCUCCCUCCUCCUCUACUCCUUCCCCCUUCUCUCACUCGGGUGGUCGAUGGCGCAAGGGCGAAGCCCCGAGUGGAUGGCGAAGAGAGGCCCCGAGCGGCUCUACUUAUAGCGGAGAGGCGGCUGUGUUCCAGAGGGAGGUUGCGGCAGCACUUUAGGGUUUGGGGGCGUGGCGUCGGUGAUGUGGAUGGCUAGGAUGUGGUGUUGCAUGGUGCGGGUGACGUGGCGGCCAUCCGAGGCUCCCAGCACAAAAGCAAGGGUGCGGGCGAGGUCAUGGGUGCGCACGCGAGGCGCGCGUGAGCGGUACGGCCGGAGGAAGAAGGAAGAGGAACAGGGGCACCUCACAGGUGGGUCCGGUGCAGCAGCAAGAGAGAAAGAGAGGGAGAGCGGGGCGCGGGUGGCGACUGCGGGCUGGGCCAGCUGGCCGGUUAUGAGGCCUGCUGGGCUGGUCACUGAGCUGCGCGGGCGAGGCAGCUGAGCGGCGCGGGCGAGGUGGCUGAGCAGGCCAGGCCGGCUGUCUGGCUAGGCCGGGGUGAAGGUAGGUGAGGGUGAGGCGCGAGCGGGCCAGGCCGGUGGGCUGCGGCUAGCCUGGUUGGUUAGGAGGGUUAGAUAGGUUUUGUUUUUAUUUAGAUUUAGAUUUAGUUGGAGUGUUGAAUCAAAUUCAAAAUUCAAACACACACUCAAACAUGAGAUCCAAAUAAAAUCUAAAAAGAUCCAAAUCAUUCCACACAAGUUUUGAAAUGGAAUUUUGGGACGAGAAGAGAAUUUGACUACCAUUUUCAAACAAGCACACAAUUCAAACAAAAGUUUUAAAUUUUUGGAAAUUUUACUUAAAUAAAUAUUACAAAAUUCUGGAAUAUUACAAACAUAACCACUUCACCUCGUACCCCGAGAAAAGCGAUACGAAGCUUAACACUCCUCGACAUCUGGGAAAUUUGGUCAGAACGAAACUCUAGAUUUUUCGGACUGUGUGAGUCAUCCUUGAUUUCCUUGGUGGCAAAAAUUAAAAAGGAAGCUUAAGUUUUGUAGGUCUUUUGGAUUAAACCAACUUGGUAAGCUAUCACCCCAAAAGCCAUGGACAUUCAAUUCUCUCAUGAGGGCACAAGCCAUCGAUCACUUCAUUCUCACGUGGUGUCGGCUCGAAAACUCUGGGAUUAGUUCGCCAGUUCAGCUCUAUUUCCUUGAGGUAUUUCUUGUCAACGAGUCUAGCCUCAGCAGCCUGUUCCUUGCUCCUCACAGUAUGAAUAGAAUUAAUGCAUAGCAUUCCGCUAAGCUGAUUCAUGCCCUUCAGCUCACCAAUUGCCCCCCUCCGUGCUUCGACUGUGAAAUAUCUCAAGUUCCUUUAAUAAGUCAAUAGAGGCUUUUACUGGAAGUGCUAGUUGACGCAAGUUGAUUAGCUUUGUUACAUCCUGACGAAUUGUUCUCAGACAUGAACCAAAUGCAACAACAACUUGUAGGCUGUUAAGGCACCAGAAUUUCGAUGGCACUUCAUUUAUAUUGCUGUAGGAUAUAUCAAGAUAUCGGAGGCUAUUCAACCCACAUAUGCUUUGGGGUAGACUUUUCAGCUUGCAACCUUUUAGGCUCAAAAACAGGAUGUUAGAAAGCUGACUGAACCAGGUGAUCUCAACAUCCAAUUCGGUACCAAACCUAAGUGAACGCAGUUUGUUCAAAUUUUGAAUGUUUGUCAUUGUGCCCAAGGACUUACGUACCAUCCACCUCGAUUGACAUGUGGCGAGGUUUAUUUGUCAUUCCGCUCAAAUCUUUCAUCGAGAAACAUUCAUGGAUAGAAACAUACUGCGCAGUAUCAUGGAUCAGGUCAUGCAUUACGUAUUUAUCUUGAUUAGGGAACUUUGGAUCAGUUUGGAAAAGACACCUGCCUCUCAAAUCAUCCAAAUACUUCAUCCCGACAUCUUCAAGACGCUUGCUCACUUGUGGUGAAACAAAGCCCUCUGCCACCCAAAUGUCAACGAUCUCAUGUCUUUUGAAGCUAUAAUCUUUCGGAAAUAUGGAGCAAAAUGCAAAGCAUCUCCUAAGUUCAGUUGGGAGGUACAAGUAGCUCAGUCGAAGUGCUGGUAAUAUGUCGCUAUGUUUUUGUUCUUGCUCCCAUAAUUCACUGUCCUUGAUAGUCCUCCAAUGUUGCUCAGUCAGAUUACUAUUCAACAAGCGUCCGAGAGUUUUGGCAGCCAAAGGAGUACCAUGCAACUUAGAGGAAAUGCUCUGACCAAUCUCUUGUAAGCGAGGAUAUGACUCUGGGCACUCUUUACCAAACGCACAUUUCUUGAAAAAUUCCCAAAAUACACCAGCGGGCAAUCCUUCGAGCUGGAGAGGCUUACAACUGCAUUUGGACCAUGCGGUGACAUUCUGAGCAAUGUUUUUGUGUCUUGUAGUCACUAAGAUCAUGCUACCUUCAAGUCCAUUCUUCAACGGUGCAUAAAAAGACUCCCAUUGUGGUAAUUUCCCAAAUAUCAUCCAGCACCAAAAGGAACUUUUGGAUCUUCAGCAUGUGCCACAGAUCUGCUUCAAGAACACCCAAACCACAAGACAAGUCGAAGUUUGGCUGGAUGAUGAUCUCCUUUUUCAUCCUUUCAAUGUCAAACAGGUCCGAAACACAGACCCGUAUCCUUACAGUAAAGUGGCCUUCACUCUUUCAUCACUGUCGAUGAGCUGAGCCAGGGUGGUCUUCCCCAUCCCGCCAAUGCCAAAAAUUGGCAAGACAGAAACAUUGCCACAGUUAGCAGUCUCAGCAAGCCCUGCACUGCUGUUACUGUCAAAGUUAAGUCGCUUGGCUUUGGAUGUAGAUGCGAUGGCGUCAUGACUUGCUGCUUCUGUGCCUUUUCCUUUAGACCCUGCAGAUGUACUGCCCAUAGUGAGUGGCAUGCCCAUUUGUGAGAUCACCUGAUUAAUUUCGGCAGCACGAUCAAUCGUCAGAGUCACACCCAGCAUCUCCAUCACUUGAUCCCUUUCCGUGUCACGCGGUGAUGAGUUCAUUCGUUGUUGGCAUGCAUGACCUGCACUGGCUGAACACGAUCAAGACCAAUCAAGCAUAGCACUUCUUUAACUUCAGCCAUAACCUUGUGGAGCUGAUCUUUGGUGUCCCUUAUCCUUUUUACUGCUAGCAUGGACGAGAUGUUUGGCAAUAUUCAGAGAGGAUGAUGACACGAGUUGACCUGCCCUGCUCCGGCUGGCGUCCUCAAUCUUGUGCCGCAGCGCCUGGUCCUCGAACUCUCGGUGGAGGUCCUCGGCGUCGUAGGUGGUGUACUUGUGCUGCAAGAGAUGGGCCUCCACCAUGCCCCACUCGCUGCGACUGAUGAGCAGCUUGGUCUUGAGUUGGUCCAGCUCGUUUUCCAGCUGGGUCGGCGCUUGGCUCAUGCUCAUCCCGAAUGACAGGAUGCCUUGCACGGUGUCCAUGGUCGCGCGCGCUCCUAGAUCUUGGUGCGUUGGUGGAGCUGCUCGUGAAGUCGUGAUGAUGGUGCUCCUCCUCCUCUUCCUCCUGCUUGGCACAGGGGCAGAAGGGAGCGAUUACCUGAUGAUGGUGCCACCGAUUACUGGCCUUCGCCCUCCCAACACCGGACUGGUGAUUUUCACCGGAGGGAUCGUAAGAGAGAUCGGGCAGAGAGGUGUAGGAUCAAAUUGCGUGUGCACCCAACGUGGAAUGGCGCUGGAUAUAUCUAGCUACAUGGUUGCAUGCCCUGCCGAUCUGGGCAAUCGGUAUUGCAUUUGCAGAUUUGCUUCGGUUUCAUCGAUGAUCCCUCCGGCGUUGGUUUCUUCGAUCGGUCCUGUCUUGGGUUCCAUCGAACUUGAUCGAGCUGUCUUGAGGCCGGCGGAGUAACUAAGAGAUCCAUUAUUCAUCGGGAUAAGCUAGGAUCGCAGGGGCUCGUUGCGGCUGCGGGCGUGGACCACCAUCUCUUCCUGCCUGCCGCCGGCGGCCGGCGAGUGCAAGACUGGUAGGUUUAGGAGAGGAAAGGCCAAAAGGCGUGAGCUGUGAAGGAAUGGACCUGGCAACCGGGUGCGGCUUGUGUUGUAUCUUGGGCCGGUUGGGCCGAGUGCAAGUUCCGGGGCCUCCUCGGUGGUGGUUUUGUUGGCUGCAAACUGAUGAGGCCUCGUGCCUUGGCUGCGAAGAAGACGGCUACUCAAAAGCAUUUCUCCCCCAGCAGCUUGAAACGGUCGCCCGCGGACAGCAAGCAAGCGUUCGCGAGCCUGACCGUGCACUGUACAGCACAGGACAGGGAUCCAUGCUUUCCGGCAACACCCAUCGGCGCCAGGCUUACCCACCAGUACACCUGGCACCUGCUGGCUGUCCAGCUCCAAACCUCUCCAUCACAAGACAGAGGUCGUCAAUGGCUUCUUCGGUUUGCAACAGCACAGUGGACAAGAAAAGCAGGGGCAAAGCUACAUUGGGCUAGCCGAGUGAUUAGUAACUAAUUUUUACCACUUGUGCACUCCCUAACCUCCAAUUUCGUGCACCACUGUCUGGCCCACCAACAACCUGCAGCCCAGCAGUUAGCAUAGGCCAGCUUUCAGCAACCCAUCAAGCCCACGAUGCACUAUAGGUGCAUGCAGCUGCGGGCCUGCCGCAUCCGCCCGCGUGCGUUGCACGUGACAAGUCCUCACGGAGAACACGAAACAAUCGUCCGCGAAGCCCGCUCGCUCGCCCAAACGUGAGAACUCAUCGUAGAAAGGCGGCGGAAGAGAGGGAGGCGGCACUCGCGCGUCGCCGUGUCGCACCAUCUCCAGUCGCUGCGGUACGUCUCCUCGCCGGAAUCAGCACCCCCAACCUUAAGCGAUCAUCAUCAACUCCUAUUUUUUUGUUUCUCUCCAUUGUUGCACUGCACAUUCUUCUAGCCUCCCCUUUUGCUCAAGCCCACUCCACUCGAAUGGUACACAAUUAUUUUUCUCACAUGUGCUUUUGUGCCAAUCAGCUUCUUUGAAGUAAUCCGUUAGUGUUUCAAUUUCAUGGUUACUUAUUCUCCUAUAUUCAAUUGAAUUGUAGGGUUAGGGUUUGCAAUUGGGGUUUUACUUCUACAAAUUGCAAUGAAAGGGCAAAGGAGAAGGAACUUAGGAAGGAUUCAUUGAGAUUUGAGACUCAAGAAAUAAACAAAAAUCAUGUCAAGUAAGUUUAUGGGUGUUUGGUCAAUUAAUCAUUUAUUUUUCUUCCCUUGAUUCUUGAACAGAUGAACAUGAGAAGCAUUAAUGUAACUGACAUUUUAAAAAAAUGUGUUAUAUGUGUGUUUAUGGAAAGAUGGUUAAAAAGAAAAGCGCCAGAUGAUGCUAACAAUUUUUGGUAAUUCUCAUCAGCAAAACAACAAUAUUAAUGUUAAUCCAAUACCACCAGCUCCAGAAGAUAUCGAUUGGGAGGAGGAGAUCCAACUUCAUCCUGGUAAAAGAGAAGAAAUACGUUCUUGUCACCCUAAUCUUAGAGAAUCGGUAAGAAGAAUGUACUUGGCAAAUGAGCCUUGUCAGCUCGCACUCUUAAUUUUUCAUCUACUCGGAUUGGGGAUAAAAAUUGAAGGUUUAAUCUUGAAUGGUUUGAUGAAUUUGGAAACUGGCUUGAGUACAGUGAGUCUACCGAUAGAGCCUACUGUUUUACCUGUUUCUUGUUUAGAGACCCCACUAAGAAGGAGGCUGGGUACAAGUCAUUUAUUUUAGAUGGUUGGAAUAAUUGGUAUAAUAAAGAAAGAUUAAAGGAGCAUGUUGGCAGUGUUGACAGCUAUCACAAUGUAGCAACGAAAAAAAUGUGAUGAUAUGUUGAAAAGAGAAUAGCACAUUGAUGUUAAGUUACAUGAACAGCUUGAGAGUUCUAAGAAUGCAUAUUUUGUUCGACUUAAUGAUGCAAUUGAUACUAUCAGAUUGCUACUCAAGCAAGGACUACCUUUCCGGGGGCAUGAUGAAUCAAAGACAUCCUUAAACAAAGGGAACUACAGGGAAGUUUAUGAUUGCUUAGCUCAACAUGAUGCAGCUUUAGCCAAGGCAUUGACAAUUGAUGCUGCAUAUAAUAGUAUUUUGGUAUCUGCUGACAUACGGAAAGACAUCAUCAACUGUUUUGCAGAUGAUAUUUUACAUUCUAUCCUUGGAGACAUUGGGAAAGAUGUAUUUUGCUUGCUAGUUGAUGAGUCUAGAGAUGUCUCUUUCAAAGAGCAAUUGGCAGUGGUGUUAAGAUAUGUUGAUAAAUGUGGAUUUGUGAACGAGAGCUUUGUUGGUGCUAGCAAUACGCAAGGUGAGUUCAAUGGCUUAAAAUCUUUGAUCAUGAGAGAAAAUAGUAGUGCAUAUUAUCUCCGUUGCUUUGCCCAUUAACUUCAAUUAGUGGUUGUAGCUGUUGCUAGAAAGCAUACAGGCAUUGCUGAAUUUUUUAACAAUAUCUCUAUCUUAUUGAAUGUGGUUGGUGGAUCUUCAAAGAGAAGGGACAUGAUUUGAGAUAUCAAUCUCAAAGAAGUUAGUAAGGCCUUAGGCUGUGGGUUACUUAGUAUCGGGACAGGAUUGAAUCAAGAACAAUGUCUUCAAAGACCUAGAGUCUCACUAUAAAUCUCUUAGAAGUUUAGUUAAAUUCCAAAUAAUUAUCAAAGUGCUUGAAUUUGUGGAAAAGGAAGGCAGGGAGGGAAAGGCAAGGGUGUUCUUAGAAAAGUACACUCAUGAACGGGAUGAAUGAUACACGAGUUCAGCGUCACCUAGUCAAGCCGGAUUCCAGAUUCCAUCGUACUGACACUUGCUGCGCUGCUUUGCUAUCUAUUAAUUCUCCUCAAUCUAUAGUAACAGAUAACAACUCUGUCCGCAGCAUGAUAUGGAAAUUUUCUCACACUGGCGGGUACACGAUGGCUUCAGCCUAUAGAGUGCAAUUCAUUAACUUCACCAAAAAAACACAAAUCUGCGCAAUCUGGACUUCUUGCCCCUCUCCUAAAUGCAAAUUCUUCGUGUGAUUAAUCCUUCAUAACCAUGCUUGGACUUUGGAUCGGCUUGCUCAAAGAGGAUGGCCUCAUAGCCCAGCUUGCCCCCUCUAUAAACAGAUAAUGGAAUUCUCUCUUCACCUGCUGGCCAAGUGCAGAUUCACUAGGAAAAUUUGGAGUCCUCGUGGCUAUUUAGACAAAGCAGCCAGUACUACACCCACUGGAAUGGGAACAAAGCUACAAUACCUUGGAAUGGUGGACCAACAUUGAAAUGGACCUGAAUUUUCAUUUCUGAGAAUUCAAGCCUACGCACCUCCGUGAUAGUUCUAGGAGGCUAUCACGUGCGAAUCCAUGUCUCAGAUAGUACAAAUUCAUACCAACAUAGAAAUAUAAAGCAACAACAUAGUACCAUAUCAUAAAUAUCAUAAGUAACAAGUACAUCUCUUCGGUACAUGCCAGAACAUGUCCAUCAGGAUUGAAUCAGAAAGGUAAAAUAUCUAUGCAGCGAAAGCGUAAGCUACGGCGAACUCCAUCUCCAGAGGCGACUCGAGCGAAGGACCAUCCCUAGUCUUCCUAUCCAUCAUUGUCGAAGUCGUAGUCGGGCUCCGACCCUAAAAAGCCACCAUCUACUCGAGAAGCGGGUAGGCCAUGUCAACUCCCAAAAGGAGCAAGCUAAGGAAAUGGGGGAAUUAUACUAUAUGCAUGAGUAAAACCUAUAUAUGGUUGUAGAGGUGUAUGCAACAGCAGCAUCAAUCAAGGAAGCAGCAAAGCAUUACCAUCUUCGAGGUCAACACCUCAAAUAAGGAAGUUGGCACAAAUCACCAGAUCCUUCGCCCAUGGGUCCAGCAUCCAACACACUAGUCGAUGUGAGAGCUCCCUUCCCUCACAUCUCAAUGGCAAACUCCAGCCUAUCUCAAAAAGGGGAGGUAGAAGAAUAAGCAAAGUCUAGUCAGAGGUAGCGGUAGUCAAUAGCACUGUCCAUAACUAGUGGAUAUGGACUUUAGCUAUAGCUUUAUACACUCUGCAGAGGUUGUACAACUGUACCUGCAUGGAUGGAGCUUGAACGGUAGUGAUCCGUCCAAACCCCACCUAACAGCCGGAGCUCUAGUAGGUGGAUAGCUCUCUCUUGUUUCCUCAAGUCUGGAACCUUCCUCAGCUGCAGGGCAUGCCGUCACCAGUGAGGACCUCGAAGCUGUGAAAUCUACCCACGCCGGGGUGCAGUCUGGUCAGAGCAGGCCAACACCUCGAACUCCUUACACGAUCCUCCAAUCCGCCUACAGGCUAAGCACUAUCCACCAAUAGUCUCAGACCGAACCUCGCCCAUAACGUAAGUGAGCGGUAUGUACGUAAAAUAGCAGUUGUGGCUGGUGGUAAAUGACUCGAUCCUUAAGCGGCUGAGAGCGAGCACUCUACUCCACAAGUAUGUGCUGAAGCACCUGCAACGUACAAGUAUGCCACCUGCUCCUCAGUAACAAACAAGGUACCCGCCACAAGUAUGGGGUAGAGAGAGAGUCCAUAAUGCUCUCUCUCGGCAAGGCACUCCUCAGUACCAACCAUGGCUCGCUCCUACCAAAAUACAUCAAGGAGUCACACUUACCCAAAACUCACAUGAGAGUGUUUAAGAAAUCCUAUCACCAAAACCAUGGCACGCCCAUCCAUAACUCAAAAGCAUGUAUAUGGAUAUAUGAGCGGUGGACUAGCUAGGGGUCUGUAGCUAGUCCACAAAAGUAGGUAAGAAGGAAAACAUGAUAAAAAAUUAUCAAGGCAUGGCUAAAAACAUUAGCUAUACAAUCCAACAUCAUUAAGCAUCAUAAAUAAAGCGCUAACAACUAAGCAUGCACAGGAUCUAUAUGAUUGGAAGUGAUAUAAAGCACUAGCAACUAUACAUUGGCUUGCCCGUAGUCGUUUGGAUCUUCCUCAACGUAGUCGGAGUCUUGAGGGUCUUUCGGGUCGUAGCUCGGGUCUGAACAGAACGAGAUACGAUGUAAAGUAAAUUAAACGGCAUUACAUCUAGGCAAAAAUUCCAAGAAUGCUAAAUUUAGAAGAUCCAAAUAAUACCAAACUAGUUACAAACAACACGGGCUUGAUUUUAUGAAUUUAAUGCAAAUGGUUUCAUAUUUUUCAGAGUAAAAAUGAAUUAGUUAUGAAUUCUUAAAUAUUAAAGGAUUUAUUUAAUCGUUUAAAUAAUUUCAGAAAAAAAUUAUUAUUAUGGUGACACGUGUCAGUGCCUGGUUUUGCCACAUGGCAGCACGAGAGUGUGCCACAUGUCUGCUAAUGUCAGACCGGUAACGGUCAACGUUGACCCGGUCAGUCAACGAUGACCUGGUCAACGUUGACUGUCAACUGGGUCCCACCGAUCAGCAGUGGCCCCACAGGUCAGUGGGCCCUGCCAAUGGGCCACCAGUGGGCUUGGGCCUCGGACACGUCAUCGCCUCGUGACUCCACGUGGCAGCCACGUGGCCAUCUAGUCGACAUGGCACUGCCACGUGGCCGUCCCCAGCUGGUCAGGAUCCGGUGUGUCAACUGGAUCCUGUGUGCCACCCGCAUGUGGCCACGGGUGUGGCGUAGGCCUGAUUUGUGGCGACGUGGCGUGGCGGGGCGUGGCGGUGACUGCGCCUAUGACGUCGUGGUGCAGCGCGCCAGCUGUGCGUGCGCAUGGGCAUGGGGCAGUCCCCGACCACGGCACGACCGCGGUGACAUGCAGGGUCCCGGUGUCCUAGGCCCACAGUGGCUAGCGGCGAGGUGAGCAGUGGCGCUCCUAUGGCGGCUCGAAGGUCAUAUGACAAGGAAACAAGAGGAAAGAGAGGGGUAGCGAGGCUCACUGCGGGGAGAUGGCGAAGGCGGGCACUGUCGGGCGGCGGUCGACAGCUCUGGCUCCUCCCUCAGAUGGCCCCUCUUCUUCUUCUUCUCCUCUACUUCACCUCCUUCUUCCCUUUCCUCCUCUUCUCCUCCUCCUCCCUCCUCUUCUGCUCCUUCCCCCUUCUCUCACUCGGGUGGCUGGCGGCGCAAGGGUGAAGCCCUGGGUGGAUGGCAACAAGAGGCCCCGGGUGCCUCUACUUAUAGCGGAGAGGCGGCUAGGGUUCCGAAGGGAGGGUGCGGCGGCGCGCUUGGGUUUGGGGGCGUGGCGCUGGCGACGUGGACAGCCGGGAUGCGGCAGCGCACGGUACGGGUGGUGUGGCGGCCAUUCGAGGUCGCUAGCGCAAAAGCAAGGGCGCGGGCGAGGUCACGGGUGCGCGCUCCCAUGUGGGAGUGUGUGCCAGCACGGACGGGGAGGCGCGCGUGAGCGGUACGGCUGGAGGAAGAAGGAAGAGGAACAAGGGCACCUGAUGGGCGGGUCCAGCGCGGCGGCGAGAGAGAAAGAGAGGGAGAGCGGGGCGCGGGCAGCAAUGUGCGGGCUGGGCCAGCUGGCCGGUUAGGAGGCCUGCUGGGCUGAUCACCAGGCUGCGCAGGCGAGGCGGCGGAGCAGGCCAGGCUGGCUGGGUCGGGGCGAAGGCGGGUGAGGGUGAGGCGUGAGAGGAUCACGCCGGUUGGCUGCGGCCAGCCUGGUUGGGUAGAGGGUUAGACGAGAUCCAAAUAAAAUCUAAAAAGAUCCAAAUCAUUCCACACAAGUUUUGAAAUGGAAUUUUGGGAUGAGAAGAGAAUUUGACUACCAUUUUCAAACAAGCACAAAAUUCAAACAAAAGUUUUGAAUUUUUGGAAAUUUCACUUAAAUAAAUAUUACAAAAUUAUGGAAUAUUACAAACAUAACUGCUCCACCUCGUACCCCGAGAAAUGCGAUACGAAGCCUCAACGUCUGGGAAAUUUGGUUAAAACGAAACUCUACAUUUUUCUCGGACUGUGUGAGUCCUCCUUGAUUUCCUUGAUGGCAAAAAUUAAAAAGGAAGCGGCUGCUUGGGUGGGGGCAGGGAAUACUUGUGUCCCACCUUACAUUGAACAACAGAGCACAAUACUUGUGUCAGUAUAAAAAAAAACUUGUGUAAGGCCAGCUACACAAGUUAGCUCGCAUUUCAUAAUUAAGUUUCAGAUUUCGUGCAAGGCCAGAUACUUUAGCACUGCACUCUUGAUGUACCGAAAGGAAGAUUAACAUAUAAGUACAAUACCGAAGUAAUGACUAUGGAAAUAGGCUUAGAAAUACAACAGAAGCUAGGUACAGUGCAAUAAACCUUAGUGCCUCAUCAUAGCUCCCUUAGCUUCCAGGAAAGUAUAAUGCUGUAUUUGCAGAGAAAAAAAAUAUCACCUUCUAGUGGUGAUCAAGUACGCGAGACUCUUGCACUUGCAAUAGAAAGAUCUGCCAAACCGGUCCCAUUUGACCACAAUAGCAGCUGCAAAGCCAACGCCGAAGCCAAGCCCAACGAAGAGAAACAAAACCACAUCAAUAUGACGAGAUGACUUGUCCCCAUGUGCCACACCUGGAGAGUGAGGUGAACUACCACAAGGAAAUUUUGGCAAUUGCAGCCCACACAAUCCAGCAUUCCCUUCAAAUGAGCUGCUGUCAAAUGUAGAGAACUGACGUGACUGCGGUAUCUUCCCCACCAAGUGAUUGUAUGACAAGUUUAGGGAGCCAAGAAAGGUGAGAUCAGUUAGCUCUUGUGGAAUGUCCCCUGAGAGUUGGUUGCAGGACAGGUCUAGUGACUCCAAAUCAGUCAUGCUUCCAAGUUGGGCUGGAAUUUUUCCAGUGAAGGCAUUGUGUGACAGACUCAGUACGCGUAGUGAUACAAGGCUUCCAAAUGUUUCAGGAAUAGUACCCUCCAAACUAUUUUUUGAGAAGUCAAUUGCUGUUACGGUAGUCAGCAUCCUUCCAAAUGGCAUAUCUGCCCCCUUGUACAUGAUCUCAACAGAAUAUUGAUAUAAAUGUUCUCCGUUAUUGAUAGUUAUAGUGUCUAGAGUUCCGAGAGGUUUCCCAGAACUAUUAAACUCUGCCAUCAUUGACUUUAACUGCUCGAACCAUUGUGGCCUCAAAGUACCAGAGAAGUUGUUUGAGGCAAGAUCGAUAAUUUGCAAGCUAGGGAAACAUUCCUCACAUUUUGUGUCCCCAACAAUAUCACCUAUGGUGCCAUACAUUUGGUUUGAUCUCAGGACGAGUACAGAAAGAUUGGGAAGCCCCCUCAACCAAGAAGGAAAAGCAUCAGCUAUUUUGUUGCUUCCAAAGUCUAUAACCUCCAAGUCUGUACAGUUAGAAAGGCCCCUAGGAAGCCUCCCUUCGAUCUUAUUGCCAUGUAAAUCUAUCGUCUGUAAAUUACAUCUUGUUGUUAUAUUGGAAGGCAGCAUCCCUUUCAAGUGAUUCUCCCUCAAAUUUAAAAAACUUAAGGGGGUAUUUUCUAUAAAACAAGGUGGAAUCGGGCCAUUAAAGUAGUUAUAUGAUAGAUCAAGGACAUCCAGCUCUGUGGCAUUGCAAAUUGAGGGAGAUACAUGGCCGUGUAUAUUAUUUUUGGACAUGCUGAGAUAAAUGGUGUCCCGAAGAUAGGUGGUCCAGUUUGGCAGAAGGGAAGAGAACAUGUUGUUGGAAUAAUCCAAGACUUGUCCUGAUAAUUUUGGCAUAGGGAUCAUCCCUGAAAGUCUAUUGAAACUAAGAUCAAGCACUUCCAUUGGUGUAUUGAAGGGGACAGCAUCCGAAUUAAGUUGCAUGCCCGUGAACAUGUUAUGUGAAAGAUUCAAAUGAGAUCCCCUCGUCUCCCAGAUCCAAUUUGGUAUAUCCCCACUGAUUUUAUUACAUGAAAGAUCCAAAUACCAUAUACGGUCAACAUGCCUCAAAAAUCUUGGAAGUUGAGUUAUCUUGCAAGAUGCGAGCCCUAAUUCAUGUAGUCCAUCCAAAUAGCUGGUUUCCACUGGAUUAUUAUCUUCUGAGGCCAUGACAUGCAACUUAUUGUAGGAAAGAUGCAAAACAGUGAGGUAAUUUAAUCUCCGAAAAUGUGCAAGGUCCACGGAACCUAUCAAGUUGUUUGAGCUAACAUCUAUACAUACUAAACUUGUUAGUUGAAAGAUGGCUUUGGGAAUAAAACCUGACAAUUCAUUGUUCUUGAACCUCACGGUCUCCAACUGUGGACCUGCCUUGUCAAAGCCUUGUAUAGGGCCAGAAAGCUGGUUGAAAGAGAGAUCAAGGCGAUUUAAUAUAGGAAGACUGAAAAUAGAUGGUGGAAUCUCCCCUGGAAGGACAAUAGAAAACAUUAAGUUAGAAAGUGUUUCCCCUUCUACAAAUUGAAAUUAGAAGAUGCUACCUCCUAUUUUGUUCAGAACAUGAAUACUUGACCCUUUCUCGAGAAAAGUAAAAGAUGAUAUCGUACCAUAGAAAUAUAUAUCCCAAGUUUAUUUAUUUUAUUUUGAGAAAAUUGCAUUAGUAGUCUCAAAAUAAAUGGCCAAAACUUGUGUGGUAACCUCGCCGACCCUUGCACUUGUUGCAAAUUACUUUCCCCAGCCCCCUCGUCUUUGUUGUGCCACGUGUUAGGCAAUGGUUUCAUGCUGGUUCAACACAUUAAUUUGCUAAUAGUGGGAUGGGUGAGAUUAGUGUGUGCAAGUUUAAGGACUACCGGAAGAAUUUAGUGCACCUACGGGCCAUAGAAUUUCAUAAUCCUAGGACCCAUGAAGCUGAAAUGAUCCGGACCCAUCAUGGAUCAUAAUUUUAUGGUAUUAUGAUUUAUGAUACCCGGUGUAUAGUCCUGUACCAUCAAAAAGAAUUGGUAAGAUCACUUAUAUAGAAUCCCAAUCCUAACAUCAAAAUUUGUUAAUAUCUGAAAUUAAAUCCAUGAGUAAUUAUAUAUGUUUCUUCAGUUUAAUUCGACAUCUUUUACUCUUUGCAUGACAUCUGACCAUUAAAUUAUUUUAAAUUAUGAUUAGAUAAUGUUUGGAGUUAAGUUGAAAUGUCGAAUUGACAUUGACACGAAUAAGUAGACUCGAGUUUACAAGAAUUAAUAAAUUUAUAAAAAUAGCAUUGUAGAUUUCUUUUCAAGAACUUGUUUAACUUUUUAAUACAUGCAUAUUUUUACUCAUUACGCUGCAAAAUCCUCCCCCAAAGUUCUUGACACAGUGUCAAACUCAUUUGUUGUGUUUAAGCUCUUGCAAUGAUCUAUAUAAGCUGCCAGCUUUUGUAUAAGAGGGCCGGGUUAGAGAAGUAUAUCGUGUCAACUACGCCAAUGAAAUUCUUUUAGAGUAAACUAGAGCAAAUGAGAAGCUUUAUGAGCCCUAAUACCAUUUAAGAUUUCCAUUGUCCUUCCUACCCUGUCAAAUGAACACUCAAGCUCAUAUAGAAGUGACAUGUGUGGUUGUUGCAUCAAGAAGGAACCUUAAGGGAGGAUUUUGCAACAGGGUUAGGCUUGUGGGUUCGUUAGGCCCUUCACACAACGUGUGCUUGGAGUAUUGCUUGAAAUGGAGAGAGGAGGUUUGGGCAUCAAUCACUCCCCCAAGUGGCCAAGUUGAAACCAGGAGCAGCACUGUGACAGAAUAAAACAGAUACCAACUUUUCUCACAUGGGCCUCGACUUUUUUUCCUAGAGUCACUCGACAUAGUAGAGGCCUUAAUGCAACUAUAUUUCUUUUAGGGGAUAAUUGCAACUCAAGAUGACUACUAGGAGCAUGAGACGUGCACACAUGCGUCAGUGGCAAGCUUGCACCUACUCUGAGCAGAGGAGGGCGCAGUUGGAGCUUGCAAGGCCCACGGUGUGGAGCACUGACGCUUAGGGAUGCAAACAGGCUAACCCAGAUAUAGGGCUGAAUCAUGUUGGCAACUGUAGCAUAGACUAUAAGUGGGUUCGCAGGCUAGCCUGCUUGAUUUGCAGCAAUAUAUUAUGGUGGAGGGAUGCCCUUGACCUGUUACAUGCCUUUACAAAUUAAGAGCAUGUUAGGAGAUCCUUACUCCUCAAUCCAACUACCAUAUUGGGAGGGUUAACAAAAAAUAGUGUUCCAGCAGAUUUUUUUUACUUUUUUCCAUUUCACAAUAGUUAUUAGGAAAAACUAAUAAUCCACCCUAACUUAUCCUAAAAAAAGAGUAUCUCAAUAUGGUAGUUUGGAUUGUGAUUAUUGGGGAACUGCAAAAACAACUUUUCCAAUAACCAUAAAAGAAAUAUUGGGACAUUUCCAUUACCUUGUUAUUAGGAAAAAUUGAUUGGAAAACUGGUGAAGAUGCUCUAAGGGAUCCUCAAGUUGGCGUGCGACUGCGCACGCGGUGGGGGGAGCACAAGCAGCCCAAUAUGACUUAAUUUUAGCCCAAGUUAGGUUUAGUUGUGACCAAACUAACAUCCAUGUUCUAUUUUUUUCCCUUUCUUCAUUCUUUUGGGUUUUACAUUCUCUUGUCCUUUUCUUUAAUUAUUUCCUUUUAUAUUAUUCUGCAUAUUAUUUUAUUUCCUUUAUAUUUAUUAUUUGUUUCUAUUAUUUGUUUCGUUUUCUUUUCUGUUUUCCUUUUCUACUAGGAAAUUCUAACUUUUCAUUUAUUUUAUUGUUUCCGUUUUUAUUAUCUUUUAUGCUUCUUUUAUUUUUUAUUUUUAGUAACAAUUUUUUGUAUAUUUUGUUUGCUAGUAAGAAUAAUUUAUUCAAUUAGUUUUCUUUAUUGUUUCACUCUAGCACUACUUUAAAAAUCAUUUGUGCAUACGAUCAUUCUAUUUUUUUUUACAACGGUGCUUAAUAACAACCGUCUCUAGCAAGGGUUCCAAAAAUACAAGUAUUUAUAGAGGUGGGCCACAUAAUUAAGUAACUGUCUGAAAAUCAAUUUGGAAGGCACACCACCUAAGCUGCUACUACUAGAAAUUGACUUCUAGAGGCAGGCCUAAUAAGCAACUGCCUCUAAAAUUGUAAACAACCAAUUUUAAAGAAAAAUAAUAUUCUUUUUUAAAUGAAGAAGAAUGAAGACAAAUUUACUAGCAUAACUAUAGAGCUCGAUGACAUCUAAAAUUUCAUAGUUCAUAACCUUUUCAUGUAAGACUAUUUACAAGCCCAAAUAAAAUUCAUCACCAUUUCUUAUAUUUAUUUUUAAAAAUAAAUUAUGAUUUCCAAAAUGGCCUUGGAAGGAGAUGUGCUCUUCAAAAAAGUUGUAGUGCAUGACGAGAUCUAAAAAUUUGUAAUUGAUAUUUUUUUUCAAAUUUAUGAUCGUUAGAGUGUCAAAUGCAUAGUACAAUAUUCAGAGAAGUGAAAUCAAAAGAAUCCCUUAUAUAGUUAAUAUGUGUUUCGUAAAGAGAAAACUACGCGUGAAGAGACGUGUCGUACCAUGAAUUUUUUGGAUUUCAGGAUAUGACUAGAAAUAAUAAUUAAACAAUAAUUUUCAAUAAUUUUAAUUUUUUUCAACAUUUAUUUUCUUGAGAGGAAAUUUAGUAUAGGAAAAUGAUUGGUUAUUUUUUCUAAAUUAAAUAAAUUAGUUCUUUGUGUGUUGCAUUCAUGCCGAGGCAUCUUGGUGUUUCAUGAGUGCAGACAUUUUAAAAAUGUGUUUCUAUAACAUUUAGGUUCUUCUAAGAAUUUUCCAAAUUUUUCUAGGAUCUAUUGUCAUUUUCGUAGAGCUAAAUAUUUUUAUUAUAAGGCCCUAGAAUCCCUUUCUUGAGUUCCAAGUAUUUUAUUUGGAUUCAUCGUGUCCCAAACUAUCUCUAUAAAUUUUCCUAGGAUUUUAGCUUUUUAGAGUACUUUUUGUGGUUUCAUUGAUUUAUCUAGAAUUUUCUAGAUUUAUCUUUGCACGGGAAACAUCUCUAAAAAUGAAAUAGAAAGAAAUCCCCUUUUCUUGAGGUUGGGCUCAUGGGACCGACCUGCUCUAGCCCAGCAGCCGGCCUGCCAGGCCCAUCUGAGCCCUGCAGCUCUUGGUGUCCAUGCCGGACACAGUAUGGCACCACCGCCUCCCCAACUAACUUGGGUGUGCAUGCCACGGCUCCACCCCUGCCCCCAUAAAUAGCGAAGCCGCAUCCCCUGCUUGCCAUGCUGCCCCAACUCGUGCAUGUGCUGCGCCUCGCCCUUGCUCGCGCAAGCGCUGCCAACCGCCGGAGCCGAGCUGCGCCGCCACCUCGAUCUGCCAGACCCCGGCGUCCCAAGACCAAGCCGCCACCUCCCAGAGUUGCGCCACGACAGGCCGCCUCCAACCAAGGCAUCCACUACACCAAAAAGGCCACUGGAGCAACACUGCCUCGCCUCGCAACGCCAAUCCGGCCGCCGUCUGUUGUCCGCUGCCAGCCAAAAUUCCAACUGGAAUCUGUCCACCCCGCCGCUGGUGAGCACCUCCAUAGAGUCCCCUCGACCUCCUCUUCCAAUCCCCGUCCUCGCGACCGGACUGCCCCCAAUCCCGCUGGUCAGAAGCCAGCCACCAUGGCCAUUAGAAGCUCUUUGAGCUUUUGUGAUUAGGCCCCUUGGAGAUCUUGUAAUGUUUACAAGUUUUCCUAUGUCUUGCUCCUUGUACCGUGAACCCCAUGGACUUUAUCUGAUCCUUGCAAUCAAACCAAGUUGUAAUCUUUAUCAGAUCUAACCUCGAGCCUUAUCAAUUUCGCGAGCACUCUUUGAUGUGUCUUGCAAAUCUUCUCUGCUAGCCCCUAUUGUCUAGGGUUAAUCACGAUUAGACCCCUGCAGCUUGUUUCAUCGAUCCUUUGUUUUAGCUCCGUUUAACCUCGUUCUUAUUGUGUUAGGUUGAUGAUAACAUAAAUUACACGUUAGUAAUGAUGGUUUCCAUCAUGCAUGUUUUUGAAAAUAAAUUUAAUAUUAAUUUAUUGAUGCCUGUUAAACAUGUCUUCCUUAAUUAAAAUCUACAUAGAGUUAUACACCUCUUUUUAUAAUCAAUGUUAAUUCGAUUAAUGCUUACUUCAUAUAUUUUUCUAAAUAAAAGCAAAGUAGAGCUACACCUCGGUUUUUCAUAAACUAAUGUUAAUUAUUUUAAUAUUCAACAUUGAGUCAACUUUUCCAAAUAAAAGUUGAUUAGGCUUUUACACUGGCUUUUAUAAAUAAAUAUUAGCUUGAUUAAUACCAACAUGAUUAUGUUUUCAAUAACAAUUUGAUCCACUUGAAUCAUAAAGUAUACGUUUAGAUGUUUCACAUAGUUUGGCUUUUCUAAACGUUAAAUGUUUAAAUGAUUGAUAAAAUGACCAAUGUCAAUAUGAAUGUGUUUUCUAAAUAAACUUUGUUUAGCCCAACAUGACAGAUGUAUUAAUUUGAUUAGAUGUGUUCAUCUUUCUAAAGUUUAGUGUGUAACGGGUAUAAUUUAUACAUGAACAUUUAUGAAUAAAUCUUGAUUAGGUUUUACCUCUGUUUUUUAAAUAAAGUAUAAUUUGCAUUAAUUCCAACAUAGGUUAUUUUUGUUUCUAAAGUAUCCUUUACAUAUAUUUUGUUAAUUAAAAUAAACCGGGUGUGACAAGAGCAAUCUUGGUUCAAAUCCUAUAUACUGCACAUUUGCAUAUUUUGUGUGAGAAAUUGUAUGAUGUGUGACAGCUAGAAAUUUGCUAGCUACAUAUACCUAACUUUUUUAUGCGCGGGUACGGCUGACUAGCUUCUCCAGAGCAAGCAGACUCAUGCCCCUCCAGCAGGUGUAGUUUGGUCAAGGAGGGAGCAGAGGCGCCGGCCACCUCACACAUCUGUCACGGUUUAACUUGUCACUAGUGGCAUGUCGGGCGUAGGGCUAUGUUUUUUUUUAACUAAAUAGCACAGAAUGGAUAAUACAGCAUUUUGCAAUCGCAAAUAUGUGUGUGUGUGGGUAGGGGUAUUGUUACGUACCGUUGAGAGAAUUAAAAGAAAGAUCCAGCAUUGUUAGCUGGGUCAAAUUAACUAUUGAGCUUGGUAUGCUUCCGGAAAAAUUGCAAUCUUGAAGAACUAACCAUCUCAACUUAUUGAGCUGCCCAAUUGCAUUAGGUAUCAACCCAGAAAUCUGACGACCACUAAUUUCCAUGGCUUCCAAGUUAGUGAGGUUGCCAAUUGGAGCCGGCAUUGAACCUGAAAACCCAGAAUGCUGGAGGUACAUGUUUCUCAAAUUUGUGAGUUCACCAAUUGCAGCUGGCAUUGGUCCUGAAAAAUCAGCACCCUCGAUAUACAAGUUUCUCAAAUUUGUGAGUUCACCAAUUGCAGCUGGCAUUGGUCCUGAAAACCCAGGAUUGUUCAUAUACAAGUUUCUCAAAUUUGUGAGUUCACCAAUUGCAGCUGGCAUUGGUCCUGAAAACCUAGCACCCUCGAUAUACAAGUUUCUCAAAUUUGUGAGUUCACCAAUUGCAGCUGGCAUUGGUCCUGAAAACCUAGAUGAUAUAUACAAGUUUCUCAAAUUUGUGAGGUUGCCGAUAGAAGAUGGCAUGGAGCCAUAUGUGUUGCAAUCAUGCAUUUCAAGUGUUUGCAAGCCCGUGAGGUUUCCAACUGCCCCAGAGAAGUUACAUCCAAAGAGUCCCAAACUUGUUAGGUUUUUGUGCUGGCCAAUCCAUGAGAAAAUUGGACCUAAGUCGCUUCCUGAGUCCAAAUCGUGGUCCAACUCAUUAUCCAAAAAACAAUCAAGGUCCAACUGGUGUAGAGACUCAAGUCUACCAAAUGCAGAGAGAAAAUCCAUAGAAAUUAAAUUCCUGUUAAGGCCCAACUCCUUCAACGACGUGAAAUUACUAGAAGGCGUUGGUAUGGCAUAUACAAAGUUGGUCCUAUCAAGUCUCAAAGUCUCUAAAGAGCUGGCAUUAGAAAAGUUUGGCACAUGGCCUGAGAGAUUCAUAUUAUAGGACAAAUCGAGGACCCUUAGAUUUUUCGAUUGAAAGGGUCUAGAGGGUAACCGCCCCUCAAGAUUUAUCCCAGAAAGUUGAAGCACGGUUAAAUUGGGAAAAUCCAUGAAGAACUCUGGAAAUGGACCAGCACUUGCAUAAAUGGAGGUUUCUUGGAGGUUGAUCACAACAAGAGAAUGGAGUCUCGAGAACGCUUUAUGAAUAGGACCACUCAGGUGACAAUCAGCCAAACUAAGUACCUGAAGUUGAGGAACAUAUGCAGCAAGAGAUGUGCCCCACUCUUCUCCACUAUUAGACAAAUCCACUGAGUCAAGGUAGAGCUCUCUUAAGUUGCUGAGGUUUGCCACAAAGGUAUCAAAACUUGAUUCCCAUAAAUUGUUAUAAUAAUCAUAAGAGUUUGAACCAUAAAAACCGCCAGAAUAAUAAUCAGUAUUGUAUGUUGAAAGAU